GCUGGACGCACCUCCUGGACGGUCUCGGCGGCGCGGUGCGCCUGCAUCUGCCCGCUGUCGGCGGCGGCGGCGGCGGUGUCAUGGACGGCCCCGGCGGCGUGGCCCGCCUGGUCGUGUAGCUGGGCCUCGGCCUGGCCGGAUUCGAAGGACUGCUUCAUGUCCGCCAUGGUAAGGUGAUCGAAGGUUGCUGCGAGUGAAAAGGAAGCUGAGAUGGAAAUGGGAAGUGGAGGUUGCUGGUGCCAAAACCGGGUGUCUUGCCCUGGGUUAUAUACGUGAGCGUUCUGCUAAUUUUCGGCGAAAGUGUGUGGGUCUGCGCGGUGGUAGGGAAUUCACAGAUGUAUUUCAUCGUUGUCGUCUGGUAUUGGCAGUUGGAUGGCUAAUUUAGAUGGCCCAGAAAUAGGAUUGGCUAAAUUAACGAUGGCCUCGCGUACACACGUUUGACAAGCAAAAUGACCAUGUCCGCAAAAUGUGCUCCCGGUUUCCACAUCCAAAAUGCAAAUAGCCAAGUGCCAUGUCUUAAAACAGAAAGGUUUUAAGACAUGACACUUGGCUAUUUGCACACGCAUUAAAAGUUCUAUGCAUACACUCACACCACCAAACACCCAAUGCCUACGGGAAGAUCGGACCGGAGUUCAUAUAAAACAUAAACUCAUGAGAGCAACUCCAACAGCUCACCUCAAAAACUUCCCGUAAAAUUGGUUUUAUGACACGGCCGUGUAAUUUAGGGAAAGUUGUUUGAGAGCUACUUUUGCUAGUUUCCCUAACACCUAUUUUAUUUUUAUUUCAUUAAACAAGCCUAGUGCCCGCAAGCCAGUCACAUAGAUGAGCGGCGGGGCCGCGCGGGGGCGCACCGGGGCGGAGGCGGGUAUGCGUGUGGCGGCAGAGUGGCGNNNNNNNNNNNNNNNNNNNNNNNNNNNNNNNNNNNNNNNNNNNNNNNNNNNNNNNNNNNNNNNNNNNNNNNNNNNNNNNNNNNNNNNNNNNNNNNNNNNNGCUAUCCAAUGGAACCUAGAGAGAUCACUAGCUAUAUGCAAUUUUCAUGAUUAUGACAAUAUCAUAUUGCUAUCCAAUGGAACCUAGAGAGAUCACUAGCUAUAUGCAAUUUUCAUAACCUUGGAUCAUAUUGAACCAAUUAGAUUUUUCAGAUUGUGGAACAUUAUUCCAAUCAGAUUGUGUUUCCUUCAACUAAUCAAAAUUGUUUCACUACAACUAUUUGAAGCGAACCAACUAUGAUUCCAAUGGAACAUAUUAAACACUAGUUGAUUCUAAUAAGAUUUUUCAGAUUAUGGAACACUAUUCCAAUCAGAUUGUGUUCCCCUUCAACUAAUCAAAAUUGUUUCACUACAACUAUUUGAAGGGAACCAACUAUGAUUGAAACAAAUAAACUUAUAAUGUCAUUACCUUAGAUCAAAGAAAGCCUCAAAACUUACCUCGCCCAUUGGAAGAUCAAGACAUGGUGUUUGAAACAUAGUUGGAUGAUGGCCAAAUUGUGUUCCCCUUCAACUAAUCAAAAUUGUUUCACUACAACUAUUUGAAGGGAACCAACUAUGAUUNNNNNNNNNNNNNNNNNNNNNNNNNNNNNNNNNNNNNNNNNNNNNNNNNNNNNNNNNNNNNNNNNNNNNNNNNNNNNNNNNNNNNNNNNNNNNNNNNNNNUGACAUCCCGCGGAAAGCUUCACCCAGGCUCAAAGAGACGGACGGAUAUUUUCAAGACCCAAGGCUUACCUGCACAGCCACAAGUCAUUAUGGGCUCUGGCUUGGUUGGACAACGCGGCGACUCUGGACAGGCGGUGCUAGCAGAUGCAGAAGAACGGUAGGAAUGGAUGGGCACCGACAGGGAUUCAGAGGGACCCGUUGAAAGACCAUGUUUUGAUCAUCCGUUCUUCAAACGCCCUGAAGUGCGAGGACAUACUCGGAGGCGAUCAAAUCUUGUGGGGAACGUGUGGAAAACUCUACAGAGUACUCAAACCUAAUCGAUUAGCCGUGUCCACGGUCAUGGACAACUUGAGCCAAAGGAACUGAAGUUAUCUGGAUUUCUCAACACCAUUAUAUAUAUUUGAUGAGGGUAAUAAUGAUAACUCGGGUAUGAGAACUGGUUGGCGGAACCAUCUCAUUAACAACCAACAGCGUAGUAAUAUUUUGGUUUUAGCCCUCUCUUGAUGUAGGAGAAAACUUGCUUUUCGCUAAAAACUUAUAGCCCCACCUGCCAUAUAUGCAUAUAGUAUAGAUGAUUACUUUGCACCCCUCUCAUAUGUGACUUGCCAGCAUAUUCAAUAUGCUGACCUACACGGCUGCAACGUCUUAUGUUGCAGAUAUUUUUCUUUGACGAGUAAGAGUACGAUUCAGGGUUACGGUCUACACUCAACUUGCCGUUGGUGUUUAUUGGGACUCCACUCCCUUGACUGCUUCCGCUGAGAUAUUUAAGGUAUAUAUCAGUUUUACGCUAUUUACAUGUGAUUGCACUUUGAUAUAUACAUUGAUGUACUGUGUGUGCCAGCAUACUGAUCCAGGGAUGGCACAGAAACACAGAGGCUUGACUCGUCUUGAGUCGGGUCGCUACAGAGAUGGUAUCACAGCACAUGUUGAGUGUAGGACGUCACCCUAGAAACUGGAAAUUUCUUACGAUGGGAUCUCUCGAAAAAAUCUUCUUUUCAAGAACACAUUUUACUUCUCAUCUCUUCUGAUUUCAUCAAUCAUUCUCUCUCACCUCCAAUAGUUAGACAAUACCCUUACCCCUUUGACCUCAUGGAGAAUCAACGAAGUUCUACUUCAAAGUAAAGAGGAUUUAAUCAUGCAUUUGAAGAAUUGAAGCUGCGACAAUUGAAGACUCUCAAGACCCGAAGAAUUUGAGGACCCUGAAGCGUUCGAAUGUUUAUAUGACCAUUAGAAGUCCAAACCCCUUUUAUAUACCCACGGUAGAUACGAUGAUUUGUGAGCCGUCAUUGGUGUGUGUUUUCCGACGGCCACAAAUAAAACCCACUCUCAAAAAUAUUGUUUGUAUUGUGUGUAUCUCCCUCCCUAUCUUACCUAUCUCAUCCCCAAAACCUCAACACUACCAGAGGAGUAUGAAGCUGGACUUGUAGUCUCUGGACCAAUGACCCAGGUGGAAGCUGAUAUAUGGAUCCAAAACAUGGAGAACCACUUCGGGAGCAACUUGAUCGCAAGGAAGUAUGAAGUGGAACACGCUCUUUAGUACUUUACACAAAGUGCUGCAAUCUGGUGGAAAAUGCAUCAUGCCAUACAAGGAUUUAGUGGAGCAGAAACCUGGGACGAAUUCAAGAGGACUCUGUUAAGAUCCCGUCUCAUUCGGAAGUGCUAUGAUAAUCCGAAGGAGAAUACUUGUGCAUGCAAGAUCUGUGGAGAAAUAGGACACACCCAGGAAGAACACAAGGAUGGAUGCACUCAUUGUGAAGAAAAUCACCCAGCUGAGGAGUGCCCAAGUAGUUAGGUGACUUGUUUCCUUUGUGAAGGAACCACCCACUACCCAGCUCAGUGUCACAUUUACCCCAAGGUGCAACAGGUUGUCAAGCAGCAGAAAGAAGCAGUGACGGAAACCCUUAAGAAGAAUAUUCUAGAAGAACCGGUGAUGAACGAAAAUAUUGAAGACCCUGAUGGACAAGGUCUGGCCAGAUUUUUCUCCAAUGCAUGCUACUCAUGUGGAGAAGAAGGACAUUAUUCACAGGACUGCACGAAGAGAAGCCAAGAGUAUGUGGGAAACUUCCCGACGGAAGAAGUGGAGUUUGAUCCACUUGAAAUAGAAGAACUAGCCAAAAUGAAGGAGUCCAAAAACAAGAAAAAGUACCAUCGGAAGAACCAAAUCUCUAUAGACAUAGACCUGAGUCAUGUCAGAUGUUACAAGUGCAUGAAAUUUGGCCACCACAAAUACAUGUACUCAGGAAGGAAGCCGGGAACCCAAGGAGCAAAGGCAAACACUAAGACGCCUCGAGACAUGUCAGAACUGAUUUGCUUUUGUUGCAAGGAAGCGGGACAUUUUGCUAGCGAUUGUCCACAAAGGAAGAAAGCUAGAAUGGAGUAGUUAAGUUUUGACCAUGGCAAUAAGUGUAAUCCGAAGCACUCUUUCUUUUCAUAAGAUCAUGGAGUGAAAUUUUUGUAACAGAAGUCCGUGAGAUUGUAAUAACAUCAUGAAUAAAUGGAAUUUAUUGUCUCAUGAUUUCCUAUGUUGAAAAUGUAUGCGUUGUUUCUCUACGAGCAAAGCUCUCUGAACAAUUAGGAGGAUAAGAGAAAAUAUGGUUUAUGCAGGCAUGAGUAUACUUAAUUUAAGUGUGGUAGUAAUCGGUAAACCCACAGGAUCCAUUGAGUAGGAGUGUACCAUGAUCUCAAGGAGCACCUCGGAAAGUUCGAGUGGAACUAAAGUACCUCCAAGAGAGGCAGAUGAAAAAAGUUGGCAGAAAUGCUCGACCAUACCGAACCAUGUGGAUGGCAGCAUUUGUAAUAGAGUACUUUUGAAUUGGAGUUUCUUUUGAGGAGAAAUUAAGGAAUGUAAUAAAGGAUUGAUUAUGAAAUGCAUAUGAUUUAUGGAAGAAGCUAUGAUGGAUCAGCAAACAUUUUCUUAGGAGCGUACGAAAACCUGAGAGUUGUGAAGAUACGAUAGAUGUUUCGUUCAGCUUGCAAACCAAUGGAUUAUCCGAACUUCGUUCGUGGACAAGAGAAAUUCUGCAACGCUUGUGAGAAUGCCCAAGUGUUAGAAUGCGAGAUUCGCUAAACCUUAUACAGAGAAAUGAUUUGGGUGCGGAAUGGAUUGAUCACCAUGACGACCUACUCUUAUCAUUUAUCUUGCUAUUCGUAAUGGUAAAUCUGAGAGACUUACCCAUAUAGAGAGACGCCGUUCUUUGNNNNNNNNNNNNNNNNNNNNNNNNNNNNNNNNNNNNNNNNNNNNNNNNNNNNNNNNNNNNNNNNNNNNNNNNNNNNNNNNNNNNNNNNNNNNNNNNNNNNAUUUGGUUGCCAGCCUGAUAUCGAAUCGUGCGCAUUUGGCGUUUGAUAAGCUUAAAGGUCUUGAUGUGUUUCCGACGAGAUUGUGUUCAGACAUUUCACCAUAAGAUCUUGGACUUGGGUAAGUCGUGUGUUUUGAACGUCGACCGGUCACUCCUUACUUUUUUGUUUUCGAGCCCAUCUUUCUUUGCGAGAAGAGUUCAAAAGGUAUGAGGCGGCGCCCUGGUCAAUCCGGAGCUUGUACAACUUCAAUACGUCCUCGGUUGGCCAUUAUUGCCACCUCUCCUGACCCACAGCUCCACCUAGCUCAGAGCACAAGGCCAUUAGCCAUGGAGGAGAACGGCGGUGUGCGGCACUGGAACGCCGACGUGAACGGCGUGUCCCUCCACGUGGCCGAGCAGGGCCCCGCCGCCGGCCCGGCGGUGCUCCUCCUGCACGGCUUCCCGGAGCUCUGGAUGUCAUGGCGCCACCAGAUGGCCGCCCUCGCCGCACGCGGCUACCGCGCCUUGGCNNNNNNNNNNNNNNNNNNNNNNNNNNNNNNNNNNNNNNNNNNNNNNNNNNNNNNNNNNNNNNNNNNNNNNNNNNNNNNNNNNNNNNNNNNNNNNNNNNNNGCGCCCCUCCUCCCCGGCUGCCCACCGCCCAUAGGUGAGUUUUUUUUAUUUAAUUAGAUUUAGUUAGUUGAUUUAGUUAUUUGAUUUAGUGGUAGUUUAGUUAGUUGUUUUAGUUAAAUAGUAGAUUUAGUCCUACGUUUAGUUAAUUAGUGCUAGGUUAUUUGUUAUUUGUUAAUUUAGAGGUUGAUUCUAUUUUGUUAAUUAGUGGUAGAUUCUUUUUUAGUUAAUGAUUGGUAGAUUGUGUUUUUGUUAAUUUUUUUGCUUUUUAGUGCUAUAUAGGUUUAGCGAUAGGUUAAGUGAUAGGUUUAGAUUCUACAUAGUCAUAAUUGAAAUAAGUAGAAACAAGAUGAAGAAUAAAAGAAGAAUAAGUAGAUAAGGGAAGAAGAAUAAGAAGACGAGGAGGAGGAGGAGGGUAAAAAGAAGAAGAAGAAGAAGAAGAAGAGAGAGUAGAAGAAUAAAGAAGACGAAAAAGGAAAAGAAGGAAGAAGAAGAAGAAGAAGAAGAAGAAGAAGAAGAAGAAGAAGAAGAAGCAGAAGAAGAGGGAAAUGGAAAAGAAGGAAGAAGAAGAAGAAGAAGAAGAAGAAGAAGAAAAGGAAGGAAGGAAGAAGAAGAAGAAGAAAAGGAAGAGGAGGAAAAAAGAUGAAGAAGAAGAAAAUGACACCCUGACACCUCGACACCCCGACACGAUGCCCGAAACCCUGACACGACAUCCUGACGACACCCUGGCAGAAUACGCCACCCCUGACACCACUGACCCCAACCCCCGACCUCCGACAACUCUUGGGCCUCUUGUUGACCGAAAAGUCCCCCGACCACCGACCCCUGACGCCACUGACCCUGGACCCCCGACGACACNNNNNNNNNNNNNNNNNNNNNNNNNNNNNNNNNNNNNNNNNNNNNNNNNNNNNNNNNNNNNNNNNNNNNNNNNNNNNNNNNNNNNNNNNNNNNNNNNNNNGGGGCGGCGUGGGACGACGCGGGGCGACGACGACGACGGCGAGGCGGAGACGGACGGACAGCCUGACGGCGUCGGGAUCGAAUGGAGAGAGGGGGAGAAAUCAAAAUUUCUAAACUGUCGCUUAUAUAGCCCCACCUUUAGUCCCGGUUGGUGGCACCAACCGGGACCAAAGGUCUCUUUUCAGCAGCCCAAAGGGCGGGAAGCAGAGGUAUUGGUACCGGUUGGUGGCACAAAUCGGGACCAAAGGUAUCUUUUCAGCAGCCCAAAGGGCGGGAAGCAGAGGCAUUGGUAUCGGUUUGUGGCACGAACCGAUACCAAUGCCUCCCUUUAGUCCCCGUUAGUGCCACCAACCGGGACCAAAGGCCUUGCGCGGUACGGUGCUAUGUUUAGUCCCACCUCGCUAGCCGAGAGGGGCUCGGAGUGGUUUAUAAGCCCUGCCGAACCAACCACUUCGAGCUCCUCUCUACGGGCCUAAAAUAACUCUAUGUAGUUGUGGACCUAUUGGGCUUACUGCGGGCCUGCAUCCUGGCCCUAGUAAUGAGUUUCUAGUCGUAUCCAUGCCCUGGUGGCCCUAUAGGUGGCACUUUUUUUAAUUUUAUUUCAUGUUUUUUGCUUUCUUUUUUGUUUCUAAUUACUUAUUUAUUUUCUUUUACGAUAAUUCUUUUUGCUAUUAAAGUUUGUAACAAAAUUCUAAUUAGUUAUUUAUUUUCUUUUAUGAUAAUUCUUUUUGCUUUUAAUGUUUUGAACAAAAUUCUAAUUACUUAUUUAUUUUCUUUUAUGAUAAUUCUUUUUGCUAUUAAAGUUUGUAACAAAAUUCUAUAUAAUUUUAGUUUCAAUAAUACUAGAGGCAAAAACUGGAUGCACUUCGUGUACAAAACGGACAAUCUCUUUGAAAGUAUCACGGUUUCAUACGGAAACUCGUCUCUUACAAAGGGAUUUCAUUUUUUAAAACUUAUUUGAACUCCAUAGUUUUUCUGUAUUCAAAAUGCACCAUUCAAAGCCACAUCAUCAAUUUACAACCCUUUCUGACUUCAUUUUUUAUUUUUCAUGAAUUUACUGAUUAUUUUAAGCUAUAAGACCAUGAAAUUGAAAAGCAUUUGNNNNNNNNNNNNNNNNNNNNNNNNNNNNNNNNNNNNNNNNNNNNNNNNNNNNNNNNNNNNNNNNNNNNNNNNNNNNNNNNNNNNNNNNNNNNNNNNNNNNGGAGGAGAUAAGGCCACGGGGAGGAGGAGAAGUAGGCUCGGGGCGUCGCGCUGGCGCUCCUGGGGGCCGCCAGCGGCGAGCAGGCAGGCAGGAGGUGGCCGGGGCUUGGCUGCCGUGCUCAUCUUCUCCUCUGCCUACUGGCAGGAGGAGGAAGAUGACUGGGGAGCCCCAGGUGGGCUGGGCCGGCGACACAUAGAAGGUAAGACUUUCCUUUCUAUUUUUCUUCUGUUUUAUUUACUGACAUUGUUUCCCAUUUAUUUUGGCUUCACAAUCAAACUAUAAAUAGUUUGAAAAAUGUUGGGGUGUUAGUUCGAAUAUUUCCAAUCACCCAUAAAGUUUUCAGCAUUUUUGAAAACUAUGUAUCUUUGAAUUCAAAUUCCAAACUUGAAAACAGUAGUCUUUUGCAUUUAUUUAAAAUGCCAAAAGUAUAAAGGAAAUGUUUUCCUUUAUUGCUUAUUUGUUUUCAAGAAUUAUCAGAAAAGUUGAACUUUUCUUGAGGCCAUUUUGGGUUCAUUGACUUGAAUAAGUUUAUAAUUCCUUUGAAUUUGAGAAGUGGCUAGGUUUUUUGAGUUUCCCUUCACCACUUACUUUGAUCUUGUUGCCAUUUUCUUGGAUGCAAUGCAAAGAAAAAUAUGAGCACAAUGCUAAACCUUGGUUAGGGUUCCAGGGAUGUGACAUCAGUCCACUCUGGAGUACCCCGGAGCUGGUUAUUUCCCUCCUUGGGAGUAGACCAACUUAGGCCAAAAGCCUAAGCUUGGGGGAGUACGUGUUCUCACCGACUUUACAUUCUUGCUUAUGCUUUCGCUUUGUUUGUCGGUGUUCACACUUUGCCAAUGUAUCAUCCAUGCUAGUUUAUUUUCUUUUUCUCGUUUUCUUUUAGUGUGUCUGUCUAGUUUGAGAAAACCCAAAAAGAUUUUCUUUUUCUUCUUUUGUUUGUUGGGAGCUUUCCCAUGUAGAUAGUUUUCAUUUCCUUUGGGUCAAGGUAGAAGAUAUUGGUUACAAUGUUUAGUGGCUCUUGCAUGCAUACAUGUUUAGCUUUCAAAGAGCCAUAUUACUUUGUCUUCUCCUUUGUGUUUUCCUGCUGAUUCCAGCUUAGUCCCAUGCACGAGCACACUUAUUAUUGUUCACAUCGUUCGGUCGUGCAAGUGAAAGGCAAUAAUGACGAUAUAUGAUGAAGUGACUGAGCCUGGAAAAGCUGGUAUUAACUCGAUCUAUUUUGUUUUUGUAAAUAAGACUAGCUCAUCAUGCCCGAUUCAGCUUUUUGUGAGAGAAACAUGUUUGCAAUGACAACUUAGAGAUCAUAGUUGCUUAUGCCAUGCUUACUUAGCUAGGAGCUUAUAAUUGUUUGUCUUGGAUGCCCACAUGAAUGUUGAGAUGACUGUGUUGUAGUAUGAUAGGAUGGUAUCCUCCUUUGAAAGAUUCAAGUGGCUUGACUUGGCGCAUGUUCACGCAUGUAGUUGAAACAAAAUUAACAUAGCCUCUAUGAUAUUCAUGUUCAUGGUGAUUUAUGUAUUACUCAUGCUUGCACUCAAUGCUAGUUAAUCUUAUUGCAUUUUGAUGACUGUUGUCGCUCUCUAGUUUGUCGCUUCCCAAUCUUUUGCUAGCCUUCACUUGUACUAAGCAGGAAUACUGCUUGUGCAUCCACUCCCAUAAGCCCAAAGUUGUUCCAUAUGAGUCCACCAUACCUACCUAUGUGCGGUAUCUACCUGCCGUUCCAAGUAAAUUUGCAUGUGCCACUCUCUAAAUCUUCAAGAAAUAAUCUGUUUUGCAUGCCUGAACCGCUCAUGUGGUGACAGGGGGCUAUCAGUAUCUUCCAUGCUAGGCGUGUUAUCCUCGAUAUGUGUUUUUUCACUACCAUUCACGAGAAAGGGGUCGGUAAUUGGAAUUCUCAGUUCCAUGCUCAAAUCGAAAAGAUAAUUACAAACAAAACUCCCCCAGGAUUGAUGUUGGUAUAGACGGUACCCGAGGAUUCGGCUAGCCGUCGAGAGUGAUUGAUUGGUGGUAGGGGAGUCAAAACUUUACUUUUCUGUUUGGGAACAGCCUAUAGCAUGUGUAGCGUGGAAGAUGUUGAGAACUAUUAGUCAUUGUGUUGACAACGAAAAGCAUGCCACCCAAAAUUAUUAUCUCUGUUUUCAAAGCUUGAGCUCUGGCACCUCUGCAAAUCAAUGCUUCCCUCUACGAAGGGCCUGCCUAUUUAUGUUCCUGUUGAGUCAUCCUCCUCUUAUAAAAGCACCAAUUAGAGAGCACCUUUGUCGUUUUUAUGCUUUGCUUUUAACUGUGUUGAGUAUGACUGUGACUAGAUCUUCAUUGACUUGAAUUACAAUGUUUAGUCAGCCCUUGGUCUUUGAAGGUGCUCUGCAUUUAUGUUUUGCGGUCUCAGAAAGAGCUAGCGAGAUACCACCUGUUCGUACUGCUUCAUGUUGUUUUGAUUGAAGUGUUGACAUUUGAGGCCUAUUAUUAUUUGCUCGCUAGCUGAUUAUGCCAUUGAUAUGAGUUUACCGUGUGUGGUUUGCUUGUGAUCUUGCUGAAAUUCUGGUUAUGAGUUAGACAUAGUUGCAACAACAAGAUCAAACAGAGUGCGUAAAAGUUUUUCUUUUGUCUCUUUCAGUUUGUCAACUGAAUUGCUUGAGGACAAGCAAGGCUUUAAGCAUGGGGGAGUUGAUACGUCUCCGUCGUAUCUACUUUUCCGAACUCUUUUGCCCUUGUUUUGGACUCUAACUUGCAUAAUUUGAAUGGAACUAACCCGGACUAACGCUGUUUUCAGCAGAAUUGCCAUGGUGUUUUUUUUGUGCAGAAAUAAAAGUUCUUGGAAUGACCUGAAAAUUUACGGAGAAUUUUUCUGGAAUUAAUGAAAAAUACCUGCACAAAGAUCCACCACAGGGGGUGAGCGAGUGGGCCACAAGCCCACUGGCCGCGGCCACCCCCAGGCUGCACCAACCAGGCUUGUGGAGCCCACGAGGCUCCACUGCCUCCAAACUCAGCUCUAUAUAGUCCGUUUUGCCAAAAAAAAAUUAGGGAGAAGGAUUCAUCGCGUUUUAUGAUACGGAGGUGCCGCCACCUCCUGUUCUUCAUCUGGAGGGCAGAUCUGGAGUCCGUUCUAGGCUCCGGAGAGGGGAAAUCGUCGCCAUCGUCAUCAUCAACCUUCCUCCAUUGCCAAUUCCAUGAUGCUCUUCACCGUUCGUGAGUAAUCUCAUCAUAGUCUUGCUGGACGGUGAUGAAUUGGAUGAGAUCUAUCAUGUAAUCGAGCUAGUUUUGACGGGGAUUGACCCCUAGUAUCCACUGUGUUCUGAGAUUGAUGUUUCUACUACUUUGCCAUGUUAAAUGCUUGUCACUAGGGCCCGAGUGCAAUGACAGAUCUGAACCUAUUAUGUUGUCGCCAAUAUAUGUGUGUUUUAGAUCCUAUCUUGCAAGUUGUAGUCACCUACUAUGUGUUAUGACCCGGCAACCCCGGUGUGACAAUAGCCGGAACCACUCCCGGAGAUGACCAUAGUAUGAGGAGUUCAUGUAUUCACCACGUGUUAAUGCGUUGGUCCGGUUCUUUAUUAAAAGGAGAACCUUAAUUUCCCGUAGUUUCCAUUAGGACCCCGCUGCCACGUGAGGGAUGGACAAUAGAUGUCAUGCAAGUUAUUUUCCCUAAGCACGUAUGACUACAUACGGAAUACAUGCCUCCAAUAGAUUGAUGAACGGGUGCUAGUUACUUAUCUCUCCAUGUUAUAGCUGUUACGUGAUGAAUCACAUCCGGCAUAAUCAUCCAUCACUGAUCCACUGCCUACGAGUCUUUUACUACUGGUCCUUGCUAUGUUACUUUGCCGCUACUGCUGUUACUACUGCUGCUGUUACUCUGUUGCUAUUGUUGUUACUCUGCUGCUACUGCUAUUCCUUGCUACUUCUGUUACUUGCUACUUUUUUGUUACCUGCUGCAAGACUAUUUACUGGCGCCAUUGAUUCAACAAGUCAGGAAAAGUCUGCCGUGAACAGACCCUUUUCUGGCACCGUUGCUAUCAUACUACUUUGCUACUGAUACUUUGCUUGCAGACACUAAUCUUUCAGGUGUGGUUGAAUUGACAACUCAGUUGCUAAUACUUGAGAAUACUCUUUCGCUUCCCCUUGUGUCGAAUCAAUAAAUUUGGGUUGAAUACUCUACCUUCAAAAACUGUUGCGAUCCCCUACACUUGUGUGUUAUCAGUAAGCAGCAUCAUCAUUAUCAUCACACCUUUUGAAGAGAGCUUCAUUUCGUAAGCACCCAUAAAAGCAACAAACUCUUCUAUUUGUUCCACAUCAUAGAAAUCAUAUAUACCAUUAGCAUAAGAAGCCAAGGUUUCAUUAGCAUUAAAUUUACAAGAAAAGGGAAGGUGUUUACCCUUCAUCCUAGAGCAACAAGUAAUACCAUAUCUCGAGCAUAGCUCCCAAGCAUACCAUUUCAACAUAUGCAUUUGAUCCCAUAAUAGUUUCCCUUUUUGAGUCAAGCGAUAAUCCCUAAAGUAUUCACGUUGAUCAAACGGGUAUCCCAUUCUACAAUUUAAUGGGGUUUUCUGAGGAUUAUUAAAGAAGUGCAUAAUAUUUUCCACAUAACGAGCAUCGAGGGUUUUAGGAGGUUCCCCAUCUCCAUGAGUAGGAAGUACACCUACUUUUUUUGGUAUUUCGUGUUCCAUAUCCAUAACUAAAGAUAGAGAACACCUUAGAACAGCAAAUAAAUCUACUUAGUGAUAAAGCAAACAAGCACACACGAGAAUAUUCACCCCACGCUAUUGCUCCCCGGCAACGGCGCCAAAAAAAGGUCUUGAUAACCCACGAGUAUAGGGGGUCAAUUGUACCCUUUCUCGAUAAGUAAGAGUGUCAAACCCAACGAGGAGCUAAAGGUAGGACAAAUAUUCCCUCAAGUUAUAUCGACCACCGAUACAACUCUACGCACACUUUACGUUCGCUUUACCUNNNNNNNNNNNNNNNNNNNNNNNNNNNNNNNNNNNNNNNNNNNNNNNNNNNNNNNNNNNNNNNNNNNNNNNNNNNNNNNNNNNNNNNNNNNNNNNNNNNNGAUCAAAUUAAGUGGGUCUAAUCGUGAGGCUGCAAUUGUGUGUGUGGUUUUGUGUACGCUUGACUGGUGCACUUAGCAAUGAAUAUGUUGGAUUGUUUAUUAGUAGUAUAGACAUAAUUUUAACGGAUAGAUCAAAUUAAGUGGGUCUAAUCGUGAGGCUGCAAUUGUCCGUGCGGAACGCUGGAUGCACUUAGCAAUGAAUGUGUUGAAUUGUUUAUUAGUAGUAUAGACAUAAUUUUAACGGUUAGAUCAAAUUAAGUGGGUCUGAUCGUGAGGCUGCAAUUGUUAGUGUGGUUAUGUAUACGUUUGGCCGGGUGCACUUAGGAAUGAAUGUGUUGGAUUGUUUAUUAGUAGUAUAGACAUAAUUUUAACGGUUAGAUUAAAUUAAGUGGGGUCUGAUCGUGAGGUGCAAUUGUCCGUGCGGUUGUGUGUACAUUUGGCUGGGUGCAUUUAGCGAUGAAUGUGUUGGAUUGUUUAUUAGUACUAUAGAUAUAAUUUUAACGGUUAGAUCAAAUUAAGUGGGUCUGAUCGUGAGGCUGUAAUUGUCCGUGCGCUUAUGUGUAGCUUGGCCGGGUGCACUUAGGAAUGAAUGUGUUGAAUUGUUUAUUAGUAGUAUAGAUAUAAUUUUAACGGUUAGAUCAAAUUAAGUGGGUCUGAUCGCGAGGCUGCAAUUGUUCGUGCGGUUUUGUGUACGUUUGGCUGGAUGCACUUAGCAGUGAAUGUGUUGAAUUGUUUAUUAGUAGUAUAGAUAUAANNNNNNNNNNNNNNNNNNNNNNNNNNNNNNNNNNNNNNNNNNNNNNNNNNNNNNNNNNNNNNNNNNNNNNNNNNNNNNNNNNNNNNNNNNNNNNNNNNNNUGAAGCAUAAAGCACCAUGUUCAAGUAGAGGGUACAGCGGGUUGCGGGCGAGUGGACCGCUGAAUAUAGAUGGGGGAAGGUGAUGGAGGUGUUGGUGAAGAUGAUGGAGGUGUUGGUGUAGAUCGCCGUCACACGAUGAUGUCCCGGGCGGCGUUCCGGCGUCGUUGGGAGAGAGGGGGAGAGAGCCCCCCUUCUUCUUCUUCUUCUUCUUCUUCCUUGACCUCCUCCCUAGAUGGGAGAAGGGUUUCCCCUCUGGUUCAUGGUCUCCAUGGCGGCGUAGGGGCGAGAGCCCCUCCGAGAUUGGAUCUCUCUCUAUGUGUCCUUCUGUUUCCACGCUCCGAGAUUCUUCCUUUCACCGUUUCUUAAAUUCCUGGAGAUCCGUAACUCCGAUUGGGCUGAAAUUUUAACAUGAUUUUCUUCCGGAUAUUAUAUUUCUUGCUCUGAAAAAAGGGCCCCAACCACCUUAGGGAUCGGUCUCAAGAGUGCCAGCCGCGCCCUAGGGGGGNNNNNNNNNNNNNNNNNNNNNNNNNNNNNNNNNNNNNNNNNNNNNNNNNNNNNNNNNNNNNNNNNNNNNNNNNNNNNNNNNNNNNNNNNNNNNNNNNNNNNNNNNNNNNNNNNNNNNNNNNNNNNNNNNNNNNNNNNNNNNNNNNNNNNNNNNUUUCGUGUAGAUUCUUCUUCCCAAAAAUCAUAAAUAUUCCAAAAAAAAUCCCCGUAGUUUUUUUUUAUUUCGUUUGGUAUGGAUAAUCUGUGAAACAAAAAACAUGCAACAAACAGGCACUGGGACUAGGCACUGGAUCAAUAUGUUAGUCCCAAAAAUAAUAUAAAAAGUUGCCAAAAGUAUAUGAAAGUUGUAGAAUAAUGGCAUGAAACAAUCAAAAAUUAUAGAUACGAUGGAGACGUAUCAGCAUUCCCAAGCUCAAUUCCUGCUCGUCCUCGAGUAGCUAAAUGAUAAAAAAGAUAAUUUUUGAUGUGGAAUGCUACCUAGCAUAAUCUUGAUCAUAUAAUCUAAUCAUUGCAUGAAUACUAAAACACGAGUGAUUCGAAGCAAUAGUCUAUCAUUUGACAUAAAGAUAAUAAUAUUUCAAGCAUACUAACAAAGCAAUCUUGUCUUCUCAAAAUAUCAUGGCCAAAGAAAGUUAUCCCUACAAAAUCAUAUAGUCUGGCUAUGCUCCAUCUUCCCCCACACAGCGUAUUUAAAUCAUGCACAACCCCGAUUUUAGCCAAGCAAUUAUUUCAUACUUUAGUGUUCUCAAACUUUUUCAACUUUCACGCAAUACAUGAGCGUGAGCCAUGGACAUAGCACUAUAGGUGGAAUACAAUAUGGUGGUUGUGGAGAAGACAAAAAGGAGGAGAUAGUCUCACAUCAACUAGGUGUAUCAAUGGGCUAUGGAGAUACCCAUCAAUAGGUAUCAAUGUGAGUGAGUAGGGAUUGCCAUACAACAGNNNNNNNNNNNNNNNNNNNNNNNNNNNNNNNNNNNNNNNNNNNNNNNNNNNNNNNNNNNNNNNNNNNNNNNNNNNNNNNNNNNNNNNNNNNNNNNNNNNNNNNNNNNNNNNNNNNNNNNNNNNNNNNNNNNNNNNNNNNNNNNNNNNNNNNNNNNNNNNNNNNNNNNCAAUUUGAGGAAGCCCAUCAUUGGAAUAUACAAGCCAAGUUCUAUAAUGAAAAUUUCCCACUAGUAUAUGAAAGUGACAACAUAGGAGACUCUCUAUCAUGAAUAUCAUGGUGCUACUUUGAAGCACACGCGUGGGAAAGGAUAGUAGCAUUGUCCCUUCUCUCUUUUCUCUCAUUUUUUAUUAUUAUUUUUUCUCUCUUUUUUUGGGUGGGCUUCUUUGGUCUCAUCUUUUUAUUUGGGCUUCAUUGGCCUCUUUUAGUACUUCCUCACAUGGGACAAUGCUCUAAUAAUGAUGAUCAUCACAGUUUUAUUUACUUACAACUCGAUAUUUAGAACAAAAUAUGACUCUAUAUGAAUGCCUCCGACGGUGUACCGGGAUGUGCAAUGAUCUAGCGUAGCAAUGACAUCAAAAAAUGGACAAGCCAUGAAAACAUCAUGCUAGCUAUCUUACGAUCAUGCAAAGCGAUAUGACAAUGAUGGUGUGUGUCAUAAUAAACGGAAUGAUGGAAGUUGCAUGGCAAUAUAUCUCGGAAUGACUAUGGAAAUGCCAUAAUAGGUAGAUAUGGUGGCUGCCUUGAGGAAGGGUAUAUGGUGGGUGUAAUGCACCGGCGAAAGUUGCACGCUACUAGAGAGGCUAGCAAUGGUGGAAGGGUGAGAGUGAGUAUAAUCCAUGGACUCAACAUUAGUCAUAAAGAACUCAAAUACUUAUUGCAAAAGUCUAUUAUUCAUCGAAACAAGGUACUACACGCAUGCUCCUAAGGGAAGGGUUGGUAGGAGUUAACCAUCGCGUGAUCCCGACUUCCACACAAAGGAUGACAAUCAAUAAAUAAAUCAUCCUCCGACUUCGUCACAUAAUAGUUCACCAUAUGUGCAUGCUACGGGAAUCACAAACCUUAACACAAGUAUUUAUAUGAAUACACAAUUACUCCCUAGCAUGACUCUAAUAUCACAUCUUCAUGUCGCAAAACUAUUGCAAGGAAUCAAACAUAUCAUAUUCAGUGAUCUACAAGUUUUAUGUAGGAUUUUAUGACUAACCAUGUGAAUGACCAGCUCCUCUUAACUCUCUAAAUAGGUAUAAGUGAAGCAUGAGAGUUUAAUUCUUUCUACAAAAGAUAUGCCCCGCUCUAAUAAAUAUAAGUGAAGCAAAAGAGCAUUCUACAGAUGGCGGUUUUCUAUGUGUUGGGAAACAGGCAAUCCAAAUUUCAAAUGAUAUAAGUGAAGCACAUGAAGCAUUCUAUAAAGCCGUACUCAAAAGAUAUAAGUUAAGUGCAAAGAGAAUUCUAUAAAUCAACCAAGGACUAUCUCAUACCAGCAUGGCGCAUAAAAGAAAAAGUAAAAAUAAACAAAUAUCAUGUGAUGAAUAAAAAUAUAGCUCCGAGUAAAAUUACCGAUAGAUUGUAGAUGAAAGAGGGGAUGCCUUCUAGGGCAUCCCCAAGCUUAGACGCUUGAGUCUUCCUUGAAUAUUACCUUGGGGUGCCUCGGGCAACCCCAAGCUUAGGAUCUUGCCUCUCAUUAUUCCUUCAUCCAUCGUGGUCUCACCCAAAACUUGAAAACUUUAAUCACACAAAACUCAACAAAACCUUCGUGAGAUCCGUUAGUAUAAUAAAGUAAAUCGCCACUUUAAGCAUUGUUCUGAACUCAUUCCAAAUUCAUAUUAGCAUUAUAUAUACUGUAAUACAACUUCACCAUGGUUCAUACCCCCUGAUACUACCCAUAGAUUCAUCAAAAUAAGAGAACAAUGCAUAGAAAACAGAAUCUGUCAAAAACAGAACAGUCUGUAGUAAUCUGAACUUAUACCAUACUUCUGAUACUCCAAAAAUUCUAAAACAUUAUAACAAUUAGGUAAAUUUGCAUAUCAAUGAGCAGCAAAAACAAUCAAUUCAAAAUAUCUUUAUGGAUAGGAAUUAAAAAUAAUCAACAUAGUCUCGUGUUUGGGUUCAACCUUGUUGUUUCUUCAUUGGAGCGACAACUGACUUGUCAUUCUCGAAAUUUCACUUCUUUCCCUUGCCCUUCUUGAAACUAGUGGUUUUACUAACCAUCAACACUUCAUGCUCCUUCUUGAUUUCUACCUUCGUGAUGUCAAACAUCGUGAAUAUCUCAAGGAUCAUAUUCUCCAUACCUGGUAUGUAUAGUUUAUCACGAAGCUCGAUAGCUUGGUGGCAGUGACUUUGGAGAACUAUGUCAAUCACUAUCUUAUCUGGAAGAUCAACUCGCACUUGAAUCAAGUCAUUGUAGCACCCAGACAAUCUGAGCACAUGCUCAACUAUUGAGAUUAUAUCCUUUACUUUGCAUACAAAGAAUCUGGUCGGAGGUCUCAUACCUCUCGACACGGGCACGAGCCUGAAAUCCUAAUUUCAGCUCUUGGAACAUCUCAUAUGUUCCAUGACAUUGAAAAUGUCUUGGGCGCCUCAAUUCUAAGCCAUCAAGCAUGACACACUGAACUAUCACGUAGUCAUCAGAACGGGUAUGUCAGAUGUUUGCAACAUCCACAGACAACGCUUGGGGUAGCACACCGAACGGUGCAUUAAGGACAUAAGCCUUUUAUGCAGCAAUGAGGACAAUUCUCAAUUCACGGACUCAGUAUGCAAAGUUGCUACUAUCAUAUUUCAACUAAAUUUUCUCUAGGAACAUAUAAAAACCAUGAUAGGUCUUCGUGUGCGUAGGAAAAUUCACGUCUUCAGUUGCUACUGGUUUCUAUAUGUUCCUAGUGAAAAUUUAGUUUAAAGAUGAUAGUAGGAACUUUGCAGACUGAGUCCGUGAAUUGAGGAUUGUCCUCAUUGCUGCGCAGAAGGCUUAUGUCCUUAAUGCACCGCUCGGUGUGCUGCACCUCGAGCGUCGUCUGUGGAUGUUGUGAACAUCUGACAUACACGUUUUGAUGACUACGUGAUAGUUCAGUGCGUAAUACUUAACAGCUUAGAAUUGAGGCACUAAAGACGCUUUUUUAACUUCACGGAACAUAUAAGAUGUUCUUAGAGAUGAAAUUGGGAUUUCAUGCUCGUGCCCUUGUCGAGAGGUAUGUGACCUCCGACAAGAUUCUUUAUCUACAAAUUAAAAGGAGAAAAGCUCAAUCAUUGAGCAUGUUCUCAGAUUGUCUAAGUGCAACAGUCGCCUGAAUCAAGUGGGAGUUAAUCUUCCAGAUGAGAUAGUGAUGUAUCUCCAAAGUCACUGCCACCAAGUUGCUAGAGCUUCGUGAUGAACUAUAACAUAUCAAGGAUAGAUAUGAUGAUCCUUGAGAGAUUCACAAUGUUUUGACACUCCAAAAGUCGAAAUCAAGAAGGAGCAUCAAUUGUUGAUGGUUAGUAAAACCAUUAGUUUCAAGAAGGGCAAGGGCUAGAAGGGAUACUCUGCUCUAAUGAAGAAACCCAAGAUUGAACCUAAACCCGAGACUAAGUGCUUCUGCUAUGAGGGGAACGGUCACUAAGGCAGAGCUACCCUAGAAACUUGGUAGAUGAGAAGACUGGCAAAGUCGACAGAAGUAUAUUCCAUAUACAUGAUAUUGAUGUGUACUUUACUAGUACUCCUAGUAGCACGAGGGUAUUAGAUACCGGUUCGGUUGCUAAGUGAUUAGUAACUCGAAAUAAAAGCUACGGAAUAAACGGAGACUAGCUAAAGGCGAGGUGACGAUGCGUGUUGGAUGGGUUUCCAAGGUUGAUGUGAUCAAAACAUCGCACGCUCCCUCUACCAUCGAGAUUGGUGUUAAACCUAAAUAAUUGUAUUUGGUGUUUGCGUUGAGCAUGAACAUCAUUGGAUCAUGUUUGUUGCAAUAGACUAUUUAUUUAGAGAGAAUAAUUGUUAUUCUAUUUUCUUGAAUGAUUACGCUCAAUGGUUUAUUGAAUCUCGAUCGUAGUGUUACACAUGUUCAUAAUAUUGGUGCCAAAAGAUACAAAGUAAAAAUGAUAGUACCACUUACUUGUGGCACUGCCACUUGAGUCAUGUUGGUGUAAAAUGCAUGAAGAAACUCCAUGCUGAUGGAUCUUUGUACUCACUCAUUUUUGAAACGUUUGAGACAUGCAAACCAUACUUGUUGGUAUGAACGCAUGAAGAAACUCCAUGCAGAUGGAUUGUUUGGAUUCACUUGAUUUUGAAUCACUUGAGACAUGCAAAAUCAUACCGCAUGGAACAAGAAAGUAACUUGUUGGAAGCAAUGCAUUUUGAUGUGUGCAGUCCAAUAAGUGCUGAGGCAUGUAAUGGAUAUCGUUAUGUUCUUACUUCACUGACGAUUUGAGUAGAUACAUGAGUAUUUACUUGAUGAAUCACAAGUGUGAGUUAUUGAAAAGUUCAAAGCUAUUUUAAAGUCCUGACAAGAGGAUAAACUGUCUACGAUAUGAUCAUUGAGAUGAAUAUUUGAGUUGCGAGUUUUUGGUACACAGUUAAGAAAAUGUGGAAAUUGUUUCGUAGUUCAUGCCACCUAGAACACCGUAGUGUGAUGGUGUGUCCUUACGUCAUAGCCGCGCCCUAUUUGAUAUGGUGCAUACUAUGACGUCUCUUAUCAAAAUUACCACUAUCGUUUAUGGGUGAUGCAUUAGAGACAACAACAUUCACUUUAAAUAGGGCAACACGUAUUUCCUUGAGAUGACACAGUAUGAACUAUGGUUUAGAGAAACCUGAGCUGUCGUUUCUUGAAAGUUUGGGGCUGCACGCUUAUGUGAAAAAGUUUGAGUCCGAUAAGCUCGAACCCAAAGCGGAUAAAUGCAUCUUCAUAGGAUAUCCAAAACAAUUGGGUACAUCUCCUAUCUCAGAUCCAGAAGCAAAGUGUUUGUUUCUAGAAACGUGUCCUUUCUCGAGGGAAGGUUUCUCUCAAAAGAAUUGAGUGGGAGGGUGGUGAAACUUGAUGAGGUUGUAGAACCGUCACUUCAACCAGUGUGUAGCAGGGCGGAGGAAGUUGUUCCUGUGGCACCUACACCAAUUGAAGUGGAAACUGAUGAUGGUGAUCGUUAAGCUUCAGGAUCAAGUUACUACAAACCUCGUAGGUCGACAAGGUCGCGUACUACUAUAGAGUGGUAUGGUAACCCUGUCUUGGAGGUCAUGUUGUUGAACAACAAUGAACCUACGAGCUAUGGAGAAGCGAUGGUGGGCCUGGAUUCCGAUAAAUGGCUGGAGGCCAUGAUAUCCGAGAGAGGAUUCAUGUAUGAAAACAAAGUGUAGACUUUGGAAGAACUACUUGAUGGUCGUAAGACUAUUAAGUAAAAGAUGGAUCUUUAAAAGAAAGACACACGAUAAUGGUGAAAAGUCACCAUUAAGAAAAGCUCGACUUAUCGCCAAGAUGUUUCUGACAAGUUCAAAGAGUUGACUAUGAUGAGAGUUUCUCACUCAUAGCGAUGCUAAAAGUCUGUUGGAAUUAUGUUAGCAGUUGUUGCAUUAUUUAUGAAAUAUUGCACAUAGGAUGUCAAAACAUUGUUUCCCCGACGGUUUCCUUGAGGAAAAGUUGUAUGUGCUACAACUAAAAGGUUUUGUCGAUCCUAAGGACGCUAACAAGUAUGCAAGCUCCAGCGAUCCUUCUAUGGAACUUUGGUGAGAUGAUAAAAGCUUUUAGGUUUAUACAAGGUUUUUGAGAAACUUGUAUUUCCAAAGAAGUGAGUGGGAGCACUAUAGAAUUUCUGAUAAGUAUAUGUGGUUGACAUAUUGUUGAUCGGAAGUAAUGUAGAAUUUCUAUAAAGUGUAAAGGGUUGUUUGAAAGGAGUUUUCAAAGGAAAACCUAGAUAGAGAUACUUGAACAUUGAGCAUCAAGAUCUAUAAAGAUAGAUCAAAACGUGUAAUAGAACUUUCAAUGAAAUACAUUCCUUGACAUGUUUUUGAAGGAGUUCAAAGUAGAUCAGCAAAGAAGGAGUUCUUGGCUGUGUUGUAAGGUGUGAAUUUGAGUAAGACUCAAAGCCCGACCACGGCAGAAGAAAGAGAAAGGAAGAAGGUCGUCCCCUAUGCCUUAGCCAUAGACUCUAAAGUAUGCCAUGUUGUAUACCGCACCUGAUGUGUGCCAUGCCAUGAGUUUGUCAAGGGGUACAAAGAGUGAUCCAGGAUAGAAUCACUGAACAGCAGUCAAAGUUAUCCUUAGUAACUAAUGGACUAAGGAAUCUUUCUCGAUUAUGGAGGCGAUUAAAGAGUUUGUCAUAAAGGGUUAUGUUGAUGCAAGCUUUGACACUAAUCUGAAUAACUCUAAGUAGUAAACGGAUUCGUCUAGUGGAGCAGUCAUUUGGAAAAUUUCCAAAUGGCACAUUGGUAGUAGCACCUACAGGAUGACAUAGAGAUUUGAAGAGCGCACUUAAAUCUGAAAGGUUCAAACCUGUUGACUAAAACCUCUCUCACAAGCAAGACGUGAUCAAACCCCAGAACUUUAUGGGUGUUAGAUUCGUUAAAAUCACAUAGUGAUGUGAACUAGAUUAUUGACUCUACUUCAAGUGGGAGACUGUUGGAAAUAUGCCCUAGAGGCAAUAAUAAAUUAGUUAUUGUUAUAUUUCUUUGUUCGUGAUAAUCGUUUAUUAUCCAUGCUAUAAUUGUAUUGAUUGGAAACUCAAAUACAUGUGUGGAUACAUAGACAAUACACUGUCCCUAGUAAGCCACUAGUUGACUAGCUCGUUGAUCAAAGAUGGUCAAGGUUUCCUGACCAUAGACAAGUGUUGUCGCCUGAUGACGGGAUCACAUCAUUAGGAGAAUCAUGUGAUGGACUAGACCCAAACUAUGAACGUAGCAUGUGAUCGUGUCAUUUUAUAGCUAUUGUGUUCUGUGUGUCAAGUAUUCAUUCCUAUGACCAUGAGAUCAUGUAACUCACUAACACCGGAGGAAUGCCUUGUGUGUAUCAAACGUCACAACGUAACUGGGUGACUAUAAAGGUGCUCCACAGGUACCUCCGAAGGUUUCCGUUGAGUUAGCAUGGAUCAAGAGUGGGAUUUGUCACUCCGUGUGAUCGAGAGGUAUCUCAGGGCCCACUUGGUAAUACAACAUCACAAACAAGCCUUGCAAGCAAUGUGACUCAAGUAUGAGUCACAUGAUCUUGUAUUAUAGAAUGAGUAAAGAGACUUGCCGGUAACGAGAUUGAAAUUGGUAUAGGGAUACCGACGAUCAAAUCUCGGGCAAGUAACAUACUGAAGGACAAAGGGAAUGUUAUCCGGGAUUAUAUGAAUCCUUGGCACAGAGGUUCAACCGAUAAUAUCUUCAUAGAAUAUGUAGGAUCCAAUAUGGACAUCCAGGUCCCGCUAUUGGAUAUUGACCGAGGAGUGUCCCGGGUCAUGUCUACAUAGUUCUCGAACCCGCAGGGUCUGCACACUUAAGGNNNNNNNNNNUGACGUUUUAGUUUAGUUAAGUUAUAUGUGUUGGUGACCUAAGGUUGUUCUGAGUCCCAGAUGAGAUCAAAGACGUCACGAGGGUUUCUGGAACGGUUCGGAAACGAAGAUUGAUAUAUAGAAAUUUGGUGUUUGGAUUCCGGAAAGUUUUCGGGCAUUGCCGGCAGUGUACCGGGAAUGACGAAUGGGUUCCGGGGGCCCACUGGUUGGGCCCACCACACCCCAAGGGGUCCACAUGGGUUUAUUGGAUGCACAAUAAUGUAUAAUGGGCUGACAAAGUCAUCCAAGGAAAGCCCAUGAGGAAAAGGUGGAAAAUCCAAAAGAGGUGGGAAAAUAAGGAAGGAGUCCUAAUCCAAGUGGGAUUGGAGAAGGACUCCUCCCUUCCCCAAGUCGGCCGACCCAAGGAGGCCUUCUUGGCUUGCUCCCUAAGGGCUUUCCCCACCCCUUGGCUCCUCCUAUAUAUACUUGAUAUUUAGGGCUGUUGGAGAUACAACUUUGCCACGUGCAACUCAAACCUACACCUCACAGUUCUUCCUCUAGAUUAGAUUUCUGCGGAGCUCGGGCGGAGCCGUGCAGGAAUAGAUCAUCACCAACACCGACGCGCCGUCAUGCUGCCGGAGAACUCAUCUACUUCUCUGUCCCUCUUGCUAGAUCAAGAAGGCCGAGAUCAUCAUCGAGAUGUACGUGUGUUGAACGUGGAGGUGUCGUCCGUUCGGGGCUAGAUCAGAACAGAUCAUGGGACGGAUCGUGGGACGACGGUGAUUUGAAUCACGAAGAAGGACCACUACAUCAACCGCGUUUCUUAACGCUUCCCGCUUAGCAAUAUACAAGGGUAUGUGGAUCUAAUCUCCUCUCGUAGAUGAACAUCACCAUGAUAGGUAUUCUUGUGCGUAGGAAAAGUUUUGUUUCCCAUGCAACGUUCCCCAACACUUUCAACUUAGUUUUCUCUAGGAACAUAUAAAAAUACAGGGAAGCUACAGCGGAAGCUAAUCAUCCAGUACAUAAGUUGCAAAGACAUUUUGACUAUGAUCAUGAGAAUUAGUUCAAUUAGUCAUAUUACUUAAGACCUCCCACUUAAAUUGACAUCCCUCUGGUCAUUCGAAUGGAACAUGAUCCAAAUCCACCAGCCCUUGUCCUAUCAUCACGUGAGAUGAGAUUGUUUCAAUGGUAAAUAUCUCCAUGUUGAUCAUAUCUAUUAUUUGACUCAUGUUCGACCUUUCAGUCUCAUGUGUUUCGAGGCCAUGUCUGUACAUGUUAGGCUCAUCAAGUUUAAUCCAAGUGUUACGUGUGUGAAAAACUAUCUUGCACCCAUUGUAUGUGAACGUAGAGUCUAUCACACCCGGUCAUCACGUGGUGUCUCGAAACGACGAACUGUCGCAAUGGUGCACACUCGGGAGAACACAAUUUUAUCUUGAAAUUUUAGUGAGGGAUCACCUUAUAAUGCUACUGUCAUCCUAAGCAAAACAAGGCGCAUAAAAAGGAUUAACAUAACAUGCAAAUCAUAAGGGACAUGAUAUGACCGUGAUCUUGUGCUUUUGAUCUUCAUCUCCAAAGCACCGGAAUGAUCUCCAUCGUCUCCGGUACAACACCAUGAUCUCCAUCAUUAUGUUGCCAUUGAGGUUGUCACGCCAACCAUGCUUGUACUACUAUUGCUACCGUUUAGCGAUAAAGUAAAGCAUUACAUAGCGCUUAAUGAGUGACACAUGGUCCAUACAAUAAUUAAAGACAACCCUAUGGCUCACGGUUUGUUGCCGUAGCAUCGACAUGCAAGUCGAUAUUAACUAUUACAACAUGAUCAUCUCAUACAUCAAAUAUAUAUCAUCAUAUCUUUGGCCAUAUGAUAUCACAACAUACCCUACGAAAACUAGUUAGACGACCUAUUAUUUGUUGUUGCAUGUUUUACGUGGCUGCUAUGGGUAUCUAGUAAGAACGCUUCUUACCUACGCAAUACCACAACGGUGAUAUGCAAGUUUCUAUUUAACCUUCUACAAGGACCAUCUUUGUUGAAUCCGAUUCAACUAAGGUGGGUGAAACAGACACCUGCCAGACAUCUUUAUGCAACAAGUUGCAUGUCAGUCGAUGGAACCGAUCUCUCGUACGUGGAGGAGUAAAGUUAGUCCGCGAUGCUUCAUCCCACAAUACCACUGAAUCAAUACCGAGCUCGUGAUGCCACUCUUGGGGAAUGUCGCAUGGGAAAAAAAAAUUCCUACGCUCACCAAGAUCAAUCUAUGGAGAUCAACAUCUAUGAGGGGGUAGUCCAUCUAAAUACCCUUGUAGAUUGCUAAGAUGCGGCGUAUAUAACGCGGUUGAUGUAGUCGAACGUCUUCAUUAGCCAAUCAUGAUCCGUCCCGCGAUCUCAUAAUGAUUCGUCCCGCGAUUCCAUCAUGAUCCAUCCCGAUCUAGUGUCGAACAUACGACACCUCCGAGUUCAACACACGUACAGCUUGAUGAUGCCUUCACCUCCUUGAUCCAGCGAGCAAUGGUGAAGUAGAAGUUGAGUACUCUAGCAGCACGACUGCAUGGUGGCGGUGGUGGUCCUGCAAUUUCAGUAGGGCUUCGCCAAGCACUAUUGCGAUCACUAUGGUGGAGAAUUACUACGAGAGAGAGAGGUAGGGUGCCGCCAAGCAAUUGUGUAUUGAUUGCCUCCUUCUCCCUCUCUAUUAAUAGGAGGAAGGGGUAGGUAGGGCUAGCCUAUGGCCCCUCCUCCAAGGAGAGAGGGUUCAGCCAAACUAGGGAGGAGUCCUCCUCCCACAAGGGAGGUGGACACCCUAGGGAGGACUCCUCCUCCACGAAGGCACUUCCUCCCCCUACCCUUGGGCGCAUGUGCCUGUUGGGGUCGGCUUCCGAAACCCACCUAGGGCUGUUGCGCCACCUCUCAAGCCCAUGUGGCCCCCGAGAUGGGUGGGCCCCUCCCGGUGGACCCCCGGAACCCUUUCGGCACUCCCGAUACAAUACUGGAAAAACCCCGAAACUAUUCCGAAACCCUAAUACCACUUUCCUAUAUAUAAAUCUUUACCUCCGGACCAUUCCGGAGCUCCUCGUGACAUCCGAGAUCUCAUCCGGGACUCCUAACGACCUUCGGUCAUCAGCACUAUAAGUUAACUAUCUCUAUAUCAUCACCGAACCAUAAGUGUGCACACCCUUCUGGGUUGAGAACUAUACAAACAUGACCGAGACACUCUCUGGUCAAUAACCAAUAGCGGGAUUCUACGACGAUAUUUAUCGAUCGAACCAUGGUGUCCAGGAUCCAAUCAAUCCCAUGUAGUGUUCCCUUUGUCCAUUGGUAUGUUACUUGCCCGAGAUUCGAUCAUCAGUAUCUCCAUACCUAGUUCAAACUCGUUACCGACAUGUCUCUUUAUUUGUUGUGUAAUACAAGAUCCCGUGACUAACUCCUUAGUCACAUUUCUUGCAAGCUCAUUGUGAUAUUGUAUUACCGAGUGGGCCAGAGAUACCUCUCCGUCAUAAGGAGUGACAAAUCCCAGUCUCGAUUCACGCCAACCCAACAGACACCUUCGGAGAUACCUCUAGAGCACCUUUAUAGUCACCCAAUUACGUUGUGACGUUUGAUACACACAAGUCAUUCCUCCGGUGUUCGGGAGUUGCAUGAUCUCAUGGUCACAGGAACACACACUUGACAUCUAGAAAACAGUAGCAAUAAACUAACACGAUCAUAUGCUACGGUCAUAGUUUGGGUCUUGUCGAUCACAUCAUUCUCCUAAUAAUGUGAUCCCAAUAUCAAAUGACAACUCAUAUCUAUGGUCAAGAAACCAUGACCAUCUUCGAUCAACAAGCUAGUCCUUAGAGGCUCACUAGGGACUGUGUGUUGUCUAUGUAUCUACACAUGUAUUUGAAUUUCCAAUCAAUAGAAUUAUAGCAUGGGUAAUAAACGAUUAUCAUGAACAAGGAAAUGUAAUAAUAACUAAUUUAUUAUUGCCUCUAGGGCAUAUUUCCAACACAUGUGAGGCAGCAUUCCACAUAAAAAAUUCUAUUUUUAUCAUUUACCUACUCGAGGAGAAGCAGGAAUUAAGCUUCGCGAUGCUGAUACGUCUCCAACGUAUCUAUAAUUUUUUAUUAUUCCAUGUUGUUAUAUUAUCAUUUUUUGAUGUUUUAUUAUCCUUUUAUAGCAAUUUUAUAUCAGUUUUUGGACUUAACUAUUGACAUAGUGCAUAUAGCCAGUUGCCAUUUUUUUUUCCUUCGUAGAAAAUCCAUAUCAAAUGGAGGCCAAAUGCAACAAAACUUUACGGAGAAUUUUUUGGACCAGAAGGAAACCUGGGAUCCAAGAAUGAGCAGCACACGAGGCCCACGGGGGCCACUAAACACUAGAGCACGCCAGGGCCCCUGGCGCUGCGUGGUAUCUAGUGGGGCCCUCUGGCACCUCCACCGUGUGUGAACUUAUAAAUACCCCCAAUAUUCAGAAAACCCUAGAGGAGUCAAUGAAAAAUCAUUUCAGCCGCCGCAAGUUCGAGAAGCCACAAAAUCCAAUCUAGAGCCCAUUCCGGAGAGGAACACAAUCAGAGAGGGGUUCACCAUCCUCAUUGGUGCUCCUCCAAUGAUACGUGAGUAGUUCAUAUCAUACCUACAGGUCCGUAGGCAGUAGCUAGAUGACUUUCUCUCACGUUCUGUUUCUCAAUACAAUGGUCUCUUGGAGAUCCAUAUGAUGUAACUCUUUCUUUUGCGGUGUGUUUGUUGGGAUCCGAUUAAUUGUGAGUUAAUGAUCAAAUCUAUGAAAACAUAUUCAUGCUUGAUUAUUGUAGCCUUGUAUUUCUUUUCUCAUAAUUGGUUUUUUCUAGCCAACUUGAUAUUUUAUCCUACAAUGGGAAGAGAUGCUUUGUGAUUGGUUUGAUCUUGCGGUGCUCAAUCUCAGUGACACAAAGAGACAUGACACACAUGUAAUGUUGCUAUCAAGGAUAAAAUGAUGGGAUCUAUUCCUACAUGAAUAGAUCUUGUCUACAGGAUGUCAUUGUUCUUAAGGCGUUACUCCGUUUCUUCAUGAACUCAAUACACUAGAUGCAUGCUGGAUAGCGGUCGAUGUGUGGAGUAAUAGAAGUAGAUGCAGAUAGAAGUCGGCCGACUUGUCUUGGACGUGAUGCAUAUAUACAUUAUCAUUGUCUUGAAUAUUCUCAUAAUUAUUUGCUCUUCUAUCAUUUGCCCAACAGUAAUUUGUCUACCCACCAUUUGCUAUGUUCUCGAGAGAAGCCCCUUGUGAAACCUACAACCCCCGGGUCUACUUCACAUCAUCUAUUUGCAAUCUCUACAUUAAAUUGAGGGACAACUCUUUGUGUUUUCGGUAGGUUCCGUAGGUUGAGGGACAACUCUUGGUGUUUUUUGUCGAGGUGAAGAUACCCCGAACAAACCCCUCAAAUGAUUAUUUUCCAUAGUGACAAGUGCGGUAAAUUUGAGCACGUAAUAUAAAUUUUUCCUUACCAAAGGCGAUUCACUCCCUGCCAACAGCGCCAAAAAAGAGUCUUGAUGGCCCACAAGUAUAGGGGAUCAAUCAUAUUCGUUUCGAUAAGUAAGAGUGUUCAACCCAAUGAGGAGCAAAAGCAAAUGACAAUCGGUUUUCAGUAAGGUAAUUUUUGCAAGCACUGAAAUACCGGUAACAAGUUGUUUGAUUGCAAAAUAAUUAUAACUAGUAAUGAAUAGCAAUAGUAAAAAUAAGUGUAGCAAGGUAGCCCAAUACUUUUGUGGCAAGGUACAUGCCCGAACAGUUUCUUAUAAUAGGCAAAGCAGUCUUGAGGGAACACAGAAUUUCAUCUAGUCACUUUUGUCAUGUCGGGUUAAUUCUCGUUCGGCACUUUGAUAAUUUGUUAUGUGGGUGGACCGGUGCUUGGAUGUUGUUCUUCCUUGAACAAGACUCCCACUUAUGAUUAACCCUCCCACAAGCAUCCGUAACUACGAGAAAAGUAUUAAUAAUAAAUUCUAACCAUAGCAUUAAACAUAGGGAUCCAAAUUAGCCCCUUACGGAAUAACGCAUAAACAGGGGUUUAAGUUUCUGUCACUCUUGCAACCUAUCAUCUAAUAACUACUCCCCAAUUCAUUCCCUUAGGCCCAAAGAUGGUGAAAUUUAUGUAGUCGACGUUCACAUAACACCACUAAGGGAAUCACAACAUUCAUAUCAUCAAAAUAUCGAACGAAUAUCAACUUCAAAUGACUACUUGCAACACGACUUCUCUCGUGGCCUCAAGAACCAAACUAACUACACAAAAGUGAUAAACAUGCUCAUGACCAGAGAGGUAUUAAAUAGCAUAUUGGACUUGAACAUAUGACCUUCCACCAAAUAAACCAGAAAGCAUCAACUACAAGAUGUAAUCAACACUACUAGUCACCCCCAGGUACCAAUCCGAGGUUCCGGUACAAGACUGAGCACAAGAGAUGAACUAGGGUUUUGAGAGGAGAUGGUGUUGUUGAAGAUGUUGAUGAAGAUUGGCCUCCCCAAGAUGAUAGGGUUGUUGGUGAUGAUGAUGGCCUCGAUAUCCCCCUCGGGGAGGGAAGUUCCCCUAUCGAAAUCGCUCCACGGGAGGGCAAAAGUGAUCCUUAUUUUUCCAUCCCGAAGUAUCUUUUCUUGGCUAUGUUGUUACUCCAUAGGGAAUUGAAGUUGAUAAAGCCAAGAUUGAACGUAUUGAGAGUUGGACGCAACCCAAAAUGGUCACAAAAGUGAGGAGUUUCCUUGGACUCACCGGGUUUUAUAGACGUUUUGUGAGAGAUUUCAGCACCACUGCUGCACCUCUCAAUGAGCUUACAAAGAAGGAUGUGCCCUAUGCUUGGGGUACUGCACAGGAAGAAGCCUUCAAGGUUUUGAAAGAUAAGUUAACACAUGCUCUCUUUACUCCAACUUCCCGAUUUUAAUAAGACUUUUGAGCUUGAAUUUUGAUGCUAGUGGGAUUGGAUUAGGAGGUGUGUUAUUACAAGAUGGUAAACGUGUUGCAUACUUUUCUGAAAAAUUAAGUGGGGCUAGUCUGAAGUAUUCUACUUAUGAUAAGGAAUUAUAUGCGCUUGUUCGGACUUUGGAAAUAUGGCAACAUUAUUUAUGGACCAAACAAUUUGUCAUACAUUUUGAUCAUGAAUCUUCGAAACAUAUUAAAAGUCAAGCAAAACUGAACCAUAGACAUGCUAAAUGGGUUGAAUUCAUUGAGAAUUUCCCAUACGUCAUUAAACACAAGAAGGGUAAAGAAAAUGUUAUUGUUGAUGCUUUGUCUCAUCGUUAUACUAUGCUUUCAGAACUUGACUUUAAAAUAUUUGGUUUGGAGACCAUCAAAGAUCAUUAUGUGCAUGAUGCUGAUUUUAUAGAUGUGUUGGAGAAUUGUAAAGAAGGGAGAACAUGGAACAAGUUCAUCAUUAAUGAUGGAUUUGUGUUUCGUGCUAACAAGCUAUGCAUUCCAGCUAGCUCCGUUCAUAUUUUGUUAUUACAGGAGGUGCAUGGAGGAGGAUUGAUGGGACACUUUGGCAUAAAGAAGAUGGAGGACGUAAUUGUUACACAUUUCUUUUGGCCGAAGAUGCGACGGGAUGUUGAGCGUUUUGUUGCUCAUUGCACGACAUGUCAAAAAGCUAAGUCACGAGUCAAUACUCAUGGUUUAUAUAUGCCUUUGCCUGUACCUAGUGUUCCUUGGGAGGAUAUAUCUAUGGAAUUUGUUUUAGGUUUACCUCAAAGAAAGAAGGGGGGAUAGCAUAUUUUUUGUCGUGGCCAGAUUUUGAAAAAUGACGCAUUUUAUACCAUGUCAUAAAAGUGAUGACGGUGCUAAUGUGGCUCAUUUGUUCGUUCGUGAAAUUAUUCGCUUGCAUGGUGUGCCAAAUACGAUUGUUUCAUAUCGUGAUGCUAAAUUUCUUAGCCACUUUUGGCGAUGUUUAUGGGCUAAGCUGGGGACAAAAUUGCUUGUUAGUACUACAUGUCACCCUCAAACUAAUGGACAAACUGAUGUAGUUAAUAGAUCUUUAUCUACUAUGCUUAGGGCUGUUUUGAAGAACAAUCUAAAACUGUGGGAAGAAUACUUGCCUCAUAUUGAAUUUGCUUAUAAUCGUUCGCUGCAUUCCACUACUAUGGUGUGUCCUUUUGAAGUUGUGCAUGGUUUCUUACCUCGUGCACCUAUUGAUUUGUUACCUCUUCCAUCUUUGGAGAAGGUUAAUUUUGAUGCUAAAUAACGUACUGCUUUGAUAUUAAAGAUGCAUGAGUUAACUAAGGAAAACAUUGAGCGCAUGAAUGCUAAAUGUAAACUUGCUAGCGAUAAGGGUAGAAAACAUGUUGUCUUUGCACGUGGAAAUCUUGUUUGGUUGCAUUUGUGUAAAGAUAGGUUUCCUAAUUUGCGCAAGUCAAAGCUAAUGCUGCGUGCUGAUGGUCCUUUCAAAGUGUUAGAGAAAAUAAAUGAUAAUGCGUAUAGACUUGAGCUGCCUGCGGAUUUUGGGGUUGGUCCCACUUUUAACAUUGCAGAUUUGAAGCCAUAUUUGGGUGACGAAAAUGAGCUUCCGUCGAGGACGACUUCAGUUCAAGAAGGGGAGGAUGAUGACGAUAUCAACACCAUUGUUACACCCAUAGCCCCAGCUGCUAUACAUACUGGACCAGUUACUUAAGCUCGCGCACGCCAAUUGAAUUACCAGGUACUUUCGUUUGUUGGAAAUACUUCAAAUGUUCAUGAACACAUGAUGCUACCUAAGUUAGAUACUUUUGUUGUACUUAUGAAUGAAGGACCUAGCAUGGACAAGAAGGAUAUUCGUUGGAGCGGGAUCAAGCAAGGAGAAGAAGGUGCACGCGUGGGAAAGAACAAUGGAGCUUCCACUGGUAAUUUUCGCACUUUAAAGCCACCAUAAGAAGAGCAUGAAGGCUUGGACGAAAUAUUCACGAUUCACUUUAUAAAUUUCAUCCAUAUGCUAUUAUAGGUGUUGCGCCACCUUAUUUUUGGGCCAGGCCCAUGUAAUUUCGAAAUACCAUAUUAUAGGCUGUUUUUAGAGUCCGUAUGUGUAACAUCCCAAAAUUUUAAAUUUUGGAAUGUUAAUAUAAUUAUUAUUAGAUUGUUUGUUGGUUGCCUGAGUGAUUGAAACUUGUGUGAAAUUUGAAACUUUUCGAAACUUUUGAAUGAGAGGGAAUAAAAUAACUUUCCCCAUCUCCGGUAAAUUCAAAUUCAAUCUUUUAAAAAACCAAAGAGAGAAGGUGACAUGACUUCAUCAACUAUAAAUAAUUUGAACGGAGAUAUUUGCAUUUGAAUUUUUUUGCUUUUCCAUUCGUUUUCUUCGUGCAAGAAAUGUCGGGAAAAUACUCUCUUGCACGCAAGAGAGAGAGCGGAGGAAAAUGACCCUCCAAAGUGCGGGCAUUUCUGAAAUAUUUGGAGCCAAGAAAUCCAAAGUUUAUUUGCGAAAAUUAUUUGCAAAAGAAAAUAAAUCUUUUAGGAAAUUUUGUGAAAAUAAUUUUUCUGAAGUUUUUAUUUUUGCCGUGGAAAAAUGCCCAUCAUCUAUAUUUUAUUUUUCUGAUAAUUUUAGUAUAUAGAAACUCUUUAUUUCGAAUUGAUUUGAUUUCCUUUUUAUCGUUUUAGUUUCCUAGUUUUAAAAAUAGGAAGGAAAUCACUUUUAUUAGGAAAUACCUGCUCGCCCAUUAAGACUUUCCUAUUUUUGGCCCAACAGGAGAUCUUCUCCUACCUCCCCUCUCCUUCAUGUCACAGGAAGUUUUCCUUCCAUGGAGAGGAGAUCCCCACCUCCGGGAUUCGCGAAGCUCUUCCCUUCCCAGCGCCUCCUGUCGCCUCUAUAAGAACCCCCUGCACCUCCUCGUUCCAUUCCCGUUGAAAACUUCCCCUCUCCUCGCCUCCAGCUCGCACACCCCUCGCCGGAGUCGGUCACCAGAAGCUCGCUCCACCUCGCCACGAACUCCUCCACCUUGCNNNNNNNNNNNNNNNNNNNNNNNNNNNNNNNNNNNNNNNNNNNNNNNNNNNNNNNNNNNNNNNNNNNNNNNNNNNNNNNNNNNNNNNNNNNNNNNNNNNNCCCCGAGCCUACUUCUCCUCCUCCCCGCGGCCCUAUCUCCUCCCCUCGGCCUCUCGAUCCCCUUUCCCCUCUCAGAUCUCUCUCUCCCCGAAGCUCCGGUAGCCGUCGAUCCAUCGCUUCCCGGUCCUCCCCGACCCUGCCGGCAGCUUCACAAGAACCGCCAUGAGCUCCUCUUCCCGUUCCCCUUCUUCCCGAGGCCAUUCCCCUCCUCUAACCCUGUUAGCCGCCGGACCCCGAAGGUCCUCGUCGCCGGCCAUGUCAUUGCCGUUGUUGUGGUAUUCCGUUCACGAGACCGAGCUCAGAAAUGAGCUCCUAGAGCUCUAUAGAUGCCCUAGGGCCCCUCUCCCAGCUCGCUAGCAUCUCGCAACGCCACUCCCGACGAGGCCCGAGCCGCAGCCGCCGCUGACCUCGUCGCCGGCGUGGNNNNNNNNNNNNNNNNNNNNNNNNNNNNNNNNNNNNNNNNNNNNNNNNNNNNNNNNNNNNNNNNNNNNNNNNNNNNNNNNNNNNNNNNNNNNNNNNNNNNNNNNNNNNNNNNNNNNNNNNNNNNNNAGCUCCUCUCCCUUUAGAUGUCCUGCUUCGCUAGCUAACCGUAGCACUAAACCGCGCCCAAAACCGAUGCCUGUAGCGCCGUUUAGCUCAACUCCGGCGAGUCCUCCGCUGCGACCGUGGUCGCCGCCGGCCAUAUUCCGGUGGGAGCCGACGUGGUCAAACUAAUUACCCACUAAACACCCCCCCUAGGCACUGACAGUGGACCCCAGGGUGGGUGAAACCCUAGUUAGGGGCUGGUCAACUCGGGGAUUAGCACCUGGUCACUGACCAAUGGACCCCACUGGUCAGGUUUGACCUGGCCCAGCCUCUGUUGACCAGAGACGUCACUGUGACGCAAUAAAGGAAUUUCUAAUGUAAAAAUAAUUCCAGAAAUGUCCAAAACUUCUAAAAAUCGUAGAAAAUAAUCUGUACGUCCAAUGAAAAUAAUUUAUAUAUGAAAAAGUAUCAGAAAAAUUCAAGGAAUCUGAAUAUGUCAUUUUCAAAAAUGUUUGAAAAUGUUACUGAACCCAAACAUGUAGAUUAAUGAAUAAGAUAAUUCUUAUAAAUACUUUGGAGAUGGAAUUUGGAAAUUAUUUAAUUUUCACUACAAAUUAUAUGAUCAAACACUGUCCAAAUCACAAACCAUCAACCUAACAUGUCACUCCAUGCAUGUUAAAAGCAAAUUGAUCUGAGCAUCAGGUCGAAUCAAUUAAAAUGGUAUCCGAGAAUACCUUGUUUGAAGUAAUAUUUGAAUUUGAUUCAAAUCAACUUCAAACCUAAUANNNNNNNNNNNNNNNNNNNNNNNNNNNNNNNNNNNNNNNNNNNNNNNNNNNNNNNNNNNNNNNNNNNNNNNNNNNNNNNNNNNNNNNNNNNNNNNNNNNNCUCGCAACUCAGGCGUUGCUUUUCGGAUCCUAUCCGUGAAGUGGACCAAGAAACGCUUGAUCUCCAAGAUAACCUUUCUUAUUCUCGACCAAGCCGAGCGUACUACUCGACGUCGAAACCUCAAGUUUCUUAAAGUUCAAUGGUCAAAACAUUCUGAGAAGGAGGCAACUUGGGAAAGAGAGGAUCGUCUCCGACUUGAGUAUCCUGCGUUAUUCCCGACAACUUCUAAAUCUCGGGACGAGAUUCUUUUGAGUGGGGGUGAGUUGUCANNNNNNNNNNGGAACCCUAUCCAACGUUUAGCAUUGUGCUCAUAUUUUUCUUUGCAUUGCGUCCAAGAAAAUGGCAACAAGAUCAAAGUAAGUUGUGAAGGGAAACUCAAGAACCCUAGCCACUUCUCAAAUUCAAAGGAAUUAUAAACUUAUUCAAAUCAAUGAACCCAAAAUGGACUCAAGAAAAGUUCAACUUUUCUGAUAAUUCUUGAAAACAAAUAAGCAAUGAAGGAAACCAUUUCCUUUAUACUUUUGGCAUUUUAAAUAAAUGCAAAAGACUACUGUUUUGAAGUUUUAAAUUUGAAUUCAAAGAUACAUAGUUUUCGAAAAUGCUGAAAACUUUAUGGGUGAUUGGAAAUAUUCCAACUAACACCCCAACAUUUUUCAAACUAUUUAUAGUUUGAUUGUGAAGCCAAAAUAAAUGGGACACAAUGUCAGUAAAUAAAACAGAAGAGAAAGAGAAAGGAAAGGCUUACCUUCUAUCUGUCGCCGGCCCAGCCCACCACGGGCUCCCCGGUCAUCUUCCUCCUCCUGCUAUUAGGCAGAAGAGAAGAUGAGCACGGCGGCCAAGCCCCGGCCGCCUCGUGCCUGCNNNNNNNNNNNNNNNNNNNNNNNNNNNNNNNNNNNNNNNNNNNNNNNNNNNNNNNNNNNNNNNNNNNNNNNNNNNNNNNNNNNNNNNNNNNNNNNNNNNNGCCCCACCCUACCUCGGCCACCAUUGCCAGCAGCACGGGAGCAACUCCACCCACGGUAAGGCUCCAUCCCCCUCCUGUUUCUUUUUUGUUUUUAUGUAGUAGCCCUUAGAUCCAUAAUCUACGGUGUAGAUUACAUAGGUGCUUACCCCUUCGGUCUUUUAGAUAAAACCGAUCGGUUUUUCAUUCACUUAAGUUUAGCCGAAGCGAAUUAGUUAAAUAGCCGCCGUUUGUUACUUAUCCCCGCAGCACUCACCCCCUUAGCCAAUUAAAAGAUGCCAUGUGGACCCCUGUCCACAAAUCAGUUUUUUCCCUUUUUCUGUUUUAAUUCCAAAACAGAGAAAGUUUCAAUUUUCUUUUGAUCAUAACUUUUGAUCCAAAACUCCAAUAGAGUUCAUUCUUUUUCCAGUAGCUCACAAAUUUCCGUUAGUUCUUAAAAACAUAUAAUUUGUCUAUGUUUGAAAUUUUCAAAUAUAAGUUAGAUCAGAUUUAGUUUAAACCUUGUUUUGCCUAUUCCAGGAGUUUAAAAAUAGCUUUUAAUUUGAUUCUUUUUUUUACUGAUCACUAGUGAUCUUAUUUAUCAGUGGUAAAAAUUUCAAAUUUGUUUGAGUAUAUUAGCUCACUGUUUCUUGUGAAACAAUUUCUGUUUCACCUCUUUUAGGAUUUGGGGUAAUUCCUUUUCUACUUUUGUUUUAAAAUAUUUUCUUGAUUAUUUCAGAAACAUUAUUGUUUUGUUUAUGUUAAUUAACAGUAGUUUUGCAACAAGUGUUGAUUUUAUUUUUAUUUGUUUUCAUGAAGUAAAUUCUAGUUCCAUAGUAACGUGCAAUUGUUUUCACCAUUGUUUCAAAUCCCGUUUGGGAAUACUUUCAAAAAGUUUCGUGAAAAAUACUUUAUUUUAUCUUAGUUAAACUUAUAUAUUAGUUCCUUGUUAUUAUUUUCUGUUAGACAAAAACUAUAUAGUGUUUGAAGUAGUAGAAGACUCCCUAGUCUUAUUUGAAGUUUCUUUCAGAUUCCUAUUCGCUCUCUCUUUUGUUUUGAUUGCUAGAAUGAUUGCUAGUAUGAGUGCUUAUGUGAAUGAUAUGUUUUUUAUAUAGAUUUCAUCGGAGAGUGACGAGUAGUCUAUCAAGUUUUUUCUCGAGAAAUUCUUCUUCGUCAACAUCACCAGGCAAGUCACUUUGAUCAUACUAUCACCUUUGUUUUAUGCAUCAUAGUUCUACCAUCCUAUGCCCAAUUGCAUGCUGCUUAGGUACUUGGAAAUUUUAGUAUAGAUAGUAGUAUCAUGUGGUAGGCACACAACAACCCCGAUACUUGGCCCGGGACGACAAAUUUCAUAUUGCUAUGCUUGAGUAGACGGGAUUUCGGUUGAGUGCAUAACACGAGUGAUGCGAGGUUGAUUAAAUAAUCAAGACCGGUUAAGACAAGAUUUUCAAGACCUCGGACGCAAUGCAACUCUGGGUGAAGGACGGUUGAUNNNNNNNNNNNNNNNNNNNNNNNNNNNNNNNNNNNNNNNNNNNNNNNNNNNNNNNNNNNNNNNNNNNNNNNNNNNNNNNNNNNNNNNNNNNNNNNNNNNNAAAGGGCCCUAUGCGCAUUGGAAGAAAAAUCAAAGAGAAAGAAAAAAAGGAGGAGGUGGGAAGGGAAGGAAGGACUCCCACCCACCAAACCAAGUCCAACUCGGUUUGGGGGGGGAGACCUUCCCCCCUUGGCUCGGCCGACCCCCUUAGGGCUCCUUGAGCCCCAAGGCAAGGCCCCCCUCUCCCACCUAUAUAUACGGAGGUUUUAGGGCUGAUUUGAGACGACUUUUCCACGGCAGCCCGACCACAUACCUCCACGGUUUUUCCUCUAGAUCGCGUUUCUGCGGAGCUCGGGCGGAGCCCUGCUGAGACGAGAUCAUCACCAACCUCCGGAGCGCCGUCACGCUGCCGGAGAACUCUUCUACCUCUCGUCUCUCUUGCUGGAUCAAGAACGCCGAGAUCAUCGUCGAGCUGUACGUGUGCUGAACGCGGAGGUGCCGUCCGUUCGGUACUAGAUCAUGGGACUGAUCGCGGGAUUGUUCGUGGGGCGGAUCGAGGGACGUGAGGACGUUCCACUACAUCAACCGCGUUCACUAACGCUUCUGCUGUACGGUCUACAAGGGUACGUAGAUCACUCAUCCCCUCUCGUAGAUGGACAUCACCAUGAUAGGUCUUCGUGCGCGUAGGAAAUUUUUUGAUUCCCAUGCGACGUUCCCCAACAAGUUGCAUUCAUCAUCGCAUCAUGCGCAUCAUCUGCAUUGCAUCGGCACUCCGUUGCCACCAGUUUUCUAAACUUGCAUCCGCUAUUAGUUGCCGGUUCUCUCCGUGUUCGUUUUUGCCCGUUGUGAGUCCAACCACACACGCACGCGCCAGCGACAUCGUCAAACCCUUUUUUUUAAAGUGUGUUUAAAAAUUUCUCUGAUUGGGUUGAAACUUGGCGUGCGGUCUUAUUUAGAUAUAGGUAGGCCGCCUGCCAAAUUUCGUUGCAAUCGGAGUCCAUCUGGUACCCGAACGGUCGACCGUGGCGGCACCGUAUCCGGUCUAUCGUCGGACGUUUUUCGGCAUUUUAAAUCGCGUUGCUGUGCCGCACCAUUUCCCUCUCAUCCCCGGCUAGCCUACUCUACACAUCCACUUAGCCUUUCCUUCGUUCAAAACCGGCCGAUUUAGAUCGCGUGGUUGAAACCGGGGCGAAAUUCUGCUAAACCUAGCCCCCCAUUGUUAUAAAUAGACCCCCAUGCCAUUUUAGGCAGCCACACUCUCUCUCCCUCGUUUCCCGUGCUAACCCUAACCCUAGCCGCGCAGCCAUUCCCACCUCCUCCAGCCGCCGGCCCAUGGGGCCCGAUUUGAGCCCGCCCGAGCCCAUCUGGACCCGGGUCAACCGCCGGCCUCCCCGAGCUUCCCCUCGCUGCAGCUUCAUGCACGUCGUGCUGGACCACGCCGGAAGACCGCCGCCCCCUUGCCGGAGAUCCAGCNNNNNNNNNNNNNNNNNNNNNNNNNNNNNNNNNNNNNNNNNNNNNNNNNNNNNNNNNNNNNNNNNNNNNNNNNNNNNNNNNNNNNNNNNNNNNNNNNNNNGAUGGGCCGGGCCAGGCUAGGCGACAGGUAAGGGUUUCCCAUUUUUUUCUGUUUUUGUUUUUUUUGUUUUGCUAAUUAUUUCAGCUCCAAAACAAAAAGUAAAAACUAUUUUAGACCUCCUGAAAUAUUGUUAUAACAUUCCCAACCAUUUCCAAAGUUUUCAACAUUUUUCGAAAUUUAUAGAUUCUGAUUUCAAAUUUAAAACUUGAAACCAGUAUCCUUUUGCAUUUAUUUAAAAUGCUUAAAGUGUCAAGAAAAUAGUUUUCUCCAAUGCUCAUUUACUUUCAUGAUUUAUCAGAAAGUUUGAACAUUUCUUGAGGCCAUUUUGGGUUCACUGAUUUGAACUAGUUUGAUAUUUUCUUUAAUAGAAAUAGUGGCUAGGGUUUUGAGUUUUUCCUUUGCCACUUUGUUGUUUUUGUUGAAACUUCUUAGAUGCAAAUUCAAAGAAGACAUGAGCACAAGACUAACUUGCUUAAGGGUUAGGGAUGUGACAACUCACCCCCACUCAAAAGAAUCUCGUCCCGAGAUUNNNNNNNNNNCGUCGGGAAUAACGCCGGAUAUUCAAGUCGGAUACGAUCCUCUCUUUCCCAAGUCGCCUCCUUUUCAGAAUGAUUUGACCAUUGAACUUUCAGAAACUUGAGGUUUCGACGUCGAGUGGUACGCUCAGCUUGAUCAAGAAUACGCAUGGGGUAUUCUUGGUAAGAAAGGUUAUCUUGGAGAUCAAGCGUUUCGUGGUCCACUUCACGGAUAGGAUCCGAAAAGCAACGCCUGAGUUGCGAGNNNNNNNNNNAAAAAGGACCAAUGUAACGAGGAGCCAACUUGCCCUUUGAUACCGAAUUUAUUGGUACCCUUCAAAGGUGUAACCCGAAUGUAAGCCUUCUCGUCAACUUCNNNNNNNNNNACGUGGAAGACAUCAUGAACCUUGGAAAGAUGCGGAGGAAGUUCCAACUGGUAGGCAACUUCUCCUCGUUUGGCAAGAAUGCGAAAAGGACCAAUGUAACGAGGAGCCAACUUGCCCUUGAUACCGAAACGAUGGGUACCCUUCAAAGGUGUAACCCGAAGGUAAGCCUUCUCGUCAACUUCAAAGGUCACAGCCUUAUGAUUACGAUCAUAAUUGCUCUUUUGACGAUACUGGGCUGUUUUCAACUUUUCACGAAUAAUGCGAACCUGCUCUUCUGCAUCCUGGAUCAUAUCCGGGCCAAAGAGUUGCCUCUCUCCGGUUUCUGACCAAUUAAGAGGUGUUCGACAUCUUCGUCCAUAGAGAACUUCAAAAGGGGCUUUGCCCAAGCUUGAUUGAUAACUAUUGUUAUAAGCAAAUUCGGCGAAUGGAAGGCACUUCUCCCAAUUCAUACCGAAUGAUAUAACACAAGCUCGGAGCAUAUCUUCUAAGAUUUGAUUCACUCUUUCUACUUGACCACUUGAUUAGGGAUGGAAAGCAGUGCUAAAAGAUAAGUGAGUCCCCAUGGCAUUCUGAAAACUUUCCCAGAAGCGAGAAUUAAAGAUACUCCCACGGUCCGAGUUAAUCUCCACGGGAACACCAUAAAGAGACACUAUUCGAGAGAUAUAUAACUUCGCUAGCUGGCUAGCCGUUAUACUCUCACGAACGGGAAGAAAAUGAGCUACUUUGGAAAGACGGUCAAUGACCACAAAGAUAUCAUUAUUUCCUUUCUUGGUCUUGGGAAAUCCGGUAAUGAAAUCCAUACGAACUUUAUCCGAUUUCCAUUCAGGAAUAGCUAAAGGUUGAAGGGUGCCAGCGGGCCUUUGAUGUUCUGCCUUAACUCGACGAUAAACGUCGCAGUUAGCAACGAACUCAGCAAUUUCUCUCUUCGUCCUAGUCCACCAGAACCUCUGGCGUAGGUCCUGAUACAUCUUAGUACUACCGGGAUGAAUGGUGAGAGGAGAAACAUGAGCCUCCAUAAGGAUCAAUUGCCGCAAACGUUUGCUCUUAGGAACCACUAAACGGUUCUGAAAGAACACAACACCUUUCUCAUUGAUGGAGAAGUACCUAGCAUUACCGCUAGCAAUAUUCUCCUUGAUCCGGGAUAUACCCUUAUCAUAAGCGUGCAAGGCUAUGAUUUGAUCCCUAAGAGUAGGCUUCGCCACGAGGGUAGAAAGGAAUCCUUGAGGAACAAUAUGAAGAUUCAACUUCCGAAAUUCCUCAUAGAGAUGUGGUUGACCUUGUUGUAGCAUCAAAUUGUUACAAUAAGAUUUACGACUUAGUGCAUCAGCCAUAACAUUGGCCUUCCCCGUCUUGUAAGAUAUCCCUAAGUCGUAAUCCGAGGUCAACUCAACCCACCGUCUUUGCCUGAGAUUCAAAUCCGGCUGGGUGAAGAUAUAUUUUAGACUUUGGUGAUCAGUGAAUAUUUCGCAACGAUUACCCAGAAGGUAANNNNNNNNNNUUUGACGAGACUGGGCUGUUUUCAACUAUUCACGAAUAAUGCGAACCUGCUCUUCUGCAUCCUGGAUCAUAUCCGGACCAAAGAGUUGCCUCUCUCCGGUUUCUGACCAAUUAAGAGGUGUUCGACAUCUUGGUACAUAGAGAACUUCAAAAGGGGCUUUGCCCAAGCUCGAUUGGUAACUAUUGUUAUAAGCGAAUUCGGCGAAUGGAAGACACUUCUCCCAAUUCAUACCGAACGAUAUAACACAAGCUCGGAGCAUAUCUUCUAGAAUUUGAUUCACUCUUUCUACUUGACCACUUGAUUGGGGAUGGAAAGCAGUGCUAAAAGAUAAGUGAGUCCCCAUGGCAUUUUGAAAACUUUCCCAGAAGCGGGAAGUAAAGAUACUUCCACGGUCCGAGUUAAUAUCUAGGGGAACACCAUGAAGAGACACUAUUCGGGAGAUAUAUAACUCUGCUAGCUGGCUAGCUGUUAUACUCUCACGAAGAGGAAGAAAAUGAGCCACUUUGGAAAGACGGUCAAUGACCACGAAGAUAGCAUUAUUUAUUUUCUUGGUCUUGGGAAAUCCGGUAAUGAAAUCCAUGCUAACUUUAUCCCAUUUCCAUUAAGGAAUAGCUAGAGGUUGAAGGGUGCCAGCAGGCCUUUGAUGUUCUGCCUUAACUCGACGACAAACGUCGAAGUUGGCAACGAACUCAGCAAUUUCUCUCUUCAUCCUAGUCCACCAGAACCUCUGGCGUAGGUCCUGAUACAUUUAGUACUACCAGGAUGAAUGGUGAGAGGAGAAUCAUGAGCCUCCUUAAGGAUUAACUGCCUUAGAUGUGGGUUCUUAGGAACCACUAAACGAUUCUGGAAGAACACAACACCUUGAUCGUUCAUGGAAAAUUCUUUAGCGUUUCCGCUAAAAAUAUUCUCCUUGAUCCGUGAUAUACCCUUGUCACGCUAUUGGACAGCUAUAAUUUGAUCCUUAAGAGUAGGCUUCGCCACCAGGGUAGAAAGGAAUCCUUGAGGAACAAUAUGAAGAUUCAACUUUCGAAAGUCCUCAUGGAGAUGUGGUUGACCUUGUUGUAGCAUCAAAUUGUUACAAUAAGAUUUACGACUUAGCGCAUCGGCCAUAACAUUGGCCUUCCCCGGGGUGUAAGUUAUCCCUAAGUCGUAAUCCGAGAUGAACUCAACCCACCGUCUUUGCCUGAGGUUCAAAUCCGGCUGGGUGAUGAUAUAUUUCAGACUUUGGUGAUCAGUGAAUAUUUCGCAACGAUUACCCAGAAGGUAAUGUCGCAAGGUUUUUAGUGCAUGGACCACAGCUGCAUGCUCAAGGUCAUGUGUGGGAUAAUUAUCCUCAUGUGGACGCAACUGUCGAGAUGCGUAUGCGAUCACAUGACGAUCUUGCAUGAGAAUGCAACCUAAUCCUUGUCGCGAGGCGUCGCAAUAGAUAACAAAGUCCUUAGAAAAAUCUGGUGGUAGCAACACAGGUGCGGAAGUCAGGCGUCUUUUCAGUUCCUGAAAACUAUGCUCACACUGUGUUGUCCACUCGAACUUUUUAUCGUUCUUGAGGAGUUCAGUUAGAGGCUUUGCAACCUUGGAGAAAUUCUCGACGAAGCAGCGACAAUAGCUCGCUAAACCAAGAAAACUCCUAACUUGCUUAACCGAUUCAGGUUGGGUCCAAUCAAGCACAGCUUGAACUCUCUCGGGAUUGACAGCAAUACCCUUACCAGAGAUUACGUGGCCCAGAUAGGUCACUUCUGGUAACCAGAAUUCACAUUUUGAAAACUUGGCAUAAAGGGGAUGCUCUCGAAGUUUCAUCAAUACCAGCCUUAGAUGCUCGGCAUGUUCUUGUUCAUUCUUCGAGUAGAUGAGAAUAUCAUCGAGGUAUACCACGACGAAUUUAUCCAAAUACUCCAUGAAGAUUGAAUUCAUCAGUCGAGAGAAGGUGGCUGGGGCAUUGGUUAAACCGAAGGACAUAACGGUGUACUCAUAUUGGCCAUAACGAGUAACAAAAGCCGUUUUUGGAAUGUCCCCGUUCUUAAUCUUGAUAUGAUGGUAUCCCAACCUCAAAUCCAUUUUGGAGAAGACUGAGGAUCCAGCGAGCUGAUCGUACAGGUCGUUGAUCCUGGGGAGCGGAUACUUGUUCUUUAUGGUGACCAGAUUAACUGGUCGGUAAUCUACAACCAUCCGAUCCGUUCCGUCUUUCUUAUUGACGAAGAGGACGAGACAAGCCCAAGGAGAAGAGCUAGGACGAAUGAAACCCUUGUUCAAGGCCUCAUCUAGUUUCUUUUUAAGUUUGGCUAGCUCUAGGGGUGCCAUCUUAUAAGGUCUCCUGGCUAUUGGGACAGUUCCUGGAACAAGAUCUAUUACAAACUCUACAUCUCUGUGAGGUGGAAUUCCUGGCAGUUCCUCUGGAAAAACAUCUGGGAAGUCACGAACUACCGGAAUGUCUUCAAGUUCCGGAAGAGGAUUGGCAUUUAGGGAAUAGAGUUGGCAUUUGGCAACUCGAGUGGAGACAUUUACUAUCUCACCCGAGGGAUGGGUAAGCUGGACAUUUCUAGAGCGAGUAUCAAUCUUGGCAUAGUGAGCUGACAUCCAGUCCAUGCCCAAGAUGAUAUUAAUAUCCAAAGAUUUCAAUGCUAUCAAUGAGGCUAGUUUUGUCUACUAGAAUUUCAUUGACAUAGGUUAUCCUAGAGGUUUGCCAUUUACUACCAGGGGUUUGGACAACCAAUGGAGUUGGCAUAUCACAAAAAGACAUGUUAUGCAACUGUGCAUAACUUUCCGAAAUGAAGGAAUGAGAAGACCCAGUGUCAAAGAGAACGGACGCUCGGUGAUGAUUAACAAGAAGCGUACCCAGCAUGACGUCGGGAUCCUCUGCAGCUUCUUUCGCUGACACAUAGUUCACACGGCCACGUGCAGGAGUUGGCUUCACAUAAUAAGCUUUGCCCGACUUGGCCUGCCCGACGGACUUUCCGGGUUGCUUGGCACCCACAUUCUGAGGACACUCACGGGAAUAGUGCCCUGGUACUCCACACUUGUAGCAUAUCACCUGGUUGGCACGUGGUGCAGCAUUGCUAGCUGGACCACCAUAAGCUUUUGCUGGAGGGUUAGCCUGAUUCGUCUGAGGCGCUACAUAGGAUGGCCUCAGAGUGUAUCUUGGCGGCAGAGAACUGUUUGGAACCCACAGCCUGCGUUUUGGAAACGCGGAACCAGAAGACGAGCCAAAGUCACGGGAGUGCUUCCUUGUGGCUUCGAAGUCAGUAUGACCAGUCUCGGCAUUGAUCGCCUUGUUGACUAGGGCUUGAAUGCUUGCACACUCAUGGAGGCGCAGAUCACGACGGAGCUCAGGGCUCAGACCCUUAUGGAAUCUUGCUUGCUUCUUGGCGUCGGUAGACACCUCCUCUGUUGCAUAGCGGGCGAGGUCACCGAACUAGCGGCUAUAGGCAUCCACAGACAACUUGCCCUGAGUGAAGGCACAGAACUCCUCUCUCUUUCUGUCCAGCAGGCCCUCUGGAAUAUGGUGCAGACGAAAAGCUGCACUGAAGUGUGCCCAUGUGGCCACGGGUUCAGCGGGACGCAUAGCAUCAAAAUUCUCCCACCACAGAUUGGCGGGUCCUUCCAAGAAAUACGCCGCGAAGGUCACCUUGUCGGCCUCAGACACAUUCGCAGAGCGAAUCUUGCGUGAGAUGCUGCACAGCCAGUCAUCAGCGUCGAGGGGAUCGACGGAAUGAUGAAACUUUGGAGGAUUCAGCUUCACAAAGUCAUUGAGGGACACUGCGGCAUUCCUAGGCUGUCGNNNNNNNNNNNNNNNNNNNNNNNNNNNNNNNNNNNNNNNNNNNNNNNNNNNNNNNNNNNNNNNNNNNNNNNNNNNNNNNNNNNNNNNNNNNNNNNNNNNNACAGAAUGAAAUUAAUGAUUCGAAAUUGUCCCGCUCAUGGCUUGAGCCUUUGGAUGAUUAUUCAAAUCUUUUACGCUGGCUUGAAUUUCGCUUCUAGAAAUAUCUUGGACUCCGCCUCAGGUGGAACGUUCAUGGAAAUCACGUUAGGAGAAGCCAAAAAGCUCUUAGACAAUAUCAUGACGAACUACUCUCAGUGGCACACUGAAAGGUCACAUACUAGUAAGAAGGUACACGCUAUAGAGGAAAUUAACUUGUUUAGUGCUAAGAUGGAUGAGUUAAUGAAUUUGGUUUCUAGUAGAAGUGCUCCUUUGGAUCCUAAUGAUUUGCCUUUGUCUUAUUUGAUUGAGAGUAGCAACGCUAGCUUGGACGUUAAUUUUCUUGGUAGGAAUAACUUUGGCAACAACAACGCUUUUAGAGGAAACUAUGUUCCUAGGCCUUUUCCUAGUAACUCCUCUAAUAACUUUGGCAACUCCUACAACAAUACCCAUGGAAAUUACAAUAGAUUACCCUCUGGUCUAGAGAGUAAUAUCAAAGAGUUCAUCAACUCUCAAAAUAUUUUCAAUGCGUGCAUAGAGGAAAAACUACUCAAAAUUGACGAUUUGGCUAAGAGCGUUGAUAGGAUUUCUUGUGAUGUUGAUGCUUUGAAAGUUAGAUGUGCUCCUCCCAAAAUCAACAUGGAUGAAACUUUGAAAGCUAUGCGUGUUUCCAUGAUUGAGAGCCAAGAAAGAACCGCCCAAAUUCGUGCUAGACAUGAAUGGCUCAAAAAGGCGUGUUCUCGUGAUGAGAAUCACGAAGAUAUUAAAGUACUUGGUGUGACUCCCAUUGAAUCUUUGUUUUCUUGUGUCAAACCUAAUGAUUAUGGGGCUGGAUAUGAAUCCACUUUGGUUGAAAAGUGCCCCAAUGAUUCGGAGUCCAUCUAUCUUGAUGCUAAAACAUUAAAAGUGGAGUAGAAGACGUUAAAACUUUGAGUAGUAAUGAAAUUACUACCAUGGAUUUCAAGGAAUUCAAUUAUGAUAGUUGCUCCUUGAUUGAAUGCAUUUCUUUGAUGCAAUCCAUGUUGAACUCUCCACACGCUAAUAGCCAAAACAAAGCCUUUACCGAUCAUAUCGUUGAAGCUAUGAUAAAAUCUCUUGAACAGAAACUUGAAUUGGAAGUAUCUAUCCCUAGAAAGCUUCAUGAUGAGUGGGAACCUACCAUCAAAAUCAAAAUCAAAAACUAUGAGUGCAAUGCUUUGUGUGAUUUGGGUGCUAGUGUUUCUGCGAUUCCAAAGUCUUUAUGUGUUAUUCUGGGUUUUUGUGAGAUUGAAGAGUGUUCUCUUAAUUUGCAUCUUGUUGAUUCUACUAUCAAGAAACCCAUGGGAAGGAUCAAUGAUGUUAUUUUUAUUGCAAAUAGGAACUAUGUACCUGUGGAUUUCAUUGUGCUUGACAUUGAUUGCAAUCCUACAUGCCCUAUUAUUCUUGGUAGACCUUUCCUAAGGACUAUCGGUGCUAUCAUCGAUAUGAAGGAAGGGAAUAUUAGAUUUCAGUUUCCUUUAAGGAAGGGAAUGGAACACUUUCCUUGAAAGAAAAUAAGAUUGCCUUACGUAUCCAUGAUGAGGGGUACUUAUGGUUUGAGCACCAAAGACGACGAUACGUGAUUCUAUCGCUUAUAUGCCUAGCUAAGGACGUUAAACAAUAGCGCUUGUUGGGAGGCAACCCAAUGAAUUUAUCUUUUUCUUUCUGUUUUGUUGCGUCCAUACUUUCACAAUUCUGCUGUGAUUGUGUUUUUUGUGUUUGAGCCAAUUAAAACCUUUAUGACUAGUCUUGGUAAUGGUUGUUUGAUCCUGCUGGAAAAAGAUAGAAACUUUUCGCUCACGAGAUGAUUUUUCAUUUUUAUUUAGAAAGAGCUUUUGAGUUGAUUAUUUUUGCUGCUGAUUGAUAUGCCUUUUCCCCAGACCUUCGUAAGUUUUCAGAUUUUUUGAGGACCAGAAGUAUACGAAGUAUACAGAUUGCUACAGAUUGGUCUGUUUUUGACAGAUUUUGUUUUUGUUGAGUUGGUUGUUUGUUUUGAUGAAAAUAUGGUUAGGAUCGGUGGGUACUAGCCAUGGGAAAGUGAGAAUAUAGUAGCCCAUCAUCAAUAUAGUUGGAAUUCAAGUUUUCUACAGUACCAAAAGAAGUGGUAGUUUGUUUUCUUGUACUAAUGUUAUCACAAGUUUGUGUUUAAGUUUUGUAUUGUGAAGUUUUCAAGUUUUGGGUGACGUUCUCAUGGACAAAGAGAUAAGGAGUGGAAAGAGAUCAAGCUUGGGGAUGCCCAAGUAAUCCCAAGCCAAAUUAAAGGACACCAAAAAUCCUAAGCUUGGGGAUGCCCCGGGAAGGCAUCCCCUCUUUUGUCUUCAAUCCAUCGGUAACAUUACUUGAAGCUAUAUUUUUAUUCACCACAUGAUAUGUGUUUUGCUUGGAGCGUCUUGUACCUUAGGAGUCUUUUCUUUUUGUUGUGUCACAAUCAUCCUUUCUGCACACCUUUUUGAGAGAGAGAGACAUGCACUCAUCGUGAUUUUGCUAGAAUGCUCAUUGUGCUUCACUUAUAUCUUUUGAGCUAGAUACUUUUGCUCUUGUGCUUCACUUAUAUCUUUUGAGCUAGAUACUUUUUCUCUUGUGCUUCACUUAUAUCUUUAGAGCACGGCGGUGCGUGAUUUGGUAGUUGGCUUAUGCUAUGAAAGUAGUCCAAUGUGCUAGGUACCCCAAGAGGAUGCAAAAACCUCCAUCUUCAUGUGCAUUGAGUAGAAAGAGAAGUUUUGAUUCCUCUCAAUUAGUUUUGAGAUGUGGAUUCGGUAAUAUUAAAAGUUAUGUUAGUAGGGUGUUGUGAAUCUAGAGAUACUUGUGUUGGAGUUAGUGAUUCCCGUAGGAUGCACGUAUGGUGAACCGCUAUGUUAGGAAGUCGGAGCACAAUUGAUCUAUUGAAUGUCAUCUUUUGUGUUGAGGUCGAGAUCGCGCGAUGGUUUACACCUACCAACCCUUCCCCUCGGAGUAUGCAUUUAGCACUUUGUUUUGAUAACUAAUAAAAACUUUUGCAACAAGUAUGUGAGUUCUUUAUGACUAAUGUUGAGCCCAUGGUAUAGAUGCACUUUCACCUUCCACCAUUGCUAGCCUCUCAAGGGCCGCGCAAUUCUCGCCGGUGCACAAACCCACCAAAUUCCUUCCUCAAAACAGCCACCAUACCUACCUACUAUGGCAUUUUCAUAGCCAUUCCGAGAUAUAUUGCCAUGCAACUCCAACCGUUCCGUCUCAUGACUUGUGUCAUCACUCUCAUAUUGCCAUUGAAUGAUCAUACUAGAUCGUUGCACAUCCCGGUACACUGCCGGAGGCAUUUCCUAUGGAGUCAUCAUCAUUGUGAUCUUUGAGCUUUGAGUAACUAAAAAGUGUGAUGAUCAUUAUUAGAUCAUUGUCCCAUGUGAGGAAAAAAAUAGGCCAAAGAGCCCAAACACAAAAAAAAAAGAAAAAAGAAAAAAAAGAGGCCUACGAGCCCAAAUAAAAAAAAGGAAAUGAGAGAAAAGAGACAAGGGACAAUGCUACUAUCUUUUUCCACACUUGUGCUUCAUGUUAGCACCAUGUUCUUCAUCAUUGAGAGCUUCUUGCUUUGUCACUACCAUAUGCUAGUGGGAAUCUUCGUUUUAUAACUUGGCUUGUAUAUUCCAAUGAUGGGCUUCCUCAAAAUUGCGCUAGGUCUUCGUGACCAAGCAAGUUGGAUGCACACCCACUAGUUUUCCUCUUGAGCUUUCACAUACUUAUAGCUCUAGUGCAUCUCUUGUAUGGCAAUCCCUACUCAUUCACAUUGAUAUCUAUUAAUGGGCAUCUCCAUAGCCUAUUGAUACGCCGAGUCAGUGUGACCAUCUCCUCCUUUUUGUCUCACAACCACCACACUCUAUUCCAGCUAUAGUGCUAUAUCCAUGGCUCGCGCUCAUGUAUUGCGUGAUAGUUAUAAAAAGUUUGAGAAAGUAAGAGUGCGAAAACAAUUACUUGGCCAAUUCCGGGGUUGUGCAUGAUUUACAUUAGUUGUGUGAGGAUGAUGGAGCAUAGACAGACUAUAUGAUUUUGUAGGGAUAACUUUCUUUGGCCUUGUUAUUUCGAAAGUUCAUGAUUACUUUGCAAGUUUGCUUGAAGUAUUAUUGUUUUCAUGUCAAUAGAAAACUAUUGUUUUGAAUCUUCUGGAUCUGAACAUUCAUGCCACGUGAAAGAAGUUGCAAAGGACGACUAUGCUAGGUAGCAUUCCACAUCAAAAAUUCAUUCUUUUUCACUUCCCAACUCGAGGACGAGGAGGAGUUAAGCUUGGGGAUUUUUGAUACGUCUCCAACGUAUCUAUAAUAUUUGAUGGUUUCUUGCUAUUAUCUUGUCAAACUUUGGAUGUUUUGCAUGCCUUUUAUUUAUUUUCGGGGACUAACUUAUUAAUUCAGUGAAAAGUGCCAGUUCCUGUUUUUCCUUGUUUUUGACCCCUUUUAGAGGAGAUUUUGAAACGGAGUCCAAACGAAAGAAAAUCCCCGAAAAGAUUUUUUCUAGAACGGAAGAAGAUCCGGGGACUUGGGAGCCAAGCCAAAAGAGCCACAGGGGCCCCACAAGCCCCCACCCCGCGGCCAGGGGGCCGCCCCAUGCAGGUUUGUGGACCCCUGGAGGUCUCCUGACCUAGAUCUUGCGCCUAUAUAUUCCCAAAUAUUCCCAUAAAAUCAGAGGACGAUUGCAAUCACUUUUCCGCCGCCGCAAGCUUCUGUCUCCGCAAGAUCCAAUAUGGGGCACGUCCUGGUGCCCUGCCGGAGGGGAUUCGGACACAGAGGGCUUGUUCAUCAACACCAUGACCUCUCCGAUGAUGCGUGAAUAGUUCACCAUAGACCUACGGGUCCAUAGCUAGUAACUAAAUGGCUUCUUCUCUCUCUUGGAUCUUCAAUACAAAGUUCUCCAUGAUCUUCAUGGAGAUCUAUCCGAUGUAAUCUUAUUUUGUGGUGUGUUUGUCGAGAUCCGAUGAAUUGUGGAUUUAUGAUCAGAUUAUCUAUGAAUCUUAUUUGAGUUUCUUCUGAUCUCUCUUAUGCAUGAUUUCAUAUCCUUGUAAUUCUCUUCGAGUUGUGGGUUUUGUUUGGCCAACUAGAUCUAUGAUUCUUGCAAUGGGAGAAGUGCUUGGUUUGGGGUUCAUACCAUGCAGUGACCUCACCCAGUGACAGAUGGGGUAGCGAGGCAUGUAUCGUGUUGUUACCAUCAAGGUUAAAAAGAUGGGGUUUUCAUCAUUGGUUUGAGAUUAUCCCUCUACAUCAUGUCAUCUUGCUUAAAGCGUUACUCUGUUCAUCAUGAACUCAAUACACUAGAUGUAUGCUGGAUAGCGGUCGAUGCUUGGAGUAAUAGUAGUUGAUGCAGAAAGUAUCGGUCUACUUGUCUCAGACGUGAUGCCUAUAUUCUAGAUCAUUGCCUUAGAUAUCGUCAUGACUUUGCGCGGUUCUAUCAAUUGCUCAACAGUAAUUUGUUCACCCACCAUAUUAAUUGCUAUUUUGAGAGAAGCCUCUAGUGAACACUAUGGCCCCCAGGGUCUACUCCACACCAUAUUUUCAGCCUUACUCUUUUCACUCCGUUGCACUUUCCGCCUUUAGAUCUCACUUUGCAAACAAUCUUGAAGGGAUUGACAACCCUUUGAAGCGUUGGGUGCAAGCUUGUUUGUGUUUGCGCAGGUACUCUGGACUUGACGAGACCCUCCUUCUGGAUCGAUACCUUGGUUCUCAAACUAAGGGAAAUACUUACUGCUCCUGUGCUGCAUCACCCUUUCCUCUUCAAGGGAAAAACCAACGCAAGCCCAAUCUCCGUCAACAUGUCAAUUUCUGGCGUUGUUGUUUGAGAAGUAGCAUGGUACAUCACCCGUUAAGCUUGGAUGGAAGCUAGGAGUCAAGAUUUCUUGCGCCAUUGUCGGGGAAGAUCAAGUCAAGAUCUAUUAGGUUCCUACAUACAACUCUCAUCUCCUUGUAAUUACAUUAUUUGUCAUUUGCCUCUCGUUUUCCUCUCCCCCACUUUACAAAAAAAUUGCCUCUUAUUUCUACUUCUUUCCAUUUGUCAUUUUCUUGUCGGAUCUCUUGUUUGCAUGAUCGUUAUCUCUUGCAUUACUCCUCCUCCUUUGGCACCAGAUUUUGAAGUCUUGUGGUUCAAACAAAAACAAGGACAAAGUUAGAAAUAUGCUUGGUAUAGGCUGAUGGAAUCUUAUCGUGUUUGCAAUUUAAAAGGAGGUGCAAAGAUUUUUCUCCAUAAAUUUUAUAUAGGAUUAAACAUGCAUCACAGAACACUUCUAGAUUUUGCCGCUAAAGGAGAUUUUGUUGAGAUUGUUGCUAAUGCUGCUUAUGAAAUAAUAGUGGGGAUAUUGGGGGUUCCGCCAUUCAAAAAGGGAUUUACUUUUACACAAUAAGGAUCUCCAAUAUUAGACAAAUUGGGAGAUCUACACGAAUUGUUGACUUGCAAAAAUCUUAUGAACCUCUCAAAAUGUUGGGGAACGUCGCAUGGGAAACAAAAAAAUUCCUACGCGCACGAAGACCUAUCAUGGAGAUGUCCAUCUAUGAUAGGAGAUUUGGAUCUAUGUACCCUUGUAGAUCGUACAACAGGAAUCGUUAAGAAACGUGGUUGAUGUAGUGGAACGUCCUCACGUCCCUUGAUCCUCCCCACGAACCGUCCCAUGAACCGUCCCGCGAUCCGUCCCACGAUCCGCUCCGAUCUAGUGCCGAACGGAUGGCACCUCCGCGUUCAGCACACGUUCAGCUCGACGAUGAUCUCGACCUUCUUGAUCCAGCAAGCAAGACAAAGAAGUAGAUGAGUUCUCCGGCAGCAUGACGGCGCUUCGGUGGUGGUGAAGGAUCUACUCCUGCAGGGCUCCGCCCAAGCUCCGUAGAAAUACGAUCUAGGGGGAAAACCGUGAUGUUUUGUGGUCGGGCUGCCGUGGAAAAGUUGUCUCAAAUCAACCCUAGACCUUCACUAUAUAUAGGAGGAGGGGUGGGGAGACUUGCCUUAGGGUCCAAGACCCCAAGAGCCCGCCGGCCAAGGAGUUGGAGGAGUCCACCUCCAAUCCUAGUCCAACUAGGAUUGGAAGGUGGAGUCCUUCCCUUCCUUCCCACCUCCUUUUUUUUCUCUUUCCUUCGAUUUCUCUAUCCCCUGCGCAUAGGGCCUAUUGGGCUGUCUCACCAGCCCACUAAGGUCUGGUGUGGCACCCCUAAGGCCUAUGGGCUUCCCCGGGGUGCGCUGCCCCCCCCCCCCCNNNNNNNNNNNNNNNNNNNNNNNNNNNNNNNNNNNNNNNNNNNNNNNNNNNNNNNNNNNNNNNNNNNNNNNNNNNNNNNNNNNNNNNNNNNNNNNNNNNNNNNNNNNNNNNNNNNNNNNNNNNNNNNNNNNNNNNUCCCGGUAAUGCCCGAAAACUUUCCGGUAAUCAAAUGAGAUCAUCCUAUACAUCAAUCUUCGUCUCCGGACCAUUCGGGAAACCCUCGUGACUUCCGUGAUCUCAUCUGGGACUCCAAACAACAUUCGUUAACCACACAUAUAACUCAACUAUACUAAAACAUCGCGGAACCUUAAGUGUGCAGACCCUGCGGGUUCGAGAACUAUGUAGACAUGCCCCGAUGUACUCCUCAGUCAAUAUCCAAUAGCGGGACCUGGAUGCCCAUAUUGGAUCCUACAUAUUCUCCGAAUAACUCAUCGGUUGAACCUCAGUGUCAAGGAUUCAGGCAAUCCCGUAUGUCAUUCCCUUUGUCCUUCGGUAUGUUACUUGCCCGAGAUUCGAUCGUCGGUAUCCACAUACCUAUUUCAAUCUCGUUACCGACAAGUCUCUUUUCUCGUUCCGUAAUACAAGAUCCCAUGACUUAAACUUAGUCAUGUUGCUUGCAAGGCUUGUGUGUGAUGUUGUAUUACCCAGAGGGCCCCGAGAUACCUCUCCGUCACACGGAGUGACAAAUCCCAGUCUUGAUCCACACUAACCCAACGGACACCUUCGGAGAUACCAGUAGAGCACCUUUAUAGUCACCCAGUUACGUUGUGACGUUUGAUACACACAAGGCAUCCCUCCGGUGCCAGUGGGUUAUAUGAUCUCCUGGUCAUAGGAACAAAUACUUGACACGCAGAAAACAAUAGCAAUAAAAUGACAUGAUCAAUAUGCUACGUUCAUAGUUUGGGUCUAGUCCAUCACAUGAUUCUCCUAAUUAUGUGAUCCAGUCAUCAAGCAACAACACUUUGCACAUGCUCAGAAAACCUUGACUAUCCUUGAUCAACUGGCUAGCCAACUAGAGGUAUGCUAGGGACAUUGUUUUGUCUACUUAUCCACAUAUGUAUCUAGGUUUUCAUUCAAUACAAUUAUAGCAUGUAUAAUAAACGAUUAUCUUUAAACAGUAAAUAUAAUAAUAACUAUUUAUCAUUGCCUCUAGGGCAUAUUUCCAACACAAACAUAUUAGUGGAAACAUCAAUCGCAUGAAUACUUUGAAUACCUUGUGUAAUAAGCGUUUGCAUAUUUUGUAUCUUAAGAUGGCGCCUUUUCCUGAGAACAUUAGAAAACUUAAAGAGCCACCUAGGUUUGAGAGAGCCCUUACAAAGAUAGCAAAAAACUAAAGAUGAUAAUACUUGAAUCUAUGUUAUAUGCCUAGGUUCGGGCGUAAAUUGAUAGCGCUUGUUGGGAGGCAACCCAAUGAAUAAAAUUUAUUUUUAACUUUUUCUUUCUGUUCUUGAGUAUUCACUACAGGACUCUGAUAUUUUGCCGUCUGCCAUGGCGGAUGGCAAAGGGGGCCACCCCGGACGGCAAAGGCCUUUGCCGUUCGUCAGCACACGGAAAACUGGACGGCAAACGAAAAGCCGGUGAAGGGCCUCUUUGCCGUCUGCAUUGGGACAGCUCACAGUAAAGGAUCUUUGCCGUCAGGGGGGUGACGGCAAAGAAUAUGGGACUGCACAUCUGCGGGCUCCUCCGUCAAGUGCUAACGGUGGCCUGCUGGGCCCACAGAUAGUUUGCCGUCGUCCAUUGGCCCCUUUGCCGUUUGCCGUGCUGGUGGACAGAUGGCAAAGGCACCGCCAAAGCCCCUCUUGUUUGCACCUUUGCCAUCUUCCCUUUGACCCUUUGCCGUGUGCCCCUUUGACCCUUUGCCGUCCGCCGUCUGGUGGGCUGACGGCAAAGGUACCAGAAAAGCCCCUCUCACUUGCCCCUUUGCCGUCUGCCCUUUGACCCGUUGCCAUCUGCCCAUUGACUCUUUGCCGUCCGCCCACCAGCAUGGCAAACGACAAAGGGGGCACCCAGUUUGAUUCAAAAAAGGCCAGUUUGGCCCCUUUGCCAUCUGCUGUUGCUCCUUUGCCGUCGGUGGGCACACGGCAAAGGCUCCAAACUGCCACUGUUUAUUUUAUUUUUAAUAAUGUCCAGCAAUUUUCACACAAAUCAGGAAUAUAUCUCACACAAACUGCCCCAAAUGACAUAAUAGAUUUCACACAAACUACCCAUACUCAUAACCAUAUUAAAAUAAGUUUCAUCCAUAAUCCAUACAUAUGAUGCAAAUUUCAUCUGUACCAAACCAUAUAUUACACUAGUUUCAUCUAUACAUAUAACGUUUCAUAUCCAUUUACUACAAUAGUUUCAAUCCAAGCUUCUGUGAAGCCAUUUUGGAAGAAACCAUAUUGAAGCACUCCAUCAAUAUAAUCCAAGCUUCCGUGAAUUGAAUGUAAUCUGCAAAAUGGGAAAUAAGUAAGUUAGAAGAAGAAGACUAGAUGAAGAGGAGAAGAAAUAAGUAAGUUUCAUAUCCAUUUAGCUCCAAAAAGACAUACUUAGCUAAUUUAGCUCCAAGAAUAGGAGAAGAGGAGAAAUGAAAAGAAGAAGAGAAGAAGAAGAAGAAGAGGAAGGAGAAGAAGGAGGAGAAGAAGGAGAAGAAGGCUCCUCCUUUUCCUUCUCCUUAUCCUUCUCUUCUUUCUCCCCCUUCUUCUUCUCCUUCUUCUUCCUUCUUUUCAUUUCUCUUCUUCUUGGAGCUAAAUUAUCAAAGUAAGUCUUUUUCGAGCUAAAUGGGAUAAUUAUGUCAUUUUAGAGGAAAACAAGCUAAGUAUAUAAUAUUCAUGAGCUAACCAAGGUUCUUAUGCCAUUAUGAGCUUAUUAUGUCAUUUUGGAGCUAAAUUAGUCAUUUUAAUGAGCUAACCGAGGUUCUUAUGAUGUUUUUACCUAACUAAGCUAAUUAUGUCAUUUUUGAGGAUAAUUAGCUAAGUAUGUCUAUGUUGGGGAAAAUAAGCUACGUAGAAGAAGAAAGAAAAGAAGAGGAGAAGAAAAAGAAGAAGGAGGAGGAGGAGGAGAAGGAGAAGGAGAAGGAAGAGGAGAAGAGGAAGAAAAGAAGAAGGAAAAGAAGGAGGAGCUCUCCUUCUUCUUCUCUUCUUUUUCUCUUCUUCUUCUUCCUUCUUUUCAUUUUUCCUCUUCUUCUCCUCUUGUCCCCUUCUUUAGGCUAAAUUAGCUAAUUAUGCCUUUUUGGAUCUAAUUAUGUCAUUUUGAUGAUAAUUAGCUAAGUAUAGGUCAUGUUUUAUUAAAUAGACCAUUUUGCACCUAACUAAGCUAAUUAUGUCAUUUAGGUGGAAGCCUAGCUAACUAUAGGUCAUUUCGGAGCUAACUUGGGUAAAAUAUGUCAUUCCAGAGCAAACUAUGCUUAUUAAGCCAAUUUGGAUCUAGCUAAGCUAAUUAUAGGCCAUUUAAUACCUAAGUUAGGNNNNNNNNNNAGUUAGCCUUAUUAUCUCAUUCAAGAGAGAACUUAGCUAAGUAUAGGCCAUUUUUUUAUUAAAUAGGUCAUUUUACAGCUAACUAAGCCAAUUAUGUCAUUUAGGUGGAAGCCAAGCUAACUAUAUGUCGUUUUGGAGCUAAGUUGGGUUAAAUAUGUCAUUUUGGAGGAUAAUUAGCUAAGUAUAUGUCAUUUUUAUCAAAUAGACCAUUUUGGAGCUAACUAAGCUAAUUAUGUCAUUUAGGUGGAAGCCAAGCUAACUAUAUGUCGUUUUUGAAGCUAACUUGGGUUAAAUAUGUCAUUUUGGAGCUAAAUAUGCUUAUUAAGCCAUAUUGGAGCUAAAUUGGCUAAUUAUAUCAUUUAAGUGGAAGCCAAGCUUAGUAUAUAAUAUUCAUGAGCUAACCAAGGUUCUUAUGCCAUUUUGAGCUUAUUAUUUAAUUUUUGAGCUAAAUUGGUCAUUUUAAUGAGCUAACCAAGGUUCUUAUGAUGUUUUCACCUAACUAAGCAAAUUAUGUCAUUUUGUAGGAUAAUUAGCCAAUUUAGUCUUUGUUGGAUGAGUUUAAGCUACGUAGAAGAAUAGAAAGAGAAGAAGCAAGAAGAUAAGAAGAAGGAGAAGUAAAAGAAGAAGGAGGAGGGGGAGGAGAAGGAGAAGGAAGAGAAGAAGAAGAAGAAAAUAAGAAGGACAAGAAGAAGGAGAAGAAUGAGGAGAAGACGGAGAAGGAGCUUCUCUCCUCCUUCUCCUUCUUAUUCCUCCUUCUCCUUCUCCUUCUCCUUCNNNNNNNNNNNNNNNNNNNNNNNNNNNNNNNNNNNNNNNNNNNNNNNNNNNNNNNNNNNNNNNNNNNNNNNNNNNNNNNNNNNNNNNNNNNNNNNNNNNNNNNNNNNNNNNNNNNNNNNNNNNNNNNNNNNNNNNNNNNNNNNNNGCCUCUUUCUUCUCCUCUUAUUCCUUUUUUCGGGCUAAAUUAGCUAAUUAUGCCUUUUUGGAGCUAAUUAUUUCAUAUUGGAGGAUAAUUAGUUAAGCAAAUGUCAUUUUUAUUAAAUAAACCAUUUUGGAGCUAACUAAGCUAAUUAUGUCAUUUAGGUGGAAGCCUAGCUAACUAUAGGUCAUUUUGGAUCUAACUUGGGUAAAAUAAGUCAUUCCGGAGCAAAGUAUGCUUAUUAAGCCAUUUUGGAUCUAGCUAAGCUAAUUAUAGGCCAUUCCAUACCUAAGUUAGGGGGGAAUAGGUCAUCUUGGAGCUACCUAAGCCUUAUUAUGUCAUUUAGGAGAGAACUUAGCUAAGUAUAUGUCAUUUUUAUUAAAUAGUCCAUUUUGGAGCUAACUAAGCUAAUUUUGUCAUUUAGGUGGAAGCCAAGCUAACUAUAUGUCAUUUUGGAGCUAACUUGGGUCAAAAAUGUCAUUUUGGAGCUAACUAUGCUUAUUUAGCCAUAUUGGAGCUAAAUUAGCUAAUUAUAUCAUGUAGGUGGAAGACAAGCUAACUAUAUAAUAUUCAUGAGCUAUCCAAGGUUCUUAUGCCGUUUUGAGAUUAUUAUUUAAUUUUUGAGCUAAAUUGGUUAUUUUAAUGAGCUAACCAAGGUUCUUAUGAUGUUUUCACCUAACUAAGCUAAUUAUGUCAUUUUGUAGGAUAAUUAGCCAAUUUAGUCUUUGUUAGAUGAGUCUAAGCUACGUAGAAGAAGAGAAAGAGAAGAAUAAAGAAAAGAAUAAGAAGGAGAAGUAAAAGAAGGAGGAGGAGGAGGAGAAGGAGAAGGAAGAGGAGAAGAAGAAGAAAAGAAGAAGGACAACAAGAAGGAGAAGAAGGACGAUAAGAAGGAGAAGGAGCUUUUCUCCUCCUUCUCCUUCUUAUUCCUCCUUCUCCUUCUCCUUCUCCUUCUCCUUCUCCUUCUCCUUCUCCUUCUUCUUCUCUUCUCCUUCUUAUUCCUUCUUUUCAUUUUUCCUCUUUCUUCUCCUCUUCUCCCCUUCUUCGGGCUAAAUUAGCUAAUUAUGCCUUUUUGGCGCUAAUUAUGUCAUUUUGGAGGAUAAUUAGCUAAGUAUAUGUCAUUUUUGUUAAAUAGACCAUUUUGGAGCUAACUAAGCUAAUUAUGUCAUUUAGGUGGAAGCCUAGCUAACUAUAGGUCAUUUCGGAGCUAACUUGGGUAAAAUAGGUCAUUCCGGAGCAAACUAUGCUUAUGAAGCCAUUUUGGAUCUAGCUAAGCUAAUUAUAGGCUAUUUAAUACCUAAGUUAGGGGGAAUAGGUCAUCUUGGAGCUGCCUAAGCCUUAUUUUGUCAUUUAGGAGAGAAUUUAGCUACGUAUAUGUCAUUUUUAUUAAAUAGACCAUUUUGGAGCUAACUAAGCUAAUUAUGUCAUUUAGGUGGAAGCCAAGCUAAUUGUAUGUCGUUUUGGAGCUAACUUGGGUUAAAUAUGUCAUUUUGGAGCUAACUAUGCUUAUUAAGCCAUGUUGGAGCUAAAGUGUCUAAUUAUAUCAUUUAGGUGGAAGCCAAGCUAAGUAUAUUAUAUUCAUGAGCUAACCAAGGUUCUAAGCCAUUUUGAGCUUAUUAUUUAAUUUUUGAGCUAAAUUGGUCAUUUUANNNNNNNNNNCUAAGCUACGUAGAAGAUCAGAAAGAGAAGAAGCAAGAAGAGAAGAAGGAGAAGUAAAAGAAGAAGGAGGAGGAGGAGGAGAAGGAGGAGUAGAAGGAGAAGGAAGAGGACAAGAAGAAGAAAAGAAGAAGGACAAGAAGGAGGAGAAGAAGGAGAAGUAGCUUCUCUCCUCCUUCUCCUUCUUAUUUCUCCUUCUCCUUCUCCUUCUCCUUCUUCUUCUCUUCUCCUUCUUCUUCCUUCUUUUCAUUUUUCCUCUUUCUUCUCCUCUUGUCCCCUUCUUCAGGCUAAAUUAGCUAAUUAUGCCUUUUUGGAGCUAAUUAUGUCAUUUUGGAGGAUAAUUAGCUAAGUAUAUGUUAUUUUUAUUAAAUAGACCAUUUUGAAGCUAACUAAGCUAAUUAUGUCAUUUAGGUGAAGCCUAGCUAACUAUAGGGCAUUUCGGAGCUAACUUGGGUAAAAUAGGUCAUUCCGGAGCAAACUAUGCUUAUUAAGCCAUUUUGGAUCUAGCUAAGCUAAUUAUAGGCCAUUCCAUACCUAAGUUAGGGGGGAAUAGGUCAUCUUGGAGCUACCUAAGCCUUAUUAUGUCAUUUAGGAGAGAACUUAGUUAAGUAUAUGUCAUUUUUAUUAAAUAGACCAUUUUGGAGCUAACUAAGCUAGUUAUGUCUUUUAGGUGAAAGCCAAGCUAACUAUAUGUCGUUUUGGAGCUAACUUGGGUUAAAUAUGUCAUUUUAGAGCUAACUAUGCUUAUUAAGCCAUAUUGGACCAUUAUGCGGUUGUUCAGCAAAACACUAGAAAUAACAUACCAUUAUCGUCAUCACGGCGGUGAAGCAUGGUGGCUCUGGCUUGUUUCACCUGGAGAAGGCUCCACUGUAGAAGGGUCGUGCGAUGCGUUUCGGGAGAUAUUCUGCACCAAAAAUCAUUUCCAAUGUGUCGUUAGCAUGAGGACACUCUUAAGAUCACUGCACUGAAAUGAAACUCACCGUCCCCGUCAUGUUAAUGACUCGCAUCGCCGGAGGAACUUGGCCGGUCUUCUCGCACAUAGACUGUACAUUUGGUUUCGACAAGUCAAACUUUUUAGUUAUUAAUGAAACGGACAUUAAAAUGCAAGAUUUGAAAUAAUAUGAAGAAGAAACUUACCACGAAGAGCUCGUAUAUGGCCCUGUUAGACACAUCAUUCCGUGCCCUCUCCUCCUCCACCAAUGCAGUCGUCCUCUCCUCCAGCUCCCUCAUCUCCUUAUCCUUCUCCGCCAUAACCGCCUACAUUGCCUCUCUCUCUUUCAGAAUAGCAUCCUGCAACACAACUCAUUGUUAGCAUUGUAAUCAUAUUGGUUCCAACGCACAACAUAAUGUGGAAAGAUAGUUGAGUCCAUUAAACUAACCUCGAUGGCGAGCUCGACUGGCCGUGGACAAGGUGUUAUCUCAGGACAGGAGCUUGUUUGGCGUGCCUUUAUCUGCCGGAGAGUGCUAGGACAACGUAUAAGGUCGUCUCCAAUGGCGAUCGAGCCAUGGGGCCUCCCGUUGCCAGCUAUCAUCACCAGCUCUGGAUCAAUAGGCCCCUCGCUCGGGUUAAAGUCCUCCCCUUUCCUCGCCUUCCCGUGAUCUGUGUACUUCACGAGCUUGUGGUGGGAGGAGAUGUUCAUGAAGUUUUCUGGAUCCUCGAGGUCAGACUCAGAGAAUGCCUUGACCUUCUUGUACGAGGCAGUAUGGGCCAUCGCAUACAGGUCGUACAUCUGUGGCACCUCCGUCUUAUUGUGACGCGCCUAAAGGAGAGAGAGAGAACAAUUGUAUUAGUAAAGGGCUCAAGACAGCAUUAAGAAUGAAUUGCAUGAGGCAUGAAGCAAACAACAUACCCAGUUCUCGCAAAAUUGAAUUAAGUUGACGCUCCCAUCAAGGUGUGGCACACCAACCAUUUUUCCACGCCUCUCCUUGGCGUUGUUGUGGGUGGCCUCCCACGUUUCGGAGCACCACUGAUCCACCAAGGCCUCCCAACAAUCCAUCUUAUCCACACACCAUCUUGGGGGCACAUAAUUUAAUACAGAGAAAUUUGAGCGCGUAAGAACUAAAUCAAGGAAACUAACUACAAAGCCUUAAUAAUAUGUAAUUACCUUCAUGUAAUACUCCUUCUCCAUCUUAGAAUCACGGCACUUCGCCUUGUCCUUCCUAAUACGCUGCGUGGCAUAGUAGUCUCGAACAACCUGCACCCGAGCCUCGUGCCGAAAGUUUUGAAGUAGGCGGCGACAUUCGGUUUCAAUAACCUUUGUCGCGUCCUCCUCGUAUCCCUCCUCACACCUGUAGUAGGUCUGCAAACGAGACAACACCAAUUAGUAAAAUAACUAGCUAUGGUUGAUUUAUAAUUGUGUGAAGGAGAAAUUACCCAAAACUGUCGGAUCACCAUGUCAGCCCUCGUGUGGCACAAAACACCGUUGAUCUCCACCUCCGGUGGGGCCGGGGCACCCAAGUAGUGCUCCCAGGUCAUUUCUACCUCUCGCUCUCGACCGGGCAACGUAACAAACCUUGGGAAGUUUUGACGCAAAGCACACCAAGGACGUUGGUGGGCUUGUGGACACCCUUGGCAACAAUCCAACCCCUGCGGUAUGACAAAUUAAAGCCAAAACAUUAGAUAUUUGAGAAAACGUGAAGGCAAAAGGUUAAAUAAGAGUAAAUUAACUUACUUGUCCCCAUUUGGCUUAAUCGACCACCUCUGCUCGCGGGUCGCCGGCACGAGCGGGAGCCCCGAACUACCACGCUGGUAGACGGUAGCCCACUCACCCAGCUCUCGUCGCUACCAGCAUGGCCACUUGGCUCAGCCCAGGUAUCCCAGUGGGUCUCUGGGGACGCACCCUCAUCCCCACUUUGCUCCGAAGUCGCCUGGAACGAAGCCUCUGCGACACGAGUCUUGUGGGUCGAAGGCUCAUCGACCUAAGGCUCAUCGACCCGAGGCUCGUGCACCGGAGACCGUGUAGCCUCCACCUUAGACGAAUCCACACUAGAAGUCCUGUGCUUAGGUGAAUCAUCUUGGGGUGGUGGCGGAGACCAUGUAGCCUCCACCUCAGAAGGCAUGGCAGCCACCGCCCUACCUCUCCCGCGGCGACGUGUAACUUUAGUACAACAUAAAAACCAACAUGAGUAAUAAAAUGUGUAUAAAUACCAACAUGCAUACAACAUGAGUACAACAUAAAUACCAACAUGAAUACAACGUGUACCUUUAGUACCUCUCGGCUUCGCGGGGGUCGACCUCCUCUCACGGGGGGCUCUCCUUGUAGAGUAGAGAGCAACGCUCUCCGAAGAGGCGAGGCAGGAAUGGAAGUACCCAUCCCACCACCCGCCGAUGAAGAAGGAGCCACGGAGUGCUUUCGACCCUUUCCCACCAUCUCUCAACACCUGUCAUGACAAAGAGUAAAUGAAAUUAGUACAACAUAAAUACCAACAUGAGUAAUAAAAUGUAUAUAAUUUAAGUGUAUCAUCGUCAUAAAGACCAACAUGACUAAUAAAAAUUGAAAACCUAACAUGAACUCAAAAUUUAUAUAUACUAAUAGUUGAAUACCUGACAUGAACUAAUAACAAUCGUGCUCGUCUAUAUAUGCUCCGGGGUCAAUAAAUGCAUCAUGAUCAUCACUAUCAUCAAUAAAUGCAUCAUCAUCAUCACUAUCAGGAAGAACAUGUGGAAGGCCACCAUUAUGUAAUCGGUCAAGAAGUGACAGGUCAUCCGCAGCAGUAACCUCUUCUUCUUCCAUCUCUUCCUGUUCGGGGUCAGGGGUUAAGACGGAUUCACUGUCGGCGUCUACUUCAAUGUCCUCGGGUGAAGUAGAGCGGUUCUUGAAACGUUUCUUGGACAUACGUGUUUCUUGGAAGAAUUCUCCUUCAUAUGUGUCUGGGUUAAUGUGAGGUUCGUAAUCCUCUUCAUUGAGGGUAGGUGGUCUAAAAUGUGGUGGCACUUCAUAAACGACAUCCGAACCUUUGAGAUUUGGAUUAGUUUGGCGGGCCCACCGUAGAUAGAAAACUUGUGUCGCCUGUUGAGCCGUAAUAUAGACAUCGGGAACAUCUAAGUGGGUGUUUCGGUUGAUUUCGACUAGUCCUAUAUGUUCAUGAGUCCUUCUAGUCUCCCUCGGCUCAAACCAAUAACAUUUGAAGACUACGAAGAUUGGUGGGUUUUCACCGUAGAAUAGAACUUCAUAAAAUGCUUCAACUCUUCCACAAUACUCGGUGCCUCCUUCGCCGAUAGCAGAGACAGAACAAUUUGUAGUACUUAGGUCGGGCAUAGAUAGCUCUUUGCCAAAGGUACGAAAGUGAUACCCGUUGAUGUUGUAUUUCUCAAAUGAACGGACCUUAUAGUCAAAACCAUUAGCGACUUGUCUCAACUCGACGUCCAUAGACUCUGCAUCAGCCUACAAGUUUAAUAGGAAUGAAUGGAUGCAUUAGCUGCAAAUUAGACCAAGACAUCAAAUGGGCCCUUAAUGGUAAUUAAUUACCCUUUGUUUGAACCAAGAAAUGAAACCGAGAUAGUAGCCUCCAUGCUUUGCGAGAAGCUCAUACUCUUCGACAGAAUCCUUUUCGAUGACCGCUCCAUGUGAGAAUUCGGCGACGUAUCGACUAUAUAAAAUAUCCGGGAAUAAGAGUAGUUCAAAGGAAUUAGAAGUUGCGGAACAAUAAUUUAUCGAGAACUUACUCGAUGUACGGCCGCACUUCUGUUAGGUUGGUGAAGAUAUACAAUGAAAUGGUCGGCCAUUCUUCGACAUCCAACGAUUUCGCUUUCGAAGCACCGGAUGGUGUGAGCUUACCUUUGAAAAGGCUGAGGUUGGAUCGAACUCUUUUUGGAUCGCCAUCAUUGUACCGAGGCUUCGGGUUAUGCAAAUGAUGAUUUUUGGCUUCAUAGUGUGUUGUCACGAAGUUUGCCGCCUCCUCAGUAAUGAAUGCCUCGGCCAUCGGUGCUUCAAUUCUACGUUUAUUUUUACACUUAGCUCGAAGCGUCUUCUGCAUCCUCUCAGUUGAGUAGCACCAUCGAUUUGGAACGGGCCCCCCCCCAUUCUUGCCUCGGUCGGGAGAUGCAAAAUCAAAUGCUGCAUUGGAUUAAAGAAGCCCGAUGGAAAGAUCUUUUCUAAUUUGCAGAUCAACUCCGCCGCCAACUCUUCCAUUUCAUCUAGCACGCCAAGGGAUAGUUCUUUCGCACAAAGAGAACGGAAGAAAUAGCUCACCUCUGCCAGUACUAGCCAUUCAUCCUCAGGGAUAAAGCCACGCAACAUCAUCGGCAUUACCCGCUCAAUCCAUAUUUGCCAAUCAUGACUCUUGAGACCAAAUAUUUUCAAUUUCUCAAGACUAGCAACCAUCUUUAGAUUCGCAGCAUACCCAUCGGGGAACAUCAACUGCAUUUUCACCCACAAUAGCAUUUCCCUCAUAGCUAGCCUUUCAAGAUUGAACCAUGCCUUUGGCUUCGCUAUGCUUUGCUUUCCUUUCCAUUGUCGCAAGUUUUGCAACGGUCUAUCACAUAGAGCCUCCAGGUGGAUUCUAGCCUUAGGAUUAUCUUUUGACUUCCCCUCUAUGCCGAACAAUGUACCCAAAAUGGCCUCCGCAAUAUUCUUUUCACUGUGCAUCACGUCGAUGUUGUGUGGGGAAAGGAGGUAUUUGAAGUAAUGCAGAUCCCAUAAGCAUGACUUGUGAGUCCAGGCGUGUUCCGUAUUACACCCUUUGAAGUAUCAUGGACGCAAAGGAUCAGGCUCGAGAGCAUUUAACUGAUCAAGGGUCUGUUGGCCUGUCAACGCAGCUGGUGCAGUGUUUUUGACAACUCUACCUUGAAUGAAAUUCUUCUUGUCUUUUCUGAACUUAUGGUGAGGAUCCAGGAAUUGUCUACGCAUGUCGAAGCAAGAAAACUUGCGACCAGCCUGCACCCAACGGAACUGAAGAGCUGCCUUGCAUGGGGUGCACGGGAACCUUCCAUGCACACACCAGCCAGCAAAUAGCGCAAACGCCGGAUAAUCAUGCGUCGAGUACAUGUACCACACAUGCAUUUUGAAAUUUGUUUUGGUAGCCAGGUGGUAGGUAUUGAUCCCAUUAUACCAGGCUUCUUGCAACUCAUCCUUAAGCGGCUGCAUGUACACAUUCAUAUUCUUCCCCGGAUAGUUGGGCCCUGGAAUUAUUAUCGUCAGGAAAAUGUUCUUUCUUUUCAUAAUCUCUCGGGUGGCAAAUUGAAUGGAAUGACAAAUACAGGCCAACAACUGUAUUGUGCUGUCGUCAUACCAUACACAUUGAACCCAUCCGUGCUGAUGGCAACUCUAGGAUGCCUUGGAUCUUGCGAUUUAUCCUUAUGUAAUGCAUCGAAGUGCCUCGACACAAAACCAUCUGAAGUGUGUGCCAGCAUCUUGUUCCCAUCCGCAUCUAGUUCGGUUCUUUUGCCCAAUUUGUGCCAUGUCAUUUGCCUGGCCGUCUCUUCGACCAUGAAAAGACGUCGAAGUCUUGGUACAAUUGGCAGAUACCGAAGAACACUAAUGGGGAUUUUGGUCUGAUUCUUCUCACCCAUACCGUUGUCUACCAAAAUAUACCUGGAAGAAUUGCAAAUGGGGCAAUAGUUUAAGGCCGCAUACUCAAGCCUAAAUAAGGCACAUCCAUUCUCACAGGCAUGUAUCUUCUCAUAGGGCAUCUUAAGUACACGGAGGAUUUUGUCUGACUGGUACUUGUUUGCAGGCAGUACGUGGCCUUUGGGUAGAAAGGGUCCAAAUAUCGUCAUCAUCGCGUCGUAGAAUUCUCUGCCUAGGUUGAAUUGAGCCUUCAGAGCCAUUACUUGCGCGAUGGCAUCCAGCUGACAAAGCUCGGUCUGCUCGUGGAGAGGACGUUUUGAAGACUCCAAAAUUUCAUAAAAGGCCUUUGCAGAUUCCUCCAUCUCAUCGUCCGAAUCCCGAGCAUCAUCAAAGUCUUGCACCAUGUCUUCGAUCCCGGUACCAUGCUUGUCGGUGCGACGACGAAUCACCUCGGCUCUGUCACGUUGGUCAGACUCACCAUGAAAAGUCCACACCAUAUAAUUAGGCGUAAAGCCCCACUUCUGCAGGUGUUUACCCAUUUGAAACUCUAUCUUCUUUUUCCAGUUGUCGCUGUUGGGACAGGGGCACCAUAUUUUUUGCUGGUCAUUUGAAAAUGCUUCUCUCACAAACCCCCUGGUUUUUGUGAACCAUUCAUUGGUCAUGUCUUUCUGACUAGGGUGACCAGUGUACAUCCAAUCACGAUCACUCAUGUUGCCUAGCUACCUAUGGGCGCACAAGAAAUAAAUAUAUAAUUCAUCAUCUAUAUUCAUCCGCUAAUCAAGUUUGUCAGUUUUAUUACAUCCAUGCAACCUACACGCUAAUAGGUAAAGAUAGGUCCUAAUCCCACCCGAGUAUGUGUAGAUUGGGUUUGUUUUCCCAUGCUCUGUUCCAGACGCGACGCAGAAUUUCGGCAGCACCUCCCCGUUGUUCUCCUCAUACCCGUCUCGACAAUAAGCAGAGAGGAUGUGUACCCAGAGAACAACAGGGAGGCACUAACGAAAUUCCGCAUCGGAUCCGGAGCACAUCAUACGGGAAAAGGAACCCAAUCUACACAUACUCAGGCUAUCCAUGGGUAAUGUUGGACAAUUCGAAAGAAUGGCGGUUAUAAAUAUGCAAAGACAUGCAUAUUUAUAGAUGUCGCCCUUUCGAACGAGAGACGCAUACUGGUCACGCAUACUCAUGAUUGAAGAAACCUAUAUCUAGCAAGUUUCAUCGGCACGAAGACCGGAACAGAGCAAAUUAAGGGGGUAGGAGGAGAAGUCAUUUGUGCUCAACAACAAACGCAGGGGCGUAGCUCGUCCAACGCAGGUGGAGGUCGUCGAACAACUGCACAUUGAAAUUCACACGAUCAACAAAAAUAUGAUGUUUUUAAAACAUAAUUGGAAAAUAUGUGACCUAACUUAUAAUUUACAAAACUAUGACCCCGUCGGUUUGUGGAAGGCCGAAAAGCACCUUCUCGUUCAACCGGAGGCAGAAGAGUUGUCGGGGUCGGGGGUUAGUGGCGUUGAGAGUCAGUGCCGUCGAGGGUCGAUGGUGUCGGGUGUCGGUGGCGUCGGGGUUCGGGGUUUAGUGGCGUCGGUGGUCGGGGGUCAGUNNNNNNNNNNNNNNNNNNNNNNNNNNNNNNNNNNNNNNNNNNNNNNNNNNNNNNNNNNNNNNNNNNNNNNNNNNNNNNNNNNNNNNNNNNNNNNNNNNNNUCCGUCGCCUCCCGGUCCUCCCCGACCCAGCCGGCAGCUUCACAAGAACCGCCAUGAGCUCCUCUUCCCGUUCCCCCUCUUCCCGAGGCCAUUCCUCUCCUCAAACACCGUUAGCUGCCGGAGCCCGAAGGUCCUCGUCGCCGGCCAUGUCGUUGCCGUCGUUGUGGUAUUCCGUUCACGAGACCGAGCUCAGAAAUGAGCUCCUCGAGCUCUGUAGAUGCCGUAAGGCCCCUCUCCCAGCUCGCUAGCGUCUCGCAACGCCACUCCCGAUGAUGCCCGAGCCACAGCCGAUGCUGACCUCGUCGCUGGUGUGGAUUCCAGUGACCACUGGGUCCAGCUCCUCUCCCUUUAGAUGCGGUGCUUCGCUAGCUAACCGUUGCACUAAACCGCGCCCAAAACCGAUGCAUGUAGCGCCGUUUAGCUCAACUCCGGCGAGUCCUCCGCCGCGCCCAUGGUCGACGCCGGCCAUAUUCCGGUGGGGGCGACGUGGUCAAACUAAUUACCCAGUAAACACCCCCCUAGCCACUGACAGUGGGCCCCAGGGUGGGUCAAACCCCAGUUAGGGGCUGGUCAACUCGGGGAUUAGCCCCUGGUCAUUGACUAGUGGACCCCACUGGUCAGGUUUGACCUGGCCCAGCCUGUGUUGACCAGAGACGUCACUGUGACGCAAUAAAGGAAUUUCUAAUAUAAAAAUAAUUCCAGAAAUGUCCAAAACUUCUAAAAAUCAUAGAAAAUAAUCUGUAAGUCCAAUGAAAAUAAUUUAUAUAUGAAAAAGUAUCAGAAAAAUUCUAGGAAUCUGAAUAUGUCAUUUUCAAACAUGUUUGAAAAUGUUACUGAACCCAAACAUGUAGAUUAAUGAAUAAGUUAAUUCUUAUAAAUACUUUGGAGAUGGAAUUUGGAAGUUAUUUAAUUUUCACUACAAAUUAUAUGAUCAAACACUGUCCAAAUCACAAACCAGCAACCUAACAUGUCACUCCAUGCAUGUUAAAAGCAAGUUGAUCUGAGCAUGAGGUCGAAUCAAUUAAAAUGGUAUCCGAGAAUACCUCGUUUGAAGUAAUAUUUGAAUUUGAUUCAAAUCAACUUCAAACCUAAUAAAUGUUAGCUAUAAUAGUAUACCACUUUUCAUCCUCAUGCCAUGCUCAUGCAUCAUCUUGUUGCAUAUGCUUGUGAUUGAUUGUUGUCACUCUUUUUGGUAGGCUCCACUCCUCCGGAUUCCACCGAAUAUCCGAUUGACGGAUAUUGUCCCUCCUCUGAGCAACAAGGCAAGCAACCAUUUUGAUCAUCCCGAUAAAUCCCAUGUUCUCGCUCCUCCACUUACUUAUUGCAUUAGGAUCAAAUGCUUCAAAUGCUUUUGCCACGUUAGUUGAACCCACUUCCUUUGCAUGACCUAUCCUUGUCACAAUAAAUAGCUGAACCUUGCAACCUAGCAUACCUGGUAGUUGCUUGAGCCNNNNNNNNNNGCACUUACUUAUUGCAAUAGGAUCAAAUGCUUCAAAUGCUUUUGCCACGUUUCUUGAACCCACUUCCUUUGCAUUACCUAUCCUUGUCACAGUAAAUAGCUGAACCUUGCAACCUAGCAUACCUGGUAGUUGCUUGAGCCAUGAUGUGCCUUAUCCUGCUAUGCAUGCUAUGCUUAGAGUUGUGUUUGGUCUGUCAUCUGGGAGAUGAACAGAAUUGUGAGAAUGCGUUCAGUAAGUAAAGGCGGUGCGUUGAACCUGAUUUGGUAAAGGUACCGGUGAAAGGCUAUGUAGGAGUACAUGGCGGGUUGUUUCAUUGGAACCGUCCUUAGGAACUNNNNNNNNNNUUUAAGUAAUUAAAGGCGGUAUGUUGAACCUGAUUUGGUAAAGGUACAUGUGAAAGGCUAUGUAGGAGUACAUCGCGGGUUGUUUCAUUAGAACCGUCCUUAGGAACUGAGUUCUGUGUAUGUAAUCCAAGACUAGAUACUACCACACGUUGGGAUACUUAAUUGACCCUCUCGACUUAUUAAUCGCUUAGUACUCGGUCCAGGAGUUGCAAGUAGUUUCUCGUGUUUAUAGUCAUGAUGGAGGCCGUGCAUAGUGCUGACCUGAGAGGUGGGCUGUGAUGCGGUANNNNNNNNNNUCUUAGUACUCGGUCCAGGAGUUGCAAGUAGUUUCUAGUGUUUAUAGUCAUGCUGGAGGCCGUGCAUAGUGCUGACCUGAGAGGUGGGCUGUGAUGCGGUAGGCAGUGGCACGGUGUACCAAGUGGCACCCGGAUGGUGGCUUGGGAACCCUGCGCACAUCGUUUGGGGCCGUGGCGGAGACUUCGGCCGGACUUCCGUGCGGGUUACCCUCAGAUAGGCGAUAGACCUGGACUAGGUACUAGUGUGGUUAACGGUCGUGGCUAACUCCCUCGCUGGGCUUCCGCUUGAAGGUUGCCGAGGUGCAUGACGUGCACAUGGCGAUAAGUGGCGAGAGCGUGUGUGACGAAGUACACCCCUCUAGGGUUAUGAUCUAUUCGAAUAGCCGCGUCCGCGGAUAUGGACUACUUGGAGACAUAUGUUGUUCAUAGAUAACUUAAGUGGCUACUCAUAAAAUUGUCAAGAUAAGCGUGAGUAUCGUGGACGGCAUUUCCGUAUGGAGACGGAAUGAUUCCACGAUGGAGUAUUGUUGUGGUGUUAGUGGACUCGUGUGUGAGAAAUCAAGUUGUAAAAAACUUGUUUUAAAAAUGUAAGUUGUCUAGCCAUGAGUCAAAUGCUGGCUUUCUGCAUGAAACCCCACAAUUCCUUAUUGAUACAUUGCAUGAGUAGAUAGUUAUCCUAAAGUCUUGCCGAGUACCUCCGUACUCAUGUUUGUUUAAUAAUUGUUGCAGAGGUUGUUAAUGACCCUAACGGAGGGUUCUUCCUAGACAUCGACGACGACGAGUAGCUGGUGUCCCACCUAAGAUCUGGCCCUAGGUUGGGUCUAUAGUAUAGUCACGCCAUGUGCCUUCUAGUUUCACCUGUCUGUACUCAGACAGUUCUAAACACUUUCGCUGGCUUGUAACUGAAUGUCUGCUAUGAUGGGUCGUGAGACCCUUACUGUGUAAUAUUAUGUGUGUGGCUCUUCCGAGCUUUUUAAAUAAACCUUGUAUGUUUAUGGUUAUGUUGUGAUGCCAUCGAUGUAUCUAUACAUANNNNNNNNNNUGACGAGUUGCUGGUGUCCCAGCUAUGAUCUGGACCUAGGUUGGGUCUAUAGUAUAGUCAGCCCAUGUGCCUUCUAGUUUCACUUGUGUGUACUCACACAGUUUUAAACACUUCCGCUGUCUUGUAACUGAAUGUCUGCUAUGAUGGGUCGUGAGACCCUUACUUUGUAAUAUUAUGUGUGUGGCUCUUCCGAGCCUUUUAAAUAAAGCCUGUAUGUUUAUGGUUAUGUUGUGAUGCCAUCGAUGUAUCUAUACAUAUCGGUAUGCCAUGCGUACGUGUGUCGUACUUGAUAUGUAUGGGGUUCGAUUACCUAGGCGUAAUCUUUAAUAGCACUCCUUACAGGGAAAUGCCCCUUUGUGAUCCAACGAGCCAUGGUAGUUCGCUACUGCUCCGGACACAUUGGUUGACCGGCGUGUGUCCUUCUUAGCUGAUGUGUCUGUCCCCUUUGGGGAAAUGUCACGCGAUGUAAUGGAGUCCUUNNNNNNNNNNACUUUAAUAGCACUCCUUACACGGAAAUGCCCCUUUGUGACCCAACGAGCCAUGGUAGUUCGCUACUCCUCCGGACAAAUUGGUUGACCGGCGUGUGUCCUUCUUAGCUGCUGUGUCUGUCCCCUUUGGGGAAAUGUCACGCGAUGUAAUGGAGUCCUUGUAGCUUGCUACGACUCGUCUACAUUCACUUGUGACCGACACCUGCUUUGCUGGGUCAUAUAUGCCUGUCCCUGUGCGGAACUGCCACUUUGGUUUAUGACUAGACAUGUCGAUCCGGGUUCUUUGUCAUUGGAUUGCUAGCGACACAAUUGCAUACGUGAGUCAAAAGGCGCAAAUAGUCCCGGCUAAGGUAAGGCUGCAGCCGUGGGGUUAACCGUGCGUGAGACCGCAAAGGGAUGCGAUGUGUUACAGGCUGGAUUCCUAUGGCUUAGGAUCGGGGUCCCGACAACUUAGGAUGCCACUUCUGUGUGAGCUCCUCUGGCUCCCACUAAUAAACUGGCGUCUGGUACUCGACUGGUGGCUCGGGCACGGGCAUCUGUGGUUGGGCUAAGCCCCAAUAUGCGUAGAUGUCCGAGGGCAUAAUAUUGUACCUUCCUGCAUGAAGAUUGAACAAAGAAGGAGCAGGCAAAGUAAUUGUAUCACGAGUACCCUGACUAAAUACCAGGUUAUAAAUCCUCCAUCUAUAUAUAUCUCUAUCAAGAAAGUCAUGGCGAACCAUGCUAUCAUAAUCUAGAUAUCCCUCGGGAAGAAGAACCUCUUCUUCCUCCUCCAGUCUAAUGGGUAUCUCAAAGUGUUUGGCAAGACGGGUAGCAUAGAUACCUCCAUAGACAACACCUUUAGAACGGUUCAGGUUCAACCGUUGAGCUACUUUAGCGCCCAAGCUAUAAGCUUUAUCGUUAUAAAGGGCUUCACGCAAGACCGCAAGAUCUGGGGAACUAAGUGACCCAGCUUUCCCACGGCCAAUCAAACAUUUUCCCACAAAUAGUGAGAAGUACCGAGGCACGGGAAAAUGAAUGCUAGCAGCUCUAGCGCAAGACACUCCUCUAUCCUCUCCUACAACAAUUGUAUCGAUGAAAACUUCCAAGUCCCGCGGACGAGGUUCAUGAAUAUCCCCAACGUAAGGUAAUUUGCAAACAUUGCAAAAAUCUUGGAGUGACAUGCGCUGGGGGAUAUCAUGAAGUUUGAACUCAACCAUAGGAGGAUUCUUCCUCGGAUAGAAGUUAAAGCUUUGUACAAAGAUAUUAGUGAGGAGGAGGUAUUGCGGACACUUAUCUUCAACGAAGGCGGUAAGCCCUGCAUUUUCCACCAAGUGAUAAAAGUCCUCAUAAAUUCCAGCGGCACGUAAGAACACGUCGCUUGGCCACUCGCACGCUCGAACUUCUGCGACUCGAGGGACCAAAUACUUGGGCUUCUUCUCACUCCCAUCAUCCUUGGGGUCACGGCUUGAAGAGCCUCUUGAGAACCUCCUCAUCUUUUCCCAUUUCUAUCUCUGAAAAUUUCUGAAAUUUUUAGUGAUUCUAAGGAUAAGUGAAUAAGGCUCAACGAAACUCGUAGCAAUUACUCCCACAAGUGCCAAGAGGCCAUAUUACGCAUCAAAACUACCUGGGACAAGCUAAAAUUAACAUGCAAAGCUCAAGAACAUGGUCACCAAGGCAGCAAAAAUACACAGAGUAUAAGGCACUAGAGCAAAAAAUAAUUGGACCAAUGGAGGAGUCACUUACCAAAGAGUAAUUUCCCCAAAACAGUUCGGAGAAUGGUGAUUUGAGCAAAGAGAUCGAAAAAUCCCAGCAAGAGGAGCAAGAACACGGGUUUGAGCUGCGAAACGAUUUUUUCUGGAGGUAGGAGAAACACACGAGAGCAAGAAUGAGUGGAAGGGGUGCCUGUGGGCCCCACAAGCCUGGGUGGCGAGACCAGGGGGUGCCCGCGCCGUCAGGGCUUGUGGUCCAUUGGUGCACCCCCAGACAAGCUCUUCGUCUCAGUAUUUUUCAAAAAAUCCAGAAAAAAUCAUACUUGAUUUUCAGGACGUUCGGAGAACUUUUAUUUUCAGGGUACUUUUCUACCGGACGCUAAAACAGAAAACAGGGAAAAUUAAACUAAAUCUAUCAUUUUUCUUCUAAGCAACUGAAGGUGAAAGCUUGGAACAGUGGUUUGUGACUCCUCGAUUCAUCCAUCUCAUGGUGAUCGAAAGAAAUCCGUCACUGAGGUUGAUCAAGUCUCCUCGACAAACUUUAUCGAAUCGCAAAAGAGAACGGAGAAUUUUUGAAUAGUCACUAGGUUACCUCAAUGGGGAUGUGUAUCUCCCCAACGAGCAAAUCAUACUUCAUCUUAACACGAGGAAUAGGGCAUUCAACGCUCCCAACAAGAAUCGAUGAAGUUUUUUUUGAUAGCGUUGAUGCAAUGUACUCGAUAUUGUUUCUUCGGAAAGUGCACCGUAUGCUCAUUACCGUUGACAUGGAAAGUGACAUUGCCUUUGUUGCAAUCUAUAACAGCCCCUGCAGUGUUUAAAAAGGGUCUUCCGAGGAUGACCGCCAUGACAUCGUCUCGGGAAUAUCCAGAAUAACAAAGUCCAUCAAGAUAGUAACGUUGGCAACCACAACAGGCACAUCCUCGCAAAUGCCGAUAGGGAAAGGAGUUGAUUUGUCGGCCAUUUGCAAAGAGAUUUCAGUGGGUGUCAAGUUAUCCAGUUCAAGUCUACAAUAAAGAGAGACAAGCAUAACACUAACACCGGCUCCAAGGUCGCAUAAGGCAGUUCUAACGUAGUUAUCUUUAAUGGAGUAAGGUAUAGUGGGCACACCAGGAUCACCUAGUUUCUUGGGAGUUCCACCCUUGAAGGUAUAAUUAGCCAGCAUGGUGGAAAUCUCAACCUCAGGUAUCCUCCUCUUAUUAGUCACAAUAUCUUUCAUGUACUUAGUAUACGGAGACAUUUUGAGCAUAUCUGUCAAAUGCAUUUGCAAAAAGGCAUGUCUGAUCAUUUCAACGAAUCGCUCAAAAUCCUCAUCAUCCUUUUUCUUGGAUGGCGUGGGAGGAAAGGGCCUGGGUUUCUGAACCCAUAGCUCCCUUUCUUUACCAUGCUUCCUAGCAGCGAAGUCAUUCUUAUCAUAUCUUCUAUUCUUAGGAUGUGGGUUAUCAAGAUCAUCAGGUUUAAUCUCCACAUCCUUAUCACUGCUAGGUUCAGCAUCAACAUGACCAUAACUAUUUAUAUUAUCAUUAGGCUCAAGUUCAUCACCAGAAUGUGUUCAGCAUCAGAGAGGGAGGCAUCGUUUGGACUCUCAGGGGUAGCAGCAACAGGGUUGCGAGCAUGCAGGUUCCUAUCAUAUUUCUUCUUAUUUCUAGGAUGACUAGGUGCAUCAGUGCUAACUCCUUGAGAAUCUUGUUCAAUUCUCUUCGGAUGACCGUCAGGAUACAAAGGUUCCUGGGUCAGUCUACCGCCUCUAGUGACGACUCUGACGAAAUUGUCAUUCAACUCAUUGAGCCAGUCAUUUUGAGCUUUAAGUACUUCUUCUACCUGAGUAGUAACCAUAGAGGAACUUUUACUCACGAGCUUAUGAUCAUUGACAUUUCUGUCCACACAAGCACUUAAAUGACUAAGCAUACGAGCAUUCUGUUCCAAUUGUCUUCUAACAUAAUCACUGAAACUCUGUUGUUUGGCAACAAAGUUAUCAAAUUCAUCCAGGCAUAAGCUAGCAGGUUUAUCAAAAGGAAUAUCACUCUCAUCAAACCUAUGCAGAGAGUUUACUUCUACUACGUGUAUCGGGUUAUCGAGACCAUGGAUCUCUUCGAUAGGUGGUAGAUUUUUGACAUCUUCAGAUUUAAUGCCUUUCUCUCGCAUAGAUUUCUUGGCUUCUUGCAUAUCUUCAGGACUGAGGAAUAGAAUACCUCUUUUCUUCGGAGUUGGCUUAGGAGGUGGUUCGGGAAUAGUCAAAGCAUUCUCAUUGCACAAGAUGUUAUUCAGUAGAAUCUCAGCUUGUUCUACAUUUCGUUCCCGAAAAACACAACCGGCACAACUAUCUAGGUGGUCUUUGGAAACAUCGGUAAGUCCAUUAUAGAAGAUAUCAAGUAUUUCAUUCUUCUCAAGAGGGUGAUCAGGCAAAGCAUUCAGUAGCUGGACAAGCCUCCCCCAAGCUUGUGGGAGACUCUCUUCCUGAGCAUGAGCAAAGUUGUAAAUUUCCCGCAAGGCAGCUUGCUUCUUAUGGGCAGGGAAAUAUUUUUCAAAGAAGUAGUAGACCAUAUCCUGGGGGCUACGCACACAACCAGGAGCAAGAGAAGUGAACCAUGUCUUAGCAUCAUCCUUUAGCGAGAAAGGAAACAACUUGAGGAUAUAGUAGUGGCGGAUCUUUUCCUCACUAGUGAAUGGGGUGGCUAUAUCGUGCAGUUUGGUAAGAUGGCUACAACCGUUUCAGACUCAUAACCGUGAAAAGGAUCUGAUUCGACUAGAGUGAUUACCUCAGGGUCGACAGAGAAUUCAUAAUCCUUAUCGGUCACAAAGAUAGGCGAAGUAGCAAACUUCGAGUCGUAUUUCAUCCUAGCGUUCAGAGAUUUUUCUUUCCACUUGAGAAGUAAUUUCUCAACAUCAUAUCUAUCCUUACACGCAAGAAAGUCCUCAUCUAUAUCUCCUUCCAUAACAUAGCGUUCAGGUAUAACAGGCAAUUCACGCAUAGUAGCAGGUUCUACAUCAAUAGUAUCAGCAGUUUCAGAAGUAUCAUCACAACUAGCAGCAACUCUAGCAAUUUGUGCAUCAAGGAAUGCAAUUAGUGGCAAAGCAGUAUCAGGCAUAGCAUCAUCAGGCAAAGUAGUAUCAGGCAUAGCAUCAUCAGGCAAAGCAGUAUCAAGCAUAGCAUCAUCAGGCAUAGUAUCAAGAAUAGCAUCAUCAUAAGCAUCAUGGGUAGGAGAAGUAGCAUCAUCAAGCACAGGCAACAUAUCAAGAUUUCUAGCAGGAGGUGAUGUCGCAAACUUACUCAUAACUGAAGGUGAAUCAAGUGCAGAGCUAGAUGGCAGUUCCUUACCUGUCCUCGUAGUGGAAGGCAAGACUUUAGUUCUUGGAUCUAUCGGAUUACUCAUAGCGACCAGCAGACGUCAAUCCCAAGUGACUCAGAGAACAUAGCCGUGCCUCCCCGGCAACGGCACCCGAAAAUAGUCUUGAUAACCCACAAGUGUAGGGGAUCGCAACAGUUUUCGAGGGUAGAGUAUUCAACCCAAAUUUAUUGAUUCGACACAAGGGGAAGAGAAAGAAUAUUCUCAAGUAUUAGCAGCUGAGUUGUCAAUUCAACCACACCUGAAAGAUUACUGUAUGCAAGCAAAGUAUUAGUAGCAAAGUAGUAUGAUAGCAACGGUGUGAGAAAAGGGUCUAUUGACGGCAGACUAUUCCUGACUAGUUGUAUCAAUGGCGCCAGUAAAUAGUCUUGCAGCAGGUAACACCAAAGUAAUAAGUAACAACAGUAGUGACAGCAGUAGCAAGGAACAACAGUAGCAGCAGAGUAACAACAAUAGCUACAGAGUAACAGCAGCAACAGUAACAGCAGUAGCGGCAAAGUAACGUAGCAAGGACCAGUAGUAAAAGACUCGUAGGUAGUGGAUCGGUGAUGGAUGAUUAUGCCGGAUGUGAUUCAUCAUUUAACAGCUAUAACAUGGAGAGAUAAGUAACUAGUUCCCGUUCGUCAAUCUAAUGUAGGCAUGUAUUCCGUAUGUAGUCAUACGUGCUUAGGGAAAAGAACUUGCAUGACAUCUAUUGUCCAUCCCUCCCGUGGCAACGGGGUCCCAAUGGAAACUACGGGAUAUGAAGGUUCUCCUUUUAAUAAAGAACCGGACCAACGCAUUAACACGUGGUGAAUACAUGAACUCCUCAUAGUAUGGUCAUCUCCGGGAGUGGUUCCGUCUAUUGUCACUCCGGGAUUGCCGGGUAAUAACACAUAGUAGGUGACUACUACUUGCAAGAUAUGAUCUAAAACACACAUAUAUUGGCGACAACAUAAUAGGUUCAGAUCUGAAAUCAUGGCACUCGGGCCCUAGUGACAAGCAUUAAGCAUGGCAAAGUAGUAGCAACAUCAAUCUCAGAACAUAGUGGAUACUAGGGAUCAAUCCCCAUCAAAACUAGCUCGAUUACAUGAUAGAUCUCAUCCAACUCAUCACUGUCCAGCAAGCCUACAAUGAGAUUACUCACGAACGGUGAAGAGCAUGAUGGAAUUGGCGAUGGAGGAACGUUGAUGAUGACGAUGCCAACGAUUUCCCCUCUCCGGAGCACGGAACGGACUCCAGAUCUGCCCUCCACAUGAAGAACAGGAGGUGGCGGGGCCUCCAUAUCGUAAAACGCGAUGAAUCCUUCUCCCUAAUUUUUUCCGGGCGAAAAGGAAUAUAUAGAGCUGAGUUUGGAGGCGGUGGAGCCUCGUGGGCUCCACAAUCCUGGUUGGUGCGGCCUAGGGCGGUGGCCCCGGCCAGUGGGCUUGUGGCCCACUGGCUCACCCCCUCCGGUGGAUCUUUGUGCAGGUAUUUUUCAUUAAUUUUAGAAAAAAAUUCCGUAAAUUUUUAGGUCAUUCCAAGAGCUUUUAUUUCUGCACAAAAAACAACACCAUGGAAAUUCUGCUGAAAACAGCGUUAGUCCGGGUUAGUUCCAUUCAAAUUAUGCAAGUUAGAGUCCAAAACAAGGGCAAAAGAGUUCAGAAAAAUAGAUACGACGGAGAUGUAUCACUUACCAAUCUGAAAUUUUGGUUAUGCUUCGUUAUUGUUAUACUAAUUAUGAAUAUAAUGCCCAUAUUUAUCGAUUUAUCGAGAAAUUCUUCGCUGCCCAAGAAGAGACUAAUAUUUUGCAGGAAAUUAUGGAAGAAGAAAAUGUUGAAACUGUGAGCUCAUUAGAUGAAAAAGAUGACGAGGAGAGCGAAGAAGAAAAGGAGGAAGAGCGGACUAGCUACCCGUGCCCACCUUCUAAUGAGAGUAACUCUUCAACUGAUACAUUGUUUAAUUCCCCUUCGUUCUUACCGAUGGAUGAAUGCUAUGUUGAUUGCUAUGAUCCCUUGGAUUCGUUUGAAAUAUCCCUUUUUGAUGAACUUGAUGCUUGCUAUGCUUGUGGCCAUGAUGCCAAUAUGAAUGAUGCUUAUGAAGAUGAACUUGCUAUAGUUCCUUAUGUUAAACAUGAAAUUGUUGCUAUCGCACCCACUUAUGAUAGUCCUAUUAUCUUUGUGAACUCUCCCAACUACACUAUAUCGGAGAAGUUUGCUCUUAUUAGGGAUUACGUAGAUGGGUUGCCUUCUACUAUUACACAUGAUGAUUUUGAUGAAUAUAAUAUGCAUGUGCUUGCUGCUCCUACUCGCAAUUAUUAUGAGAGAGGAACUACAUCUCCACCUCUCUAUGUUCCCAAUACGAUAAAAUUGCAAGAAACUUCUUAUGCUAUGUUUUGGCCUUUACUUGAUGUGCAUGAAUUGUUCUUUUAUGACAUGCCAAUACAAAGGAAGAGAGUUAUACUUCGUCAUUGCAUGAUAUAUGUUACCUUGUGCUCACUACUAAAUUACGAAUCAUUGUUAAUUAAAUUUGGCUUUGAUAUACCUUGGGAUCAGGGUGGAUCCAUUACUUAAGCACUUUAUGCCUAGCUUAAUGGAUUUAAAGAAAGCGCUGCCUGGGAGACAACCCGGAAGUUUUAGAGAGUCAUUUAUUUCUGUUGAGUGCUUUUAUAUAGUUUAAAAACAAAAAAAUAUAUAGAGGGGAACUUAAAACUUUUUCAAAAAGAGAAGGGAUUGAAAGGUGAUGCAUUGCGGAAGUGAGGGUCGACCUUGAACACUUGUGUUCGUGCUCAUGGAAACAAUGUAGAAUUUUUCAUGGAAGUUUCUCGCAAAAAUAAUUAUCCCCUUGUACAAUUCCAUUGUAUUAUAAAAAUAAUGUGCCAAGUAAAGCCUUUAUGAUUAGUUUGGGUGAUAGUUGUUUGAUCAUGCUGAAAAAGACAGAAACUUUGUGCUCACGAAAUUAUUUUUUAUUCCUAUCCAGAAAGAGAUUUUGAGUUGAUUCUUUCCGCUGCUGAUUUAUAUGAAAAGUUACAUAAUUGUCAUAAUGUUUCAGAAUUGUUUGACUAUCAGAAGUAUGGUAUAAGUUCAGAUUACUACAGACUAUUUUGUUUUUGACAGAUUCUAUUUUCUAUGCAUCGUUCUCUUAUUUUGAUGAAUCUAUGGGUAGUAUCGGGGGGUAUGAACCAUGGUGAAGUUGGAUUACACUAGAUAUAAUGCUAAUAUGAAUUUGGAAUGAGUUCACAACAGUACUUAAAGUGGUGAUUUACUUUAUUAUACUAACGGAUCUCACGAAGGUUUUGUUGAGUUUUGUGUGAUUGAAGUUUUCAAGUUUUGGGUGAGACCACGAUGGAUGAAUGCUCUUCUGCUUCACUUAUAUUUGUUAGAGCGGGGCAUAGCUUUUGUAGAAAGCAUUAAAUUCUCAAGCUUCACUUAUACCUAUUUAGAGAGUUAAUAGGAGCUGGUCAUUCACAUGGUUAGUCAUAAAAUCCUACAUAAAACUUNNNNNNNNNNGUGAUAUGUUUGAUUCCUUGCAAUAGUUUUGCGACAUGAAGAUGUCAUAUUAGAGUCAUGGUAGGGAGUAAUUGUGUGUUCAUAGAAAUACUUGUGUUAAGGUUUGUGAUUCCCGUAGCAUGCACAUAUGGUGAACUGUUAUGUGACGAAGUCGGAGCAUGAUUUAUUUAUUGAUUGUCAUCCUUUGUAUGGAAGCCGGGAUCGUGCGAUGGUUAACUCCUACCAACUCUUCCCUUAGGAGCAUGCGUGUAGUACCUUGUUUCGAUGACUAAUAGACUUUUGAAAUAAGUAUGUGAGUUCUUUAUGACUAAUGUUGAGUCCAUGGAUUAUACACACUCUCACCCUUCCACCAUUGCUAGCCUCUCUAGUACCGCGCAACUUUCGCCGGUGCAUUACACCCACCAUAUACCCUUCCUCAAAACAGCCACCAUAUCUACCUAUUAUGGCAUUUCCAUAGCCAUUCCGAGAUAUAUUGCCAUGCAACUUCCAUCGUUCCGUUUAUUAUGACACGCACCAUCAUUAUCAUAUUGCUUUGCAUGAUCGUAAGAUAGCUAGCAUGAUGUUUUCAUGGCUUGUCUGUUUUUUGAUGUCAUUGCUACGCUAGAUCAUUGCACAUCCCGGUACGCCGCCGGAGGCAUUCAUAUAGAGUCAUAUUUUGUUCUAAUUAUCGAGUUGUAAGUAAAUAAAAGUGUGAUCAUCAUCAUUAUUAGAGCAUUAUCCCAUGUGAGGAAGUAAUAAAAGAGGCCAAUGAAGCUCAAAUAAAAAAGGCCAAAGAAGCCCACCGAAAAAAGAUAGAAAAUAAUAAUAAAAUAAAACUAAAAAAUGAGAGAAAAGAGAGAAGGGACAAUGCUACUAUCAUUUACCACACUUGUGCUUCAAAGUAGCACCAUGAUCUUCGUGAUAGAGAGUCUCCUAUGUUGUCACUUUCAUAUACUAGUAGGAAAUUUUCAUUAUAGAACUUGGCUUGUAUCUUCCAAUGAUGGGCUUCCUCAAAUUUCCCUAGGUCUUCGUGAGCAAGCGAGUUGGAUGCACACCCACUAGUUUCUUUUUGAAUUUUCAUACGCUUAUAGCUCUUGUGCAUCUGUUGUAUGGCAAUCCCUACUCACUCACAUUGAUACCUAUUGAUGGGCAUCUCCAUAGCCCGUUGAUAUGCCUAGUUGAUGUGAGACAAUCUCCUCCUUUUUGUCUUCUCCACAACCACCAUAUUCUAUUCCACCUAUAAUGUUAUGUCCAUGGCUCACGCUCAUGUAUUGUAUGAAAGUUGAAAAAGUUUGACAACACUAAAGUAUGAAAAAAUUGCUUGGCUAAAACCGGGGUUGUGCAUGAUUUAAAUACGAUGUGUGGGGAAGAUGGAGCAUAGUCAGACUAUAUGAUUUUGUACCGAUAACUUUCUUUGGCCAUGAUAUUUUGAGAAGACAUGAUUGCUUUGUUAGUAUGCUUGAAAUAUUAUUGUCUUUAUGUCAAAUGAUAGACUAUUGCUUCGAAUAACUCGUGUUUUAGUAUUCAUGCCAUGAUUAGAAUAUAUGAUCAAGAUUAUGCUAGGUAGCAUUCCACAUCAAAAAUUAUCUUUUUUUAUCAUUUACCUACUCGAGGACGAGCAUGAAUUAAUCUUGGGGAUGCUGAUACGUCUCUAUCGUAUAUAUAAUUUUUUAUUGUUUCAUGCCAUUAUUCUACGACUUUCAUAUACUUUUGGCAACUUUUUAUACUAUUUUUGGAAUAUUUUUUGUUGUUGUUUGUUGCAUGUUUUUUGCAUGUUCCUGGAGAUCCAGUGCCCAGUGCCAAUUCCUGUUUGUCGCAUGUUUUUUGUUUCGCAGAUUAUCCAUACCAAACAAAGUCCGAAAGCAAUAAAAAACCUACGGGAAUAUUUUUGGAAUAUUUUUGAUUUUUGGGAAGAAGAAUCGACGCGAAACGAUGCCCGAGGAGGUCACAAGCCCAGGAGGCGCAACCACACCUAGGGCGCGGUUGGCAGGAUUGUGACCAAUCCCUAAGGCGGUUGGGGCCCUUAUUUCGCCGCAAGAAAUAUAAUAUCCGGAAGAAAAUCGUGUUAAAAUUUCAGCCCAAUCAGAGUUAUGGAUCUCCAGGAAUUUAAGAAACGGUGAAAGGCAGAAUCUGGGAGCGCAGAAACAGAAGGACAAACAGAGAGAGAGAGAGAUCCAAUCUCGGAGGGGCUCUCGCCCCUCCGCCGCCAUGGAGAUCAUGGACCAGGGGGGAAACCCUUCUCCCAUCUAGGGAGGAGGUCAAGGAAGAAGAAGAAGAAGGGGGGCUCUCUCCCCCUCUGUCCCGGCGGUGCCGAAACGCCGCCCGGGACAUCAUCGUGUGAUAGCGCUCUACACCAACACCUCCGUCAUCUUCACCAACACCUCCAUCACCUUCCCCCAUUUAUAUUCAGCGGUCCACUCUCCCGCAACCCGCUGUACCCUCUACUUGAACAUGGUGCUUUAUGCUUCAUAUUAUUAUCCAAUGAUGUGUUGCCAUCCUAUGAUGUCUGAGUAGAUUUUCGUUGUCCUAUCGGUGAUUGAUGAAUUGCUAUGAUUGGUUUAAUUUUCUUGUGGUUAUGUUGUUGUCCUUUGGUGCCCAUCAUAUGAGCGCGCGCGUGGAUCACACCAUAGGGUUAUUAGUAUGUUGAUAGGACUAUGUAUUAGAGGGCAAGGGUGACAGAAGCUUUAGCCUAGCAGAGAAAUUGAUGCAUACAGGAUUGAAGGGGGACCAAUAUAUCUUAUUGCUAUGGUUGGGUUUUACCUUNNNNNNNNNNGCUUGUGCUUAUGUUGCUGUCCUUUGGUGCCCAUCAUAUGAGCGCGCGUGUGGAUCACACCAUAGGGUUAAUAGUAUGUUGAUAGGACUAUGUAUUGGAGGGCAAGGGUGACAGAAGCUUCAGCCUAGCAUAGAAAUUGAUUCAUACGGAAUUGAAGGGGGACCAAUAUAUCUUAUUGCUAUGGUUGGGUUUUACCUUAAUGAAUGUUAGUAGUUGCGGAUGCUUGCUAACAGUUCCAAUCAUAAGUGGAUAGAAUUCCAAGUAAGGGAUGACAUGCUAGCAGUGGCCUCUCCCACAUAAAACUUGUUAUCGGUCUCCUAACAUAGGCAAUUGCUUAGGGACAAUUAUACAACUCCUACCACCACUUUUCCACACUCUUUAGACUAACGUAAUUGUUUCUUCAUCGAAACAGCCCCUAGUUUUAUUUACGUGUUCUUUCUUUUCUUGCGAACCCAUCCUAUCCCUCCUACGAAGUACUUCUAGUUUCAUACUUGUUCUAGGUAAAGCGAACGUAAAGUGUGCGUAGAGUUGUAUCGGUGGUCGAUAGAACUUCAGGGAAUAUUUGUCCUACCUAUAGCUCCUCGUUGGGUUCGACACUCUUACUUAUCGAGAAAGGCGGCAAUUGAUCCCCUAUACUUGUGGGUUAUCAUGGUCAUGAAUCUAAUAUGAAUGGUUUAUUGAAUCUCGAUUGUAGUAAUACACAUGUUUCUAAUAUUGAUGCCAAAAGAUACAACGUAGUAAUGAUAGUACCACUUACUUGUAGCACUACCUCUUAAAGUCAUAUAGGUAUAAAAAGCAUGAAGAAGCUCUAUGCUGAUGGGUCUUUGGACUCACUCGAUUUUGAAUUGUUUGAGACAUGCUAACCAUGGCUAUUGGUGUAAACGCAUGAAGAAACUCCAUGCAGAUGGAUCUUUUGGACUCACUUGAUUUUGAAUCACUUGAUACAUGCAAACCAUGCAACAUGGGCAAGAUGACUGAAGGCCUCGUUUUCCAAUGAGAUGGAAUGAGAAAGUGAAUUAUUGGAAAUAAUACAUUUUGAUGUAUGCAGUCCAAUGAGUGCUGAAGCACGCAGUGCAUAUCGUUAUGUUCUUACUUCGCUGAUGAUUUGAGUAGAUACAUGUGUAUUUGCUUGAUGAAUCACAAGUCCGAAAUAUUGAAACGUUCAAGCAAUUUCAGAGUUAAGUUGAAGAUAGUCGUGACAAGAGGAUAAUAUGUUUACGAUGUGAUCGUGGAGGUGAAUAUCAGAGUUGCGAGUUUGGUAUACAUUUAAGACAAUGUGGAAAUUGUUUCACAACUCAUGCCACCAGGAACACCAUAUUGUGAUGGUGUGUCCGAACAUCCUAGUCGUGCCCUAUUGGCUACGGUGCGUACUAUGAUGUCUCUUAUUGAAUAACCACUAUUGUUUUGGAGUUAUGCAUUAGAGAUAACCACAUUCACUUUAUAUAUGUCACCAUUUAAUUCCGUUGAGAUGAAACCGUAUGAACUAUGGUUUAGAGAAACCUAAGAUGUCGUUUAUUAAAGUUUGGGGCUACGAUGCUUAUGUCAAAAGGCUUUACCGUGAUAAGCUCGAACCCAAGGCGAAUAAAUACAUUUCCAUAGGAUAUUGAAAACAGUUGGGUAUACCUCCUAUCUCAGAUCCGAAAGCAAAGUAUUUGUUGCUGAAAAACGGUUCCUUUCUCGAGAAAGGGUUUCUCUCGAAAUAAUUGAGUGGGAGGAUGGUGGAACUUGAUGAGGUUGUUGAACCAUCACUUUAAAUAGAGUGUAGCACGACGCAUGAAGUUGUUCCUGCGAUGCCUACACCAAAUUUAAGAGGAAGCCAAUGAUGAUGAUCAUGAAGCUACAGAUCAAGUUACUACCAAACCUCGUAGGUCGACAAGGACAUGUACUGCUCCAAAGUGGUACGGUUAUCCUGUCUAGGAGGUCAUGUUGUUGGACAACAAUGAACCUACGAGCUAUGGAGAAGCAAUGGUGGGCCUGGAUUCCGACAAAUGGCUGGAGGCCAUGAAAUCCGAGAUAGGAUCCAUGUAUGAAAACAAACUAUGGACUUUGGAAGAACUACUUGAUGGUCAUAAGGCUAUUAAGUACAGAUGGGUCUUUAAAAGGAAGACAGACGAUGAUGGUAAAUGUCACCAUUUUGAAAGCUCGGCUUGUCGCAAAGAGGUUUCCGACAAGUUCAAGGGUUUGACUACGAUGAGACUUUCUCACUCAUAGCGAUGCUAAAUUUUGUUGGAAUUAUGUUAGCAGUUGCUACAUUCUUCGAUUACGAAAUCUGGCAGAUCGAUGUCAAAACAUUGUUGGCUUGAUGGUUUCCUUGAGGAAAGGUUGUAUGUGAUACAACCAGAAGGUUUUGUCAUUCCUAAGGAUGCUAACAAGUAUGCAAGAUCCAACAAUCCUUUUAUGUACUAUAGCAAGCAUAUCGGAGUUGGAAUAUACGCUUGAUGUGAUGAUCAAAGCUUUUGGACUUAUAGAAAUUUUAUGAGAAACUUGUAUUUCCAAGAAAGUGAGUGGGAUCACUACAAAAUUUCUAAUAAGUAUAUGUCGUUGACAUAUUGUUGAUCGGAAAUGAUGUAGGAUUUAUGCAAAGCAUAUAGGGUUGUUUGAAAGGAGUUUUUCAAAGGAAAAUCUGGAUUAAGCUACUUGAACACUAAGCAUCAAGAUCUAAAGAGAUAGAUCAAGAAGCUUGAUAAAACUUUCAAUGAAUACAUACCUUGAGAAAUUUUGAAGGAGUUAAAUAUGGAUCAGUCAAGGAAAGAAUUCUUGACUGUUUUGUAAGGUGUAAAUUUCAUUAAGACCCAAAGCUCAACCACGGUAGAAUAAAGAGAAAGGACGAAGGUCGUCGCCUCUGCCUUAGCCGUAGGCUUUGUAGUAUGCCAUGCUGUGUACCGCACCUCAUGUGCGACUUGCCAUGAGUCUGUCGAGGGGUACAAGAGUGAUCCAGGAAUGGAUCACUGGACAAUGGUCAAAAUUAUCCUUAGUAACUUGAGGAUUGAGGCAAUGUUUCUCGAUUAUGGAGGUGAUAAAAGAGCUCGUCUUAAAAUGUUACGUAGAUCCAAGCUUCCACACAAAUCCGGAUGACUCUGAGUAGCAGACCAGAUUCGUAUAAUAAAGCAGUCCUUUGGAAUAGUUCCAAAUGGAGCAUGGUAGCAGCAUCUAUAUUAUGACACAGAGAUUUGUAAAGCACACGCGGAUCUCAAAUGUUGAGACCCGUUGACUAAAACCUAUCUCACAAGCAAAACAUGAUAAACCCGAGAACUCAUUGGGUGUGAAUCACAUUAUGAUAUGAACUAGAUUAAUGACUCUAGUGCAAGUGGGUGACUGUUGGAAAUAUGCACUAGUGGCAAUAAUAAAUUAUUUAUUAUUAUAUUUCCUUGUUCAUGAUAAUCGUUUAUUUUCCAUGCUAUAAUUGUAUUGAUUGGAAACUCAAAUACAUGUGUAGAUACAUAGACAACACACCGUCCCUAGUGAGCCUCUAAGGACUAGCUCGUUGAUCAAAGAUGGUCAAGGUUUCCUGACCAUAGACAUGAGUUUUCAUUUCAUAACGGGAUAACAUCAUUAGGAGAAUGAUGUGAUGGACAAGACCCAAACUAUGAACGUAGUAUAUGAUCGUGUCAGUUUAUUGCUACUGUUUUCUGCAUGUCAAAUAUCUGUUCCCAUGACCAUGAGAUCAUGCAACUCCCGGACACCGGAGGAAUGCCUUAUGUGUAUCAAAUGUCACAAUGUAACUAGGUGACUAUAAAUGUGCCCUACAGGUAUCUCCAGAGGUGUCUGUUGGGUUGGCGUGAAUCGAGGCUGGGAUUUGUCACUCCGUAAGAUGGAGAGGUAUCUCUGGGCCCACUUGGUAAUACAACAUCACAAUGAGCUUGCAAGCAAUGUGACUAAGGAGUUGGUCACAUGAUCUUGUAUUACAGAAUGAGUAAAGAUACUUGCGAGUAACAAGAUUGAACUAGGUAUGGAGAUAAUGACGAUGGAAUCUCGGGCAAGUAAUAUACCGAUGGACAAAGGGAACAAUAUACAGGAUUCCUUGACAUCGUGGUUCGUCCGAUAAAGAUCUUUGUAGAAUAUGUAGGAGACAAUAUAGGAAUAUAGCUCCUUCUAUGGGUUUUUGACACGUGAGUGUCUCAGUCAUGUCUACAUAGUUCUCGAACCCGCGCGGUGUGCACACUUAAGGUUCGGUGAUGAUAUAGAGAUAGUUGAGCUAUAGUGUUGGUGAUCGAAGGCUGUUCGGAGUCCCUGAUGAGAUCGCGGACAUCAUGAGAAGCUCCAGAAUGGUCCAGAGGUAAAGAUUUAUAUAUAGGAAAGUGGUAUUCAGGUUCUAGAAUAGUUUCAGGGUUUUCUGAUAUUGUACAUGGAGUAUCGAAGGGAUUCCGAGGGUCCCCCGGGAGGGGCCCACCCAUCCCUGGGUCACAUGGGCCUGAGAGGUGGUGCACCAGACCCUGGUGGGCUUGGGAAACCAACCCCAAGAGGCCUAUGCACCCAAGGGUUGGUGGGAGGAAGUGCCUUGGUGGAGGAGGAGUCCUCCCUAGGGUGUCCACCUCCCUUGUGGGAGGAGGACUCCUCCCUACAUUGGCUGGACCCUCUCUCGUUGGAGGAGGGGCCAAGGCUAGCCCUACCUACCCCUUCAUCCUAUAAAUAGAGAUGGAGAGGGAGGUAACCAAUACACUAUUGCUUGGCAGCGCCCUACCUCUCUCCCUCAUAGUAAUUCUCCACCAUAGCGAUCGCAGCAGUGCUUGGCAAAGUCAUGCUGAAAUUGCACCACCACCACCGUCACCACACCAUCGUGAUGCCGGAGUACUCAACAUCUACUUCACCAUUGCUCACAAGAUCGAGGAGGUGAAGGCAUCAUCGAGCUGUGCUAUGUUGAAUACGGAGUUAUCGUACGUUCGGCACUACAUCGUGAUGGAUCGUGUUGGGAUUGCGGGACACAUCAUGAUGAGAUCGCGGGACGGCUCGUGAUUGGAUCGCAAAGAUGUUUGACUACAUCAACCCCAUUAUAUACGGUUCUGCUUAGCGAUCUACAAGGGUAUGUAGAUGCACCCCCCUCGUAGAUGUUGAUCUCUAUAGAUUGAUCUUUGUGAGCGUAGGAAAUGUUUUGAUUCCCAUGCGACGUUCCCCAACAACAUGUUCAUCGCAUGCUUUUUCUUUUCAGCAGGGACAUAUGGACUUGUAGAUGAUGCAAAGCAAUAGUCUUUAGUUUGACAUGAUAAUUUCCAUACUCAACCAUAUCAACAAGCAACCAAGUCUUUCAAAAUAUCAAUGCUAAAGACCGCUGUCCCUAUCCAAUCAUGCUCUAUUUUUUGAAUAAAACCAAUCAUGCUCUAUCAUUGAUCCAUUUAUGCAACACACUCAAAUAUUAACAACAUCCAAUGCUCAAAUAUGAUAAUGGCGCUCCUUAGAUGAUGCUUUAUAAGAGAAGAUGGAGACUCAAAUUCAAAAAUAUAAAUUGCAUAAUGUAAAUAGAUAGGCCCUUCACACACGGAAGCACGUAUUUGUAGAGGUGCUAGAUCUCAAAGUGAAAAACUUAGAGAUACUUUUUUUGGGUGGUAUGCUUUUCCUUUCAACCGAAACUACUAAGAUUUGCCAAUAUCCUCCAUGCUAAACAAUUUGUAGGCGAUUCCCAAACUGAAAAUAAAGUUUAUUCCUUUUCCACCAUUCUUUCAUAUUCCACGGCUAGCCGUAUCCACGGGUACCGUCCAUACAAAUACUUUCCAAGGAAUUUAUUGUUUGACAACAUAGUAUAUAUAUUUUUGCGUUUUGGUACUGGGCAUCGCUAUUUCCGCCAUACUCUCGUGCAAUGACAAGUGAAUAAACACUUACCUUGAGAAUAACCUAUUUAACAUGGAACAUACCGGUCACCCCUCACCGCUUCAUGAGCGGUACGAGCACACGAAACAUAAAUUUAUUUUGAACGUUUGAGUUGGCACUUGCAAAUUUACUUGGAACAACGUUGAAAUACGACGUAUAGGUACGUAUGGUGGACUCAUUUGGCCCAACUUUGGGUUUAGGAUUUGUAUGCACAAGCAGUAUUCCCUCAUAGCACAAGUGAAGGCUAUCAAAUAAAUUGAGAAGCGCCCAACCAAUGAACAAAAAUCAUCAUAAGUCAACAUUAAGCAUAACUAACACCGAGUAAUGCAACACAAGUAGGAUGUAAUUUCAUAGCAUAAUUAUUGACUUCAUGUGCAUGCGUAGGGAAUCAUAAACCUUAAAACCAGUAUUCCUACUAGAGCAUAAUUGCUCAUCAACAUAACUCACAUAUCACUAUCUUCAUAUCGCCAAACUAUUGCAAAUAAUCAAGUUUAAUAUCCAAUGAUCUUCAUGAAAGUUUGUAUUACAUAUUUCUUGGAAAUUCAUCACUUUGGAACUAAUUUCCAUUUAGAUCAAAUUGCCAUUGCAAAUAAUAAGCUCUCACACAAAUAUAAGUGAAGAACGAGAGCACACAUUUCUUUAAAAUUCUCAACUCUCAAAAUAAUAUAAGUGAAGCUAGAGAUGAUUUUUUCAAAAUUUAUGCUACUCUAAAAAUAAUCUAAGUGAAGCAUGAGAGGAAAUUUCUUCAAAAUAACAUCACCACUGUGCUAAAAAAGAUAUAGGUGAAGUACUUGAGCAAUUCCAUGGCUCAAAAAGUUUAAGUGAAGCAUAAAGAGCGAUUAUAAAAAUCAUAGCAUAAUUUGGCUCUCUCAAAUGGGUGUGCCCAACAAGGUUUAUUAUGACAAACUAACCAGCAGAGAAAGCAAAUACACAAAUAAUACAAGACGCUCCAAGCAAAACUCAUGAUAUGUGACGAAUAAUAAUAUGGCUCCAAGUAAAAUUACCGAUGGUUGUUAGAAGAAAGAGGAAUACCUUCCGAGGCAUCCCCAAACUUAAUUGCUUGGUACUCCUUAGAUAUUACCUCUGGGUGCCAUGGGGCAGCCCCAAGCUUAUGCUUUUGUCACUCCUUAUUCCUUCAUCCAUCGUGAUCUGACUCAAAACCUGAAAACUUCAAUCACGCAAAACUCAAUAAAAAAUUUGUGAGAUCCGUUAGUAUAAGAAAACCAAACUUUACUUUAGGUACUGUUGAAAACCUAUUCCAAUUUUGUUUUUGCAUUAUAAAUACUGUAUUCUAAUUUUACCAUGGCUUAUCCCCCCGAUACAAAUCAUAGAAUCAUCAGAACAAGCACAUAAUACAAAGAAAACAUAAUUUGUUAAAAAUAGAACAGUGUGUAAAGAUUUGAAUUUUACUCAUACUUAUGUAAAUCCAAAAAACAUGAAACACUAGGAAAACAUAUGGAAUUUAUAUAUAAAUCUUGUGUAAAAAAUUCAUACACUUUUGAUGUUUCUAUGAUUUUUAGAGUUUUUCUACUAGACGCAAAAGUUUCUGUUUUCAAUAGGACUAAAGCAACUAACACCCCACAUGAUCCCAAAGGCUUUAAUUGGCACAAAUACUAAAUAAAACAUAGAAAACACAAUUAUAACAAUAGCAUAUUUUUCAAACCACUACUGGAAUUCAGUUAUUUGUCGUCAGCCUCUUCUUUGCCGUCUGGUGGCUGAUGGCAAAGACCCUAUUUGCCGUCAGUCACCAGAAAACUGAAGGCAAAGAACAGACUGAUAGCAAAGAUAAUCUUUGCCAUCAGUCUUGUCUUUGGCGUCUGCUGGCGCACGGCAAAGAGCAGGAGGGCAGACGGCAAAGAGCCCACCACACACGCCCUCCCAUCCCAUAACGGACGCUCCCUUUGUCGUCUGCCUUCCUUCUUUUAGCCGUCGGGGGGUGGACGACGAAGUGAGCCCCUAUAACGGCCGUCUCCCCACCCCCGUCCCCUAUCUCCUGCUCUUUGCCGUCGGGGGUCGGANNNNNNNNNNNNNNNNNNNNNNNNNNNNNNNNNNNNNNNNNNNNNNNNNNNNNNNNNNNNNNNNNNNNNNNNNNNNNNNNNNNNNNNNNNNNNNNNNNNNCUUGAGGAGUUCAGUUAGAGGCUUUGCAACCUUGGAGAAAUUCUCGACAAAACGGCGACAAUAGCUCGCUAGACCAAGAAAACUCCUAGCUUGCUUAACCGAUUCAGGUUGAGUCCAAUCAAGGACGGCUUGAACUCGCUCGGGAUUUACAGCAAUACCCUUACCAGAGAUUACAUGACCUAGAUAGGUCACUUCUGGUAACCAAAAUUCACAUUUUGAAAAAUUGGCAUAAAGGCGAUGCUCUCGAAGUUUCAUCAAUACCAGCCUUAGAUGAUCGACAUGUUCUUGUUCGUUCUUUGAGUAGAUGAGAAUAUCAUCGAGGUAUACCACGACAAAUUUAUCCAAAUACUCCAUGAAGAUUGAAUUCAUCAGACGAGAGAAAGUGGCUGGGGCAUUGGUUAAACCGAAGGACAUGACGGUGCACUCGUAUUGGCCAUAACGAGUAACAAAAGCCGUUUUUGGAAUGUCCCCGUUCUUGAUCUUGAUUUGAUGGUAUUGUCACAUCCCUAACCCUUAAGCAAGUUAGUCUUGUCCUCAUGUCUUCUUUGCAUUUGCAUCUAAGAAGUUUCAACAAAAACAACAAAGUGGCAAAGGAAAACCUCAAAACCCUAGCCACUAUUUCAAUUAAAGAAAAUCUCAAACUAGUUCAAAUCAAUGAACCCAAAAUGGCCUCAAGAAAUGUUCAAACUUUCUGAUAAAUCAUGAAAGUAAAUGAGCAUUGGAGGAAACUAUUUUCUUGACACUUUAAGCAUUUUAAAUAAAUGCAAAAGGCUACUGGUUUCAAGUUUUAAAUUUGAAAUCCGAAUCUAUAAAUUUCCAAAAAUGUUGAAAACUUUGGAAAUGGUUGGGAAUGUUAUAACAAUAUUUCAGGAGUUCUAAAAUAGUUUUUACUUUUUGUUUUGGAGCUGAAAUAAUUCGCAAAACAAUAGUUAGCAAAACAAAAAAAACAAAAACAGAAAAAAAAUGGGAAACCCUUACCUGUCGCCUAGCCUGGCCCGGCCCAUCUCCCUCGCUCGUCCCCUCCCUCGCGCCAGUAUGCAGCAGGAGGUGGCCGCCGCCUCCUCCGGUGCGGCCACGCACCUGUGCGCCUACCUGGCCGCCGCCUCGCGCUGGCAAGGCCGGGGAUAAGCCCCCUGAGGCCUCCCCUAUCCAUUNNNNNNNNNNNNNNNNNNNNNNNNNNNNNNNNNNNNNNNNNNNNNNNNNNNNNNNNNNNNNNNNNNNNNNNNNNNNNNNNNNNNNNNNNNNNNNNNNNNNGCAAAGCUAACCCACCAGCUCAGGACUUAAUCACUCGCUGACAAGUGGGCCCAAGGCCAAGUCAAACCUCAAUUAGGGCUGGUCAACGCGGGAUUAGUCCCAGAGAGGCUGACCAAUGGGGCCCCCCUGUCAGGUUUGACCUGAACAGGUCGGCUGACCUGCUGACGUCAGUCUGAUGCAAUAAUUAGAAUUUCCAGUAUAAAACUAAUUCCAGGAAAUUGCUAAAACUUGUAAAAAUCAUAGAAAUUAAUCUGUAACUCCAAUGAAAAUAAUUUAUAUAUGAAAAAGUAUCAGAAAAAUUCAAGGAUUCUUAUUAUGCUAUUUUCAACUAUGUUUGAAAAAGUUACAGAACCCUAAAUUGUGGAAUAAGGAAUAAUUCAAUUCCUAUAAUUACUUUUAAAUGGAAUUUGGAAAAUUAUUCAAAUUUCAUUAUAUAUACAAUGUUCNNNNNNNNNNAAAAAAUCAAGGAUUCUGAUUAUGCUAUUUUCAACUAUGUUUGAAAAAGUUACAGAACUCUAAAUUGUGGAAUAAGGAAUAAUUCAAUUCCUAUAAUUACUUUCAAAUGGAAUUUGGAAAAUUAUUCAAAUUUCAUUAUAUAUACAAUGUUCACCACUGUCCUAAUUACAAAUCAGUACCAUAACAUGACAUUUCAUGCAUGUUAACAUCAAGUUGAUCUGAGCAUCAGGUCGAAUCAAUUAAACCGGUAUCCGAGAAUACCCCAUUUGAAUUGCUAUUCGAAUGUGAUUCAAAUCAACUCUAAACCUAAUACAUGUUGAAAAUAAUAACUUAUCACCUUGCAUUAUCAUGCCAUGCUCAUGCAUCAUUUUGAUUGCAUAUGAUUUUUAUUGAAUGUUACCAUUCUUUUCGGUAGGCUCCGCACCCCCGGAUUCCACCGAAUAUCCGUGUGACGGAUAUCGUUCCUCCUCUGAGCAACAAGGCAAGCAAACCCCUUUGAUCAUUCCGAUAACUCCAAUGUUCUUGCUCCUGCACCUAAUUAAUGCAUUUAAGAUCAAAUGCUUCAACUUCUUUUGCCACGAUAGUGAACCCACUUCCUUUGCAUGACUUAACCUUGUCACAGUAAAUAGCCAAACCUUGCAACCUAGCACACCUGGUAGUUGCUUGAGCUGUGAUGUGCCUUAUCCUGCUAUGCAUGCNNNNNNNNNNGCUUGCAUUCUCAUGCCAUGCUCAUGCAUCAUUUUGAUUGCAUAUGAUUGUUAUUGAAUGUUACCAUUCUUUUCGGUAGGCUCCGCACCCCAGGAUUCCACCGAAUAUCCGUCUCACGGAUAUCGUUCCUCCUCUGAGCAACAAGGCAAGCAAACCCGUUUGAUCAUUCCGAUAACUCCCAUGUUCUUGCUCCUGCACCUAAUUACUGCAUUUAAGAUCAAAUGCUUCAACUGCUUUUGCCACGAUAAUGAACCCACUUCCUUUGCAUGACUUAACCUUGUCAUAGUAAAUAGCCAAACCUUGCAACCUAGCAUACCUGGUAGUUGCUUGAGCUGUGAUGUGCCUUAUCCUGCUAUGCAUGCUAUCCUUAGAGUUGUGUAUGGUCUUUCAUCUGGGAGACGAACAGAAUUGUGGAACGUGUUUGGUGAGCAAAGGUGGUGUGUUGAAAUUGAGUUGGUAAAGGUACCGGUGAAAGGCCGUGUAGGAGUACAUGGCGGGUUGUUUCAUUGGAACCGUCCUUAGGAACUAAGUUCCGUGUAUGUAAUCCAAGACUAGAUACUACCACAUGCUGGGCCCUGAAAUAUGACCCCGCUCGGCCUAUUAAUCGCGUAGUACUCGGUCCAGGAGUUGCAAGUAGUUUCUGGUGUUUACAGUAAUGCUGGAGGCCGUGCAUGGUGCUGACCUGAGAGGUGGGCCGUGAUGCGGUAGGCAGUGGCACAGUGUACCAAGUGACACCCGGAUGGUGGGCUUGGGAACCCUGCGCACAUCGUUUGAGGCCAUGGCGGAAACCUCGGCCGGACUUCCGUACGGGUUACUCUCAGAUAGGCGAUAAACCUGGACUAGGUACUAGUGUGGUUAACGGUCGUGGCCGACUCCCUCGCUGGGCUUCCGCUUGAAGGUUGCCGAGGUGCAUGACUUGCACAUGGUGAUAAGUGGCGAGAGCGUGUGUGACGAAGUACACCCCUGCAGGGUUAUGAUCUAUUCGAAUAGCCGCGUCCGCGGAUAUGGACUGCUUGGAGACAUAUGUUGUUCAUAGAUAACUUCAAUGUCUACUCAUAAAAUUGCCAAGAUAAGCGUGAGUGUCGUGGACGGCAUUUCCGUACGGAGACGGAAUGAUUCCACGAUAGUGUAUUGUUGUGGUGUUAGUGGACUCGUGUGCGGGAAAUCAAGUUCUCAAAAUUAUUUAAAAAUGCAAGUUUUCUAGCCACGAGUCAAAUGCUGGCUUUCCGCAUGAAACCCCACAAUACCUUUUGAUACCUUGCAUGAGUAGUUAGUUCUCCUAAAGUCUUGCUGAGUACCUUCGUACUCAUGUUUGCUUAAUAAAUGUUGCAGAGGUUGCUAAUGACCCUUUUGGAGGGUUCUUCGUAGACAUCGAUGACGACGAGUAGCUGGUGUCCCAGCUACGAUCUGGCCCUACGUCGGCUCUGUAGUAUAGUCAGGCCAUGUGCCUUCUAGUUGCCCUGUCUGUACUCAGACAGUUUAAACUCUUCCGCUGGCUUGUAACUGAAUGACUGCUAUUAUGGGUCCUGAGACCCUUGAUGUGUAAUAUUAUGUGUGUGGCUCUUCCGAGCCUCUUAAAUAAAGGUUGUAUGUUUAUGGUUAUGUUGUGAUGCCAUCGAUGUAUCUCUACAUAUCGGUAUGCCAUGCGCACGUGUGUCAUACUUGAUAUGUAUGGGGUUCGAUUACUUAGUCGUGAACUUUAGUAGCACUCCUUACAAGGAAAUGCCCCUUUGUGAUCCAACGAGCCUUGGUAGUUCGCUACUGCUCCGUACACAAUGGUUGACCGGCAUGUGUCCUUCUUAGCUGCUGUGUCUGUCCCCUUUGGGGAAAUGUCACGCGAUGUAAUGGAGUCCUUGUAGCUUGCUAUGACUCGUCUACAUUCGCUGAUGACCGACACCUGCUUUGUUGGGUCAUGUAUGCGUGUCCUUGUGCGGUACUGCCACUUUGGUUUAUGACUAGACAUGUCGAUCCGGGUUCUNNNNNNNNNNNNNNNNNNNNNNNNNNCUAAUGACCGACACCUGCUUUGUUGGGUCAUGUAUGCCUGUCCUUGUGCGGUACUGCCACUUUAGUUUAUGACUAGACAUGUCGAUUCGGGUUCUUUGACAUUGGAUUGCUAGCGACACCUUCGCAUACGUGAGUCAAAAGACGCAACCGGUCCCGGCUAAGGUAAGGCUGCAGCCGUGGAGUUAACCGUGCGUGAGACCACAAAGGGAUGCGAUGUGUUACAGGCUGGAUUCCUAUGGCUUAGGAUCGGGGUCCCGACAGGUAUCCCAACCUCAAAUACAUUUUGGAGAAGAUUGAGGAUCCAGCGAGCUGAUCGUACAGGUCGUUGAUCCUGGGGAGCGGNNNNNNNNNNGCGUUGGUAUCAGAGCCUGACUGACUGUAGGAUUACUAAGCCAAACUGGUCGAACUUGAGUCUAGAAUUGCUUUAGUUAUAUAUAAGGGAAUUGUUUGUGGAAGGGAACGUAAGACUCUUGUUUUCUUCUCAAGUCAUUCUAUUCUGGUCAUCCUCGUCUUUUCUGCGGGAAUUAAGGACUAGGUUACUCAUCUUCUCCUAGGCUCGUGUUUCUGAUCGGUAGAUUAUAGGACUACGGGUCGAGAGAUAUUUGGUUUCUUUUAUUCCUAGGAAGCAGGAAGUAAGUUUGAUGAUCAGAGAGUUGAACUUGAUAGUUGAGUGGUUACGCUAUUCCAUUUUUGGGUUGUCUCAAAAUUUGGUUUUGAGCAUUUACAACCGUUAUGCUGCCCAAUUCUGCAUUCGGAGCUCUAAUGCUUUUGCAUUACUCUCUAUUUACAGAUGCCUGGCCGUCCUUCUCGUCAGGUGGUACGUCUGACCAGGUGCAUUGAUGUACCGGGUCAUACGGCCAUGCUGGUCAGGGUGAUGUCGGUGUGCGGUUACCGCUGGUACCCCGAGUACACAGUGGAGGAACAGUACCGCGACUUCAACCAGAGCCAGUACAUCUGCACUGUUAGGGUAUUUCCAGACUACCCUGGAGCUGAGAAGCCAAUCCAUUGGUCCUAUGGGUUGGGGGUCACCGUUGACAUGGCAGUACAUGAUGCUGCAUAUUCAAUGCUGACCAUUAUGAGAGCGAGACAUGCACUGCUGCAGAAUUCAGAGUUCUGCUAUGUUCCGGCCUCCCAGCCUGGUGAAGAGGGAUACCUUAGCGGAGUCUAUUUUGAUUCUUCUAUGGAGGAUCCACUUCUGCAGUCCACUGUUGAGAUGCUAGAGAACAGAGACAGGGAUGCUCGUGCUCUCCACAUGGAGCUUUAUGCUACCCGUGCCUGUCUGUUGACAGCUUUGACGCAGCUGGCACCGGUAGUCCAGACAGGGUAUGGAGAGAUGGAGAUGCUGAACCCUGUUAGGACCCAUCUUCCGGCCCACGUUGACUGGCCAGCUAUAGGAGGAGUCACACCUCUUCGGGGACCCCUCUUACCACCAGUCAGGGGACCAAGGCCACAUCCGUGUCCUUAUGGAUCCCAGGGAUCUCAGGCUAGAGUGUUCCCUGAUCCGCAGGUUGAGCUUCCAGGUCACGAAGGUAAUCUCUAUGAGAUGUUCUAUGCGAAUGCCUGAGCUGUGAGCGGAAGGAUAGUAUGGUAGUAGCCGUACGUUCACAGUCCCGCGUGACUUGUGAAGUAUGGUUGUAACGUGAAAUGAAUUCCGGAGGCCUAGAUAAAUAAUAUAUAGGCAGCUUGUAAGCCUCUGAUGAGUAGUUUAACAAUUUCAGUAGUUUGCUCUUCGGCUAAGGGUGUACUGAACUAUGUAAGGGUGUGUAUGAACCAUGGUGUAUAUAUAGCNNNNNNNNNNUUCGAUAAUCUACAACCAUCCGAUCCGUUCCGUCUUUCUUCUUGACGAAGAGGAUGGGGCAAGCCCAAGGAGAAGAGCUAGGACGAAUGAAACCUUUAUUCAAAGCCUCAUCUAGUUGCUUCUAAAGUUCGGCUAGCUCCACGGGUGCCAUCUUAUAUGGUCUUCUGGCUAUUCGGACAGUUCCCGGAACAAGAUCUAUCACAAACUCUACAUCUCUGUCAGGUGGAAUUCCUGACAGUUCCUCUGGAAAAACAUCCGGGAAGUCACGGACAAUCGGGAUGUCUUCAAGUUCCAGAAGAGGGUUGGCAUUUAGGGAAUAGAGUUGGCAUUUGGCAACUCGAGUAGAGACAUUGACUAUCUCACCCGAGGGAUGGGUAAGCUGAACAUUUCUAGAAUGAGUAUCAAUCUUGGCAUAGUGAGCUGACAUCCAGUCCAUACCCAAUAUGAUAUUGAUAUCCGAAGAUUUCAAGGCUAUUAAUGAGGCUAGAAAAACUAGCCUGUCUACUAGAAUUUCAUUGUCAUAGGUUAUCCUAGAGGUUUGCCAUUUACUACCAGGAGUUUGGACAACCAAUGGAAUUGGCAUAUCACAAAAAGACAUGUUAUUCAACUGUGCAUAACUUUCUGAAAUGAAGGAAUGAGAAGACCCAGUGUCAAACAGAACAGACGCUGGGUGAUGAUAAACAAGAAGCGUACCCAGUAUGACGUCGGGAUCCUCUGCAGCUUCUUCGGCUAAGACAUAGUUCACACGGCCACGUGCAGGAGUUGGCUUGACAUAGUAAGUUUUGCCCGACUUGCCUUGCCCGACGGACUUUCCGGGUUGCUUGGCACCCACAUUUGGAGGACACUCACGGGAAUAGUGCCCUGGUUCUCCAUGCUUGUAGCAUAUCACUUGGCUGGCACGUGGUGCACCAUUGCUAGCUGAACCACCAUAAGUUUUUGUUGGGGGGUUGGUUUGAUUCGUCUGAUGCACCACGUAGGAUGGCCUCAGAGUGUAUCUUGGCGGCAGAGAACUGUUCGGAACCCACAGCCUGCAUUUUGGAAACGCGGAACCAGAUUACGAGCCAAAGUCACGGGAGUGCUUCCUUGUGGCUUCAAAGUCGGUAUGACCAGUCUCGGCACUGAUCGCCUUGUUGACUAGGGCUUGAAAGCUUGCACACUCGUGGAGGCGCAGAUCACGACGAAGCUGAGGACUCAGACCCUUAUGGAAUCUUGCUUGCUUCUUGGCGUCAGUAGACACCUCCUCUGUUGCAUAGCGGGCGAGGUUACCGAACUCGUGGCUAUAGGCAUCCACGGUCAUCUUGCCUUGGGUGAAAGCACAUAACUCCUCUCUCUUUCUGUCCAUUAGGCCCUCUGGAAUAUGGUGCAGACACAAGGCUGCACUAAAGUCUGCCCAUCUGGCUGCUGGCUCAGCAGGACACUGAAGCAUUCCUAGGCUGGCGAGCCGUAUUCUGCUCAAUACGCUCUAACAGUCGGUUGGUCUCUCUUUUGUUCCUCUCUGCCUCAAGCAUAACUUCCGCCAGAGAGGGCGGGUGAGGCAGGUCUUCCUGCGACGCUUGACUACCCUCGCCUUCCUCAUGAGCAGGGGCACAGUUCAACCUGGUGAACACUAUCCUGGCAAACAAACUCACAUCUUAGACCAAUAUCAUAUCAAUACUAGCUAUGGAUUAAGAAUGUACUGAACACACGGAAUGCGGAAAUGAAUAUCCGAACAACAUGGUAACAAGCAUCUGCUAUAUAUACACCAUGGUUCAUACACACCCUUACAUAGUUCAGUACAACCUUAAUCGAAGAGCAAACUACUGGAAUUAUGAAACUACUCAUCAGAGGCUUACAAACUUCCUAUACAUUAUUUAUCUAGGCCUCCGGAAUUCAUUUCACAUCACAGGCAUACUUCACAAGUCACGCAGGACUGUGAACAUACGGCUAUACCACACUAUCCCUCCACACAUAGCUCAGGCAUCCGCAUAGAACAUCUCAUAGAGAUUGCCUCCAUGGCCUGGAAGCUCAACCUGCGGAUCAGGAAACACUCUGGCCUGAGAUCCCUGGGAUCCAUAAGGACAAGGAUGUGGCCUCGGUCCCCUGACUGGUGGUGAUAGGGGUCCCCGAAGAGGGGUGACUCCUCCUAUAGUUGGCCAGUCCUAACAGGGUUCAGCAUCUCCAUAUCUCCGUACGCUGUCUAGACUACCGGUGCCAGUUGCGUCAAAGCCGUCCACAGACGGGCACGGGUAGCAUAAAGCUCCAUGCGGAGAGCACGAGCAUCCCUGUCUCUGUUCUCUAGCAUCUCAGCAGUGGACUGCAGUAGUGGAUCCUCCAUAGAAGAAUCAAAAUAGACUCCGCUGAGGUAUCCCUCUUCACCAUGCUGAGAGGCAGGAACAUAGCAGAACUCUGAAUCCCUCUUCACCCCGAUCCUAAGCCAUAGGAAUCCAACCUGUAACACAUCGCAUCCCUUUGCGGUAUCACGCACGGUUAACCCCACGGCUGCAACCUUACCUUAGCCGGGACCGUUUGCGCCUUUUGACUCACGUAUGCAAUUGUGUCGCUAGCAAUCCAAUNNNNNNNNNNNNNNNNNNNNNNNNNNNNNNNNNNNNNNNNNNNNNNNNNNNNNNNNNNNNNNNNNNNNNNNNNNNNNNNNNNNNNNNNNNNNNNNNNNNNGCGACGUUUCCCAACAAACAUGGCGGUUAAAUGUAAGUUAUGAGGUUCCCGAUGGAUAAAUGACCAUGUUAUUUACACAGAAGUUACCAGAACAUGUUUCAGUAACGUUUUUCCCAUGGGUAAAAAGUUAUCGGUGUGUUGUAUGUAAGUUAUCGGGUGAAUGAUGCGUAAAUAACCAUGCUAUUUGGACUAGGUUAUCAGGGGAUAUUUCUAAAACUUUUCGCCCAAGGUGAAAAGUUAUCAACGUGUUUAUAUGUAAGUUAUCAGAUUAGUUGUACGUAAGUUAUCAUCCUAUUUACACUGAAGUUGCUGGUGGUAUAUUUCAACAACUUUUUCACCUCGGAUGGUAAAAAAAGUGGUAUCUUAUUUGAACUUGUGAGGAUCCAAGUAGUGGGUGAGUUGGCUAGUGUGCUGUGAUCUUAAUAUUGAAGUUUUGAGUUCAAUUCUCAGCUUUAGCAUGAUUUUUUAGGCUAAAAAGCUACAAGUAUGGAAACUGCUAACAUCAAGAUCUGUUUCCAACAUUUUUUUUUCUCCCGGUCAAAAAUUUAUCAUGGUGUUUGUGUGUUAGCUAUCAUAUUUUUUAUGUGUAUAUCAUCAUGCUAUUAAUGUAAAAGUUAUAACGGGUGUGUCUUCAAUAACUUUUUUUCCUGGGUCAAAGUUAUCAUAAUGUAUGUACAUAAGUUAGUAGGUCUAGGGUGUGUAUAUUAUCAUGCUAUUUAGAUAGAAGUUACCAGGUCUAUGAUGCGUACACAAAUAUCGCGGUGGAUCCAACCUAGAGAAAAAUCACGACAGUUAAUGUCAACAUCUCUGGAAAUCUUCCCAUUAAAUGUGUCAUCAAAUUAACAACUCGUUCGGAUUUUUAGUCCUAAACAAAGUGCUAGUACGCAUUAAAUUCAAAACGUGAGUAAUUAUCCUAACAACAAUUGUCUAGAUGGAGCGGUUAGUAAAAGAUGUUUUCUUUUUGCGAAGUACUACCUCUAGUGAUCUAAAAUGUUUUAUAUUAUUUUAUUGAGGGGGUAAAAGUUAUCACAAUGUAUGUACAUAAGUUAGCAGGUCUAGGGUGUGUAUAUUAUCAUGCUAUUUAGAUAGAAGUUAUCAGGUCUGUGAUGCGUACAAAAAUAUCGUGGUGGAUCCAACCUAGAGAAAAAUCACGGCAGUUAACGUCAACGUCUCUGAAAAUCUUCCCAUUAAAUGUGCCAUCAAAUUAACAACUCGCUCGGAUUUUUAGUCCUAAACAAAGUGCUAGUACGUAUUAAAUUCAAAACAUGAGUAAUUAUCCUAAUAACAAUGUCUAGAUGGAGCGGUUAGUAAAAGAUGUUUUCUUUUUGCGAAGCACUACCUCUAGUGAUCUAAAAUGUCUUAUAUUAUUUUAUUGAGGGGGUAAUAAAGAUUGUCUUGCCGCCAAUCACGACCAUCUGAGAUUAAAGCACUCAUGCGGCAGCAUCUAAUAAACGUAUGGUAAAUCUUGUGAAGGUUGAUAGAGUGAAAAAUAGGGUUAGUCACGCCACUUGCAAGGUGUGAGCAGAGAACAGUUUGCCUGGCUUCGAUCAAGUCAAGAUCAACAAUGGGCAUAAUCCUCCAGGAUUGUAAUACCCUGUAGGCCUUAUUUGGUUCAUACGACAGGAAUAGAAAAAACAUAAAAUGUGUGAUGACAUGUACUAUCUCAAUUCCUAUGAAGGAAGAGGUGUCAUUUAAUGUAUAGGAUAGAAAUAUUUUCAAUGAGUCUAAGCUAAUAUUCCUUUUCUUUUGAAAUGUGUGUUAGGAAGUGUUAGAAAGCACUAGUAUUGAUCUAGGAGUCCUUAUUAGUCUAUGUUUAUUUUCCUUGCACCUCAAUUUUUGUGUAAUAUAUAUAUGUACAUUGGGCUUUCAAUAAAGAUAGUUGAUUUCCUAACAUGGUAUUAGAGCCUAGGUUUAGGUCUUCUUCGAAGGCCGCAACUCGUCCUCACUCUUGAUCGAUUUUUUUAUCCGUACAAUCUGCAUGUCUCUGAUACUCGUCGAUGAAUUCUCUCGACCUCUUCCCGAUCAAGAUUUCCUCCGCUUCCACUCCAACCAAGGGAUAUUCGACCCCGACGGAACUCUGCCCAGCCGGGCCAUUGUAUCGAUUCGCCGCUGGGCCUAUACACGCGAGUUGUUGGGCAGCCACGGGCAGCCUCUGGAUUGGGGCCGUCAACGACCGCCAGUGUUGCUCAUCGAUGGCUGCUCAUGCGACUCCAGAUCGACGCUAGCUGCCACCCCCUCCAUGCAUGUCUUCCCAACAAGAUAGAGCGACGCCCCGCUCGUUCCAAAGAUUGAUUCCUAUCCUACAUAUGAAUAGGAAUCCAUUCCUACAAAUGAAAUAGCUCCAAAGGAAUUUUUUGUUUAAAAAUCCUAUCCUAUAGUAUUCCUACAAAAAUCCCUACAAACCAAACGAGGACGUAAUAUAUUCCUUUACUUGGGAAAGAAAAUCUCACACAACAGAAAACUGGUGUAUUAAGAAAAGUUGUAAGAAGCAACUCAUAGCCAUGGAUGAUGGAAGAAAAUCUCGCAUCAUAAAUUGCAUUGUACUCCCAACAUUGGAGAAAUAAAAGAGUGUUUGGAUCACUAAAGUAGUGAUCUAAACGCUCUUAUAUUUCUUUACAGAAAGAGUACUAGCAAAUAAAAUAAUUUUACUGAUUAAUUAAAAAACCACAUUAGGUCAAACAAAUUGAAACAACACACGGCAAAGACCCCGGAGAAAACCAAAAGGCCCAUGAAAAAUAUGCAGCCGCGAAUCUGCAUUUCAAGUUCCAUCAACAAUAUUCUAAAAAAAUGUGCAUUCAAAUCUAGCGGCUACUAUUCACCACCAAAUUCACAUUCUGUAUUGUUUUUUCUUUAAACAAGAAAUUCACAUUCUUUAUUCGCGGCUACUAUUCAUGAUUUGAUCUAUUAUUUAUGUUUUUUUAUGUGCAAAUCGAAUUUAGGCCUGGAUGUUGCUUGGUUGAUGACCUACAGAAAAAUUAGCUAGCCUGGCCUGGACACUCUCCUGGUAGCUUGUUUAGCCAGGCCUGUUGUCCCAAAAACCAAGAUUACAUAUUGAAACAAAAUUUAAACAAUAGUACUACACAAAACUCAAAUUUAAAAUUCAAAACAUAGUUUGCGCAACAAAAAAUGAGAAACAAAAUGUCAAUAGCGAUGAUUGUUGAGUUCGAUCGCAGCUCAAUUUAGGCUUAGCUGCUAUUCAUCCAGAGGUUUGCCUCUCUUUUUUUUUUUGUCACAGCACGACCGAUAUGUAUAUACAUUUACUUCCGCGUGCUAAUCAUUUUUUCAGAAAUUUUGUCAGUCUCUAAACGAUUACACUACUGAAACUUCACACUGGAUUAUACAUUCUCUAACAACCGACACUCCGACGGCCUUCUCCACUCCACUGGCUACUGAGGCCUUCUCCACUCCACUGGCUACUGAAGCUCAUCAGCCAUGGAGCUGCUGUCCAAUGCCCCCGCCGACCACUCCGUGCCGGACAGGUGUGUACGUCUUCCCGCUCAACAAGCACCCCUCCCUGCUCCCCGACGACCUCCCCUUCUCCGACCAUCACAGCCGCCAGGCCACCGAGGGGAUUGUCAGGGCCGGCAAGGCAGGAUUCUUCGUGACAAAUACAUCAACUACUGCACUGUCCUGCCUAACAAAAACAGUUGUGCGGGCAUACUAGUAUAUAAAUUUGAUUUUGUCUUUUUGAAGAAGACUGUCUAUUCCAAUGUAAACCUGAGAACACAACUCACCUCAAGUGCAGCAUAUAUCGGAACACCUACUUCUUCAGUCAAGUGCAGUAAAAGACCGGUUGUAGAACCUGUUUAGUCAGAGUUGAGCAGUAGAAACCAUAUUAUGCUCUACUAUGGUUAUAAAGGAUAAGUAUGACCUUGCUACCAUUUGGGUAGGCUGAAGCUUGGCUUCAAAUAUUGACAUCACCAAAAUUCAGAUAAAAUGCAAGGUCAUAGAACUCAGCAAAUUAUGCUUAUUGAAGUUGAGGAAACUCUCCAAGUUUGUGACCAAGGUUAUCUACCUCCAUGUCUACAUGAGUAAGAUCAUGCAAAUAGCAAAACUCUGCUCUUAAAAGAUACUGCCCUCCAACCUUUCAGUAGUUUGGUAAAGAAGUAAUCAUACAUAUGCCUUCUACAUCUUCCAUGCUUCUAAAUGAAGGUCAAAAUAGAAUGAAGCACACAGCAUCGACAUGAUAAUUAUAAGAGGAAAACUUCAUGAAGGUUUUCCUGAAAUGCAUGGAUUAGCCAGUUCGGCUGUUAGGAUGUUACAUGGUUCACAAACCUACCGUCCUGUAACCAUCUCCAUCUUCCAUGAAUGUCUUUUGUACUGUGACCAUCACCUACAUAGCGACGUUAUUGUGGCAGCAACGAAAACAGUACUUUACUGUGUAAAAGUUAUGUGCCUAGCUGUACCCCAAAUAACCUGUAUGGAAAUCAAAAGAAAAAAAUGAGGGGCAAAUUAAGCAAUUCCAGAAAUUUGUUGCCAAAUCACAAACAGCGGCAAUCUGAUAACCAAAGCGCAAGAUCGCAGUACAAAGGAGCACUAACAAAGAAUCUGUAAACAAGAUGGUGAGCAGAAAAUAGAACCACAUAAAACAGAGGCACUAUAUAACCAUGACAAUAUCAAUUCUCCACAUGACAUGGUUUCCACAUUCCAGUAGUUUGCAAACUAUUAGCUGGAAAACUCUGCAAUUCUGCAGCUAUGAACAGCUAACAGCAAGGCAUGAAAUUAACUAAUAAAAUGAAGCAAUGAGUGAAAUUGAAAGCAAGUGCAGAAUUUCACCAAGGAAAUCAACUAAUGACUGGAAGAAGCAUAUCUAAGUCGCAUUAAAAUACAGUACAUGGAUUUCUUACUAAUAAAAGAACAAAUCAAGCAGAUAAAGUGAGCCAAUGAGGGGUAAUUCCCAAAAAUGAGGAGCAAGCCGAGGUUGAGGCUACAUCGGCUUCUUAGGAUGUGUUUGGUUGGAGGGAUAGGCUAGGGUGGCUGUGGGUAUCCCCAACCAGGUGGCUGGGGAUAGCCCUUUUUUUUGUUUGGUUGUAAGGGUAGGGUUAUCCUUUUUUUUGUUUGGUUGGGAGGAUGGAUUCUCCCGCGCCGGCCGCCCUCCCUCGCCGGCCGCGCCGGCCGCCCCAGAGUGGUUGCCACCGCCCGCCCGUUUUUGGCGGUUGGCCACAUCCCUUUUUUUUGAGAAUAUUCCCAGCAUCUGGUUGACUCUGUCCCUCCUCGCCCCAGAUCCAAACGCAUGGCAACCACAGAAAAAAGUGGUUAUCCCUGUCCCUGGAAGGAUAUCCCUCCAACCAAACACACCCUAAGUGGAAGGACAGCGUGUAGUAUACCUGAGCACCAUCUUGGCAGCGGUUUUGGCCAGUGCCCAUGUAUCUGAAGAUGGAACGAAUGCCGACACAUCCCAAUUACCUGGCUAAAAUUUGGCAUUAAUAAAAAUAGUACUCCCUCCGUAAACUAAUAUAAGANNNNNNNNNNNNNNNNNNNNNNNNNNNNNNNNNNNNNNNNNNNNNNNNNNNNNNNNNNNNNNNNNNNNNNNNNNNNNNNNNNNNNNNNNNNNNNNNNNNNNNNNNNNNNNNNNNNNNNNNNNNNNNNNNNNNNNNNNNNNNNNNNNNNNNNNNNNNNNNNNNNNNNNNNNNNNNNNUCUUAUAUUAGUUUACAGAGGGAGUACUAUAGUUGCACAAUAUUGGAGGCUAGAACAAUGGAUCAUACAUCAUAUGGAAUGAUUAAGGACUAACCUCAUCCAGCACCUUCACUUAGGCAGAGGGGAGGGUGAGGUGCAGGGACAUCAACAUCAGACAAAGGAGCAAGAUCAAGGAUCACGGCCUUGGCUUCCAAUGAGGAUGGCAUCUGAUUCAUCAUGUUCCUUGCCAGGGCGCCAUUGGCCGUCAUCAAGGCCAGCUUAAUCAUUUCGCAUUUACUGAUUUAAUAUUCGGAGAUAUCUUGUCAUCACAAAUCAAGCUUACCAUCUUAGCGUGCCCCAACCUAGCAUAGGAAGGGCAAGCAGGCUUGCUGCUUGUAUACAAAGUGCUGCAUCUGGCCUUUAUCUGUGUCAUGUAGUACUACUUAAAAACAAAAUUAAAUUAUCUGUUUUGACCUUGCUUGGAACCAAAUCUAUCUGCUCCAGUGAAUCAUUGCUUUCGUCGUAUCAUAUCCUAUGAUUCAUGUGAAACAACCUUCAGGAAUUACAGCCACUCAUGAACAUUAGUGCCAUUUAUAUUGUUCAUCUUGCCUAUCAAGCGCUGCAGUUACCAUUUGCAGUUUUUUACACAAAUGAAGUGAUUGCUGAAGUUUUCUCGUCAUUUUCGUAUCGAAAUGGCAGUGGCCUUUCAUAUCCUAUGAUUGCUGCAGUUUCUCGUCAUUUUCGUAUCGAAAUGGCAGUUUUUACACAAUUGAAGUGAUUGCUGCAGUUUUUACGUUAUAAUGAACGGCGGGUGUAAGGUGGCAAUGCCAUGCAAUAGCUUAUAGGUCAGUUCCAAGCAACAAAUUGGGCUGAAUUUUGUGGCUUUGCGAUUCUUAAAUCUACAGUUUCACAUUGGCUAGUUUUGCUACCAAAACAUGUGUAUGUGGUUUUGUGAAUGGAUAUGGUUUUCACAUAUGCAAAUGCAAGCACUGAAUAUUAGACAGAUAAGAACAAAGAACUUUGUCCUUGGUCCAAGCAGCUUGCAGUGGCCAAUUGUCAUAUUAUUUUCUUCCUCCCCUUCCAUCAACAAAUAUAAAUCCAUCCUUCAUUGGAUUUUCUUGUUAUUUAUGGUACCUCCACCGGUUUAGUUCCACUGACUACUGACAGAUAUACAUGAUAAGGCUAAUUCAUUUGUAGAUCAUGCUUUUUAGUCCCAGAUAGGUUAUCUUUUCCAACUUGAAAAUUCACAACCAGAGUAAAGUCAACUAUGGUAAUUAGAAAAGGAGACAAUAAAUCCUUAGGAAAAAUGGUAAAGAAAUCGAAAGGCAAACAAAAAACAGAUACCCAUUAGAAAUCUACUUCAAGUAUAAUCUAAAUAUUAAACAAAGUAAGAUAGGAGUAUGAUGGAACCUAAAAGAUAAUGAAAUGAAAAUGGAACAUGCAUGAUAGAUAAAUUUUGGCAUGAAAGCAGAGCAUACUGAUACUGAUACUGAUACAUUUCGGUGGAAAACGGCACAACAUUAUUCUAAAAAAAAUUCUGGUUAUCAUGAUCUUCACAGAAGUCAGAAACACAAAUAUAUCAAUGUACUUCUCAUUUCAGGGAUCUUCUCUAAGGAAUGACAAGAGCAACAUAUCAGGGUUCAGGAAUAAAAUUAUCAGUUCCAGAGGAGUUAGCAUUUAGCAAUGACCAAACUGGCAUGUAACAGGCAUACUACAGAAAAUAACCAACAUCUAGUUUGGCAAACAACGCCAAAACAGGAACUACCAGCUUAUAACGCAGAGUGAAAACUUUGUUGCGCCAUCACAAUAAUCAACUUCCUUAGCCCGUUUUCGGUUCAAGUAAAUCCGAAAUUAGUUGGCACCUCACCUUUGCAAGCGGUUGCAUAGUCUUGAGCGAGGUGUGGUACAGCUUCCUUGUGAGGGGAUAUGAGUUUCUCGACAAAUACCUUCUCAGUCAUCUUGACCACAUAACAGAAGCUCAGGUGACGAUCUACCAAUCCAUUUUCCUUGAGGAACUUUAGAACAUAGCACCGGGGCUUGACCCGGCCCUCCAGGCUAUAAUAGAGGAUGACCGGGCAAUGAGCAAUGUACCCCGGUUGCAAGCCCGCCUCGGAGACCAGGAACUCGAAGCUACGCCGUAGGAUGUAUUUUGACCUCCUCAGCAGCAUUGGAGCUGCAGAGAAAGCAAUGAGAACCUCAGCAUCAGACCAGCUGAAGGUCCUCUUCAGGUAGUCCACUUUUGCGGUGAUGUUCCCCUCACUGCGGAACGCGACAGCCUGCAGUGCCUCCCUGAACAUACCAGAGCCCCUGGGCACACCCAAUCUUUCGGCACAUGCCGCCAUCGCCCGGACGCGGUCGGGGUUGGCGGUCAGCAUCCUUGGCUCACGGAUACACAGCUUGGCAAUACUGCGACAAUCUAGCCCGCACUCCUGCAGAAACGCGACAUUGGGCAUGACCACCUUGCCGAGGUUGAACUUGAGCAAGCGGGGGCUCUUGGUUAGAGCACGGAAGAGGUUCUCGGAGGAGCCGAAGAGGGGCAGGUGGUACUGCAGCUUGGAGACGAUGGAUCUGCAGCGGAAGCUGUCUUGGACGAGCGAGGCGAGGCGGGCGAUCUCAGGACGCGACAGGCCGAGGCCGGUCAGCCCGUCGACGUUGUGUGCUAGGGUUGUCUCCACGCCGGCGCAGAGAAAAAGCGGGUCUUUGGCGACGACGGCCGCGGCGUCGGCGCCGGAGAGGCCGAGGCCGGAGAGGAAGGCGAGGACGGCUUCGGGGUUGGCGGGGGAGUUGAGGUGCGAGAGCUUCUUGGAGGCCUUGAGGGCCUGGGGCCGGGUGAGGCCGCAGGUGUGGACGAGGUACUCCUCCACGGCGAAUCCUUGGUUUGGGGAGUUGGACGGCGGCGCGCUGGCGGAGAGGAGCCGGCGGAAGAGGGAGCAGAUGGGAGAGGUGGAUGGAGAAGAGGGGAGAUGAGAAACCAUGCGCUCCCGGAGACGGAGCAUGCCGCCGGCGGCGGUGGCGGUGGCAGCGGCGGAGAUAAUCUCCGAUGGGGAGUAGAGCUGCAAGUGGUCCGGGUGCGUGGGCUGAAUUUUUGUCUAAAAGGCCGAGUGCAUUUGUCGGAAAGGACCACCUGCGGACGAAAGUGGCAGAAAAGACACCCACCCAUCGUGGCGGCAGGCGUGCCAGGCGACGCGUGUCACCUGCCGCCACAGCCUGAGGCGGCUGGGGCCUGCCACCAUGGCGAGAGGCGGUCGGCGCGGAUUUCCGUUCCAGCGUAGCCGCGACGGAACGGUGAGAAAGUGGUGGGACAUGCCGCCACGAAAGGAGGCGGCCAGGCGGGCCCUGCCGCCUCGACAGCCGGCGGCCGGUAUUGUGGAUGACGGCGUUGAUUCCCACCUGACAACGCUGAUUCCCACGCUGUCGGCUGAUUCCCAUGCUGUCUGCACCGAUGAAACAGUGUGAAUUUUUCCCGCUCUCCACCGAUAAAACAGUGUCAAAAUUAUUUGUAUAAAGGAGUUGCGUCGCUGCCUCCUCUCUCACUCGUUUCUCUUCUUUGCUUGAACCCACACUGCUUCUCUUUCUCACUCUCUUCUCUUUCUCUCAAGAACUACUCCAUAUGACGGUUUAAGUGGCGAUUUAGGACGGUUUAAAGUUAGAUUUUGAAGACGUUGUAGUUGAAGAAAAGAUAGAUGAAGGUAAGAGUUUUCCAUUUCUGAUGGUCGUGUUUUCAUGCAUGAUGUUUUUAUUUUGUUUGAUUAGUUUCUAAGUAGUAUGUUUUAUCUUUUGUCUUAGGGAGUGUAUUAUCAUUUUUGUGGAACUAUUUUAUCAUGCGAUAUGAACAACUAAGUUGAAGAUCAAGUAUGAGACUCUGUUCAUAUUUGUGUUCAUGUGAUAAUAGGUCGACUCUGUUCAUAUAUUAUCGAUGAUUUGUUCGUGUUUGCAUGCAACUGGUAUUUAGAAAGGAGCCGAAAAAAUGUGUAUGUAACUAGCAUUUUUGUUAAAAACAUGUAAUAAUAUGUUAGCUCCAUUAGUAUUAUUACAUGCAAGACGCGUGUGUAAUAUAUUUGUUUAUGUGAUAGUUUGUCAACCCCGUAGAAAUAUGACUCGUGAUAUAUAUAUAUGCAUGCAAUAUGUAUUUUAAGACUUUGCUAGCACGGAAAUAACUAUGUGUGUAAUAUUUUUGUUUAUAUGAAAAUAGGUGGAAUUCGCUGAUAUUAUUCUGGUGAUAUUUUGUAUUCGGAAGGAUAUCCUUAUUAAACCAGAGGUAUGAAUGACAUAUUGUAAUUCAUCUUCUAUUUAUUUUAUAGAUGUAGUGUCACGAUAAAUGGUACAAUAUAAAUUAUUAUGCGUAGAUGUACAAUCGUCUGUGAGUAUUUGUUAAAUUGUUAUAUGUAAAAAAGAUAAGUAAUGGAUGUUGUUAUUACAAUAUAAAUAUAAUAAUAUGAUUUUUAAUGGACUAACGAUGUAAAUAUGGCUGCUCGUUAGGUACUAUGGAAAAUUUGUUAGUGUUUUAUGGACACAUCGUACGUGAGGGUCCUUCUGGUGUGGAUGUGUCUAGGUGCGGGAUGACUACGGUUGUAGUAAGAGACAUGGUUAAUGUAGAGUAUGCGGCAGUUACAAGGUGCAUCCGAGCGGUGUUUGGUUCAGCGAUGAAUGGUAAAAAAAUGACCAUGGAGGCUUUCGUGGUUGAGGGAGGAAAUCGUUGGGUUCUGCGGCGGGUUAUUGGUGAAAGAGCAUGGGUGUCCUACAUGGGUUUUGCAAGCAAUCUCAAUAACUCCGUGUAUGGACAACCCAUGGUUUAUGUGGAGUUCAUUUCUGCCAGUGAUGUCGCCGAGUGCAGUAGCGGUGCCGGUGAGGCCAAGCUGGCCAUAACUGUAGCCCCCGACGCCGGCCCAUCGGAACCAAGGGGUGGCCAACAAGUGGACAUAACUGUAGCCCCCAACGCCGGCCCAUCGGAACCAACAGGUGGCCAACAAGUGUAUGACACUGGAUAUUGGUCUGCGGUCGUUGACAUGAGUGAACAUGUCGAGGGAUUGCCGAAGGCGCUAGAUGAUGACGAUGAUGGUCAUUCUUCUGCCUCUUCGGAAUCAGAUGAUGAUGAAGUUGUUCCUCCUGAGAAGGCGGUCGCUGCAGCAAUUAACCCAGAGUUUUUACAGGUUAUGAGCAUCACCAAUGAAUUUCACUCUGUUGCUGGCCUAGACGCGGGAAGUCUGGCCGUUGGACAGAUUUUCCCAGAUAAGAAAUCUGCUAAACAAGCAAUACAUAGCUAUGCAAUUGCUAUACACAGGCAACAUAGAGUGAAGCAGUCUGAUAAAAAGGAGUUGAAGCUCAUAUGCAUCCAUCGCGAAGCGGGUUGCCGCGGAAGAGUUAUUGCUCGCCAGAAGCCUGGGGUAUGUCAGCCAUGGCAUGUCACAAAAAUAGAGCAACAUGGUUGUGAGCAAACCGGCACUCUUUCAGAGCACCGCAAUGUGACUGCAGAAUAUGUGUCACAGGUGAUGCAAACCAUUGUGCAGCAAAGUCUUAAUAUUAGUAUUAGGGCUUUGCGUGCAACUGCAUCUGAUCUGAUUGGUUUCCCUGUCAGCUAUAGCAAGGCUCGUCAUGCAAAGGAAAAGAUAUUUCAGAGGUUGUAUGGAACCUAUGAGGAGGCGUACUCUUUUGCCCCUAGAAUGUUGCAUCAGAUUUCAGUUGCUAACAGGGGGACUCAAGUUUUCCGGAAAGAACGUCCAAAUCCAUUGAACCCAGACGAGCAAAUCCUGGACCGCUUAUUCUGGGCAUUCGCCCAGACUAUUCAAGCAUUGUCGUCCGGUUGUAUCAAUUGAUGGUACAUUUCUCACUGGAAAGUACAAGGGCACACUCUUAGUGGCGAUGGCAGCUGAUGCAAACAAUCAACUUCUUCCUAUUGCCUAUGCACUAGUGGAGAGCGAAAACAAACAUAGUUGGCUAUGGUUCAUGUGUUGCCUGAAGAUGGGUGUCAUCAAAGAUCGGGAAGGGGUUUGCAUCAUCUCUGAUCGCAACACCGGACUAUUAAGCGUGCUCGAGAUAAUUAAGGUUUCACAAGAUCCAGAUUGGGGGUGGCCCGAUCUGGAGACAAGGUGGUGCAUGAGGCAUUUGGCAGCUAAUUUUUAUUCGAAAUUCAAAAACAAAAGAUUGGUUCAAGCUAUUCAAGAGGAUGUGCAUGCAGAAAACUGCAGCAAAAAUGAAUGCUAUCUGGACAGGUAUCAAUGGUGAGAUCGAGCGCGCAUCCCUCCCGGCGAGAGAAGACCGGAGGGGUCGUCAAACAGUAAUAAAUAAAUUUGAGCCAGUCGAUCAGUGAGAAUUGUCCCAAUUUGUACAAGUGGGCGCAGUCCCAAUUGAUAUGGUAUUUGGUUCGCAACACAUGCCAGUGGAAUGAGUGAGAGAUAGUGCCUUUUGGAUGACUCGCUGCAAUUUACUCUAUCUGUGGUUUGUGGAACCGUACAAUCGUCACCGUGUCAUGAGACAGUUCGGUCCAUAUCAAGAUAUUUCACCACCAGUUCCAAGAUGUAUCGACGAAGAAACUCAUAAGUAAGUAAGAUGUGACCUAGCUAAAUAGAUAUUCCAUCACCUAUUCUUGAAUUUUCUUUUUGUUAUCUAUAAUUUCAGGAUGAGCAAUAUGGGCAGAUCUGGUGUGGACUGGAAUGCAGAAAACAUUCAAUGGAUAAAUCAGUGGAAUAAUGAAGCUCUACAAAAUAUAGUGCCUCAGCAACGGUAAUUUUACUAAUGUUAAAUUAAUUAUGUACUUAUAAAAUACAGAAUGUGAUGUAACUAUUUAUUUAUGCAGAACGUACGAUGCAACUACGACAGAAUCGUACUAUAAUUGGUAUCGCAUGAGCACGCGUACUAGACUGACGAGUGAACCACCUACGAUGCCAACACAUCCAACGCAUAUGGAACAGUUGCAGAGACGGAUAGACACAUCAUCAGCUUACUAUCGUGACUCCGUGGUAAUCAUCAACAUCUUGCUAUUCAGGUCCAUCAUUUCAUGAACAAUUCAACCAACAAACAACGAUUUUUUUUCAGAUUGAUAUUUGCAUCCAAGUAGAAGCGAUGGCGAGGGAAGGAAUGCGAGCCCAGGGAAUUGAUCCUAAAGGCAGGUCCUUCUUUAAAAGAAUUAGCGAAUUCGUCAGCACAAGGUUUAUGAGAUGCGGUACAGAGAACGACGUUGUCACUGGAGCGUACAACAUUCCGGAACCGAGGUCAGCUAGACCGAGUGCGGCGUCGUCGUCGUCCAUGCGGUGGGGAGAGGGUCCUAAUACUACGCCGACACUUCCACGACAUGACUCGUCUCUACUAAUACAUGGGCAGACAUCACAGGUAAAUGCUCCAGAUUUAGGUUCGACGCCCGACAUGAUAAAUGAUUUUUUCGGGCAGGACGUUAUUGGUCCAUCUUAUAUCAAUUCUGAGUCACAGUCAUUCACCUACAAUUUAGAAUCAUCAUCUCAAUAUGGAUUUCAGACUCCACCACCUAUGCAUGAGUCGCAGACACAGGAACACGAGGGACAAUACGGCCGUGGUCUUCGUGAACACAGACCCCCUGAACGAUUGUCACCCUCCGGUCGUCAGGCAAGGUCAGCUGGUCGUCGUCGCAUAGGGUGAUUCGUCUAUCUAUGUGUGCGAACUAUUGUAUCUCUUUAUGUCAGUUUCAAACUUUCAGAUGUACGUACAAGACAUCUAUGUAGUUUGAUGAAAUAAAAGUUCUCGAUAUAUUUCGACGCAGUUUUUCAAUUUAAAGUUGCUUCCAUAAAAUAAGAUACAUAAAAUAAGAUUCAUAAAAUAACAUACAUAGAAUAAGAUACAUAAAAUAAGGUUCAUAAAAAAAACUACAUAAAGUCGCCGUCAUCCUUCGACGAUGCAGAGCUCUCGCCCUUUGACGAAGCGCUACUCUUGGCCUUCGUCGAUGAUGCGCUCUUGGCCUUGGUACUCGGCAUGAAGAUAUCAUCUUCGUCCUCACUAUCGUCAAUCCAUAAAAAGGGAUGUUUUACUCCACCUCCAUCGCGUAUGUGUUGGCCUUUCUUCUUCCAUCUUUCAUUCAACCGCAGAUGUUCUUUCCGAAUCUCCUCAUAUGUCCUUGCAGGCCACCCCUUCCUAGCUAAUGCGUGGGCAACCUCAUUCAGUAGCGUGUCACUACUGAUGAGUUCGUCCCAUGAAACUAUUCUAUUAUCUAUCUUGAAAUUUCUAGCUAAGCGCAGAAGACACUCGGACAUACCACUGUGGAAACUACGAUCGAAAGGAUAAUGAGACAUUUUCAGGACACUCCUUACCCACCUUGGUCUGGAGGGGUUUUAUAGGUGCAGCAAAGCGAGACGAAUAACUAAUGGCGGGAAAACGAGGAGGGAAAGCGAGGGCGGGAAAGCGAGGCGGGAACAAAAUGGCGGCAAAGCUAUACGCGGGAAAAAAAUGGCGGGAAAGCGAGGCGGGAAAUAAAUGGCGGGAUAAAAUGAACAUACACAGCUGAAAUUAAGAUACCCAUUGCGGAAAUGAAGAUACAACUUGCCGAAAUUAAGAUAGACAUUGCUGAAAAUAAGAUACAAUUUGCCGAAAUUAAGAUACAACUUGCAGAAAUUAAGAUACAACUAACACAAAAUAACAUACAUAAAUCUACUGAGUCCAACGUGGAUAUUUUCCUUUUCCAUCACCAGCUUCUUCUGAGCCCUUUCUCUCUUUCUCUCCCUCUCAGCUUCAUGGGCCUGUUCUCGCUGUCUGUAAACCUCCUCCAGCCGAAGUUUCUCUUCUUGAUUUUUCCUUUUCAUCUCAUCAAUAAAAGCCCUCUGCUCCACACAGUAAUCUUCUCACUCUUUCUUCUGCUCUGCUUUCUCCUCUGCUUCAGCCUUCUCGCGACGCUCUUCGAAGUCCAAGCUAGCCCAUGCACGGCGACCUCUUUCACGAAUCUCGGUCACCGCCCAGUCCGGCAUUUCCUUGUCAAUCCAGCGAUAGUACAUGCAGAGAGGAGGAGGAGACUAAAGGAUGGAUCAGAUUCAAGUAAACAAUAAUAUCAAGUAAACAAUAAUCUGGAUGACUUGAGCAUACCGGAGGCCUGGCGUACGCAGAAAUAGAUUCGGGUGGAUCAGAUUCAUAAUUGGCGCACAUGGAAAACUUCAUGCCCAACCAAUCUGAAAAAUCUGUCACCUCCUUCACCUUGCAGACAUCUCUGCACCAACAUCGAACUGCUUCCACCCCCCGAGGCAAGCUUGCACUCUGCAUUUUCCUAGGCCUAAUGCUCUGAUCCGAACAAGGCAAACUCAUACUGACUAUGGAGGUGCAGGUGCUUUGAAGUCUGGCUGAUGGUGAAGAGAGUUUCACUCCCUGCCUCCUUUUAUAGGCUCUGCCGGAUGUCUACGCGGGAAAAAAACGGCGCGAAAACCAGAAACUUCAGCGGGAAACUUAGGUGGGAAAUUAACGCAGGAAACUUAGGCGGGAAAAAAUUGCACUGCUCGUCCGUCGUUAUCGCGUGCAUGUGGCGGAAACAAAUACAGCAGGCAGCCUUAGUUAGUGCAAUCAGCUUUUAGGCCCUGAUUGGAAUGUCGUUCUAUUUUUACAUGUGCAAUAUUUUACAAAGGUGUCUAUUAUUUUUACAAAUGUACUCCAUCCGUUCAUAAAUAUAAGUCUUUUUAGAUAUUUUACUAGAUGACUACAUACAAAGCAAAAUGAUAGAAUCUACAUUCUAAAAUGAGUCCAUAUACAUCCAUAUGUAGUCUUCUAGUAGAAACUCUUAAAAGACUUAUAUUUAGGAAGGGAGGGAGUAUUUGGUAAAUAAAAUACUCAUUUUGCUCUAGUAGAAACUAUUAAAAGACUUAAAUACUCUUAAAAGACUUAUAUUUAGAUAUUGUACUAUAAACUAUAUACGGAUUGACAUAUACAUACUUUAGAGUAUAGAUUCACUCAUUUUGCUCCGUGAAAGGUCUUAUAUUUUGGAACGGAGGGACUACAUCCAAAGCAGGGCCUAAUACUGCAUGCUUGUGGCGGGAAUGCGCUGACUCCGAGGCCCAUUCACGCAGGAACCGGGAUUCUCGGCCGGCCGCCUGGGGCCGAGGCGGCAGGGCCCACCUCUCUGUCGCCGUAACGUUGCAGCGGGGCGGGAACGGGAUCUGGCGUCGGCCGCCUGGCCUCGUGGCGGCAGCCCUGCCGGCCGCCUGCGCCCGUGGCGGCAGGCCCCAGCCGCCUCAGCCGGUGGCGGCAGGUGGCACGUGUCGCCAGGGAGGGGUGGGGUCUUUUUCGUCGAUUUCAGCCAUAGGUGGUCCUUUUGGACAAAUGCACCCGGCAAGUGGUCCUUUUGGAUAAAAAUUUGUGUGGGCUCUACUGGACCGAGGUUUCCUACGAUGCUUGAUUUUGGUCUCUCGUGGGCCUUUUUGCUUCCUGAGUUUGUUUUUGUGCAGAAAGCUGGUAGGUUUUUUUAGACUUUUUUUUGAAAGGUUUUAGACUGGUUAUUAAAUGCACGUGUGUUGCUACGGACGACAAUGCAAGUACAUAAAUCAUGAUGAUUAGGGCAUCUCCAACAGUUUGUUGGUUAGCUUGUUGGUAAAAUAUGCCAUGUCAUCAGCCAACACCUUAACAUACAACUACUCCAAUGAAUUGUAUCUAGUUUGCCCAAUAAGAUGUGAGGUAAUAAAUAAGGUGCUCUCUCAUUCUACAUUGGAGCUUGUGCAAGGGUGUUGGUUAAUUUACAUACAACCUUGUUCUCUUUCCUCAUUUAUUGCAAUGACACAUCAUCAAAAAUCCUAUGUGUCAAAAUUACCAACAACUAUCUUACAGCCAUUGAAGAUGCCCUUAAGUUACAUAGUUGAUACCAUGAUUGCAUCUAAAGACACGGGGAACCUUGACCGCUGUUGGGGGGCCCUACCACCACCCUUGCUUCGUCGUUGCCGGCAGGGCAGGUCAGGGAACCGCGCCAUGCCCGGGGAUGGCGGCGGCAGGGCGGUUUUUCGUCUCCCUGGUACCGGAGGCCCCUUUCCCGUCACCCCAGAUCCGAGCUGGCGCACAGCAGACUUCUCUUCCUCCAACAGUUGGCCUCUCCCCUACCAGUUUGGCGCGGUGGCACGGUCAUGCCCUUGGGUGCUCCUCCCCGCCCACCCUUGCAUCCCCCGUCGAGGCAGCCUUUCUUCGCGUUGUUGUUCAUGGGGGCAUGCACUAGGCCUUUGGGUGGAGGUGUCCAGGUUGGCCGGGCUUUGCCCUGCCCCGUGCAGGCCACUCUCUAUCUCCGACGGCGUCUCCUCUGAGUUGUGGUGCCGACAUUUGUGGGUGUGAAGUCACAGUUGUCUUUCUUGGCAGCGGUUGAAGCUUCAUGGUGGAUCCUUGUUGACUCUGCCCUGAUGCCGGUAGCCAUGGUCCUACGUUCUCUGGUGUCCAUCGCAUGUCGGCGUCCUCUGCCGACGCGGUUUCAACUCCUACGCUCAGGUUGAUGCGCCCCUUUCUGCAUUUUCCGCUCGCCGGUGUUCUCGUGACUCGGAGUUGCGCUCCCCUUCUGGUCCCUGACUUGCCAGCUGCGCCGGUCAUCACCCCCACCCAUCUAUGCCGACUUUCUACCCUGUUGCUUCCCUGCCCCCUACACGCCAUGUCGGCUCCAAAGCUCGUGUUUUUUCGAUGAUAGGUGCAACCCCACUUCCCCCCUUUUGAGGUGGCGAUCGACCGGCGGGCGGACUUCCUCAUCUUUGGAUCCUUAUUUGGUGGCUAUGAGAUUGCACGGACACAGGCCUGGUAAAAUCCAUGCUUAGCUUGCCGCGACACUCGUAGGUGUUGUUUCCUUUUUGGAGGCGCUGCCAUGGGCUCUCAUCGUGCUCCUUUUCAAGCUUCAUGGCAAACCCUAGGUCCGGUUCUUCGAAUCAAACGGCAGCAAGGUCACAACCUUAUUUCCCUUCUCAGAGGCGCUAUUUUGCUCGCUUACGACGUCCCAGUGUCAGCUCUAAAGAUGUUCGACGUUGUGCUCAUUUGGUCUACCUCUCUGGUUCUAGGCUUUGUGGGUUUUUAGAGAUUACACUAAAAACUACGUACAGAUAUAUAUAGACAUACUUUAAAGUGUAGAUUCACUCAUUUUGCUUCGUUUGUAUUUCAUAAUGGAACCUCAAAAAAGACUUAUGGACACAACACGGUUUUUGCAUCUUGCAAGUGCACGUAUUUACUAGUCCAGAAAAUCAUUUCCAUGUUAUUUAUUGUAAUAACUAGCAGGGUGGCCGAAUACACAACAUGGUAAAACUUUAGAGAUGAGAACAACAAUGCAUGUGGCAGAGAUGGUAUAUAUCCAAACGGCAGCAAUUUCACUCGCUUAUAGUUCUACCAUUUUCCUGCAUUGAUCAGCACAAUUCUAAUUACCCAUCACAAGUUGAGAGCAAAACACCGUUGGCAAUGCUAAAAACUUUGCCACCACCGUGGUUAAUCAGAAAUUUAAAGGGGACGGAGAAGAUUACAGUUGUAGAACACAUGGUUAAUCGGACAUAACUGGUGCAGAGCUCCCAGCUCAAGUAAUAAUCCAAGAUGAAGAUGGCAACCAGCGCCAGCAGCUUAUGAGCAGUUCGCAACCUCGGUUUCAGUUUGAAGUUGGCCACUCAAAGAUGUAAACAACAGCAGGUAUCCUGAAAAUUAUUCCGGGGUUAGGAACUAAAAAGGAUCAACAGCCGCCAUUGUCCAAACAAUUUCAGGAUAAUGAAUCUUAAACAUUACAUGUAAACAGUACGGACAUCGGCGUCCUGAAAAUUUCAGCCAGUUGGAAUUGAACAUCAGAAACCAUGCAAAUAGGAUGGAAUCUAAACAGGAAUCAAGUCACAGAACCAACAAAAUUAUCGCCAUUAAUAACUUAUUGGGAAUGUGUCGUAGUUUUUGUGUAAAAGUUGGACCAAAUUAAGAAAUAUGGAUGGUAUGCAAGGGAUCACCGAACCUCGCUGCCAUUUGAGUAAGCCGGGGCCUAGCUUUAAAUAUCGACACCACCGGUUAAAAUUCAAAUGAAAAGUAAGAUCGUGGGACUCACUAACUCAUGUGUGUUUAAGUUAAGCCACUCCCCAAUUUUGUGCCCAAGGCUAUCUAUCUCCAGGUCUACUACAUCUAAGUAAGAUCGUGCAAAUAGUUUAAAAAAAAGUAAGAUCGUGCAAAUAGAAAAACUAUGAUCUUCAAAUCUGCUGUGAACAUUACCUACACAGUGACUUCACUGUGGCAGGAAUUAAAACAGUAUUUUCAUUUCUAUAAGUACGUACUCCAGAUUUAACAUGUAUGGAAACAACAGAAAGCACCACGGGCAAAAAAAGCAACACCAUGGAAAUCUGUUACAAGAUCACAAACAGCGGUAAUCUGACAACCAAAGCAGACUAACAAAUAAUCCAUAAACACGACGGCAAGCAGAAAACAUCACCACAUAAAAGAGAGGCAAAAACCAGGACACUAAUUUUUUCACAUUGUUCCAGUAGUUUACAAACCAUUGGAUCGAAUUCCCUGCGGUUCUGCAGCUAUGAACAGCUAACUGUAAGGCGUGAAUUCAACUAAUGACAUGAAGCAAUGGUAGGAAGAGAAGUAAGCGCAGAUUUCAGCAACAAAAUCAGCCAAUGACCGGAAGAAGCAUAUCUAAAUCACAUUAAAUUAGAUGGAUUUCUUACUAACAAAAGGAUAUCUACCAGAUAAAUUGAGUAAUUCUCAAAAAGAAAAAAAAGAAAAGAGCAGAGUUUAUGCCAUAUGCUCUCAUAUGGAAGGAGUUUGAUCUCACUGAGCACCAUCUUGACACGAUUUUGCGAAUUAGCUGAAUUUUGUGGCCUUGCAAUUCUGAAAUCUACAGUUUCACAUUGGCUGGUUUUGCUGCCAAAACAUAUGUAUGUGGUUUUGUGAAUGGAUAUGAUUUCACAUAUGCAGACACUGAAUAGUAGACAGAUAAGAACAAAGAACUUUUUCCUUGGCCAAGCUGUAGCUUGCAGUGGCCAAUUCUCAUGUUCUUUUGUUCGGAACCUUCCCUCAACAAAUAUAAAUCCAUCCUUCAUUGGAUUUGCUUGUUAUUUAUGGGACCUCCAUUGGUUAAGUUCCAAUGACUACUGACAGAUGUAUAUGACAAGGCCAAUUCAUUUGUAGAUCCUGCUUUAGGCCUCGUUUGGUUAAGGGGGAUUGGGGAGGUUUUGAGAGGGAGGGAUUUCAGGGGAUUGGGUGAAUCCCUUUGUUCCACCCAAUCCUCUCAAAUCCCCGGGGCUUUGCUUCCACUAGUCCCUCGAGGAGGGUUUUGAAACACAUGGAUAGGAAGGGAUUGAAGGGGAACGGAGGGGAUUGGGCUAAUCAAACCCCUCCUACCAAAUGGGCGCCCGAGGAUCUGUGGGGUUUCUGGCCCUCCCGGGGAUUUUCCUCUCAAACCCUUCCCAAUCCCCCUUAACCAAACGAGGCCUUAGUGUCCCAGAUAGGUUAUCUUUUCCAACUUGAACGUUCAGAGCUAGAGUAAGGUCAACUAUGUCAUUUAGAAACAGAGACAAUAGAUCCUUAGGAAAAAUGGUAAAGAAAUCAAAAGAAGAAAAAAGACACGCAUUAGAAAUUUAUUUCUAAGUAACAUAAGAGUAUGAUGGAACCUAAAACAUAAUGAAAUGAAAAUAGAACAUGCAUGAUAAAUAACUUUUGGCAUGAAAGCAGAGCACUGAUACAUUUGGGUGGAAAACGGCACAGCAUUAUUCUUUGUUUUUGUGGUUAUAAUGAUCUUCCACAGAAGUCAUAAACGCAAACAUAUACCUGGACUUAUCAUUUUUAGCGAUUUUCUCUAAGGAAUCAAGAAUAGAAUUAUCAGUUCCAUAGGAGUUAGCAUUCAACAAUCAACAUCUAGUUUGGCGAAGAACACUAAAACAGGAACUACCAGCUUACUACACAGAGUGGAAACUUUGUUGCCCCGUAUGCAGUAACCAAUAAUUUCCUUAGCCCGCUUUUGGUUCAAGCAAAUCUGAAACUAGUUGGCAUUUCCCCUCUGCAAGCAGCCGCAUAAAUUUUGCCAUGAAAGCAGAUCAUACUGAUACAUUUAGGUGGACAAUGACACAGCAAUAUUCUUUUGUUUUCUGGUUUUCAUGAUCUUCCAUAGAAUUCAGAAGCACAAAUUACCCAUGGACUUCUCAUUUUCAGUGAUCUUCUCUAAGGAAUGACAACAUCAACAUAUCAGCAUUCAGGAAUAAAAUUAUGAGUUUCAUAGGAGUUAGCAUUCAGCAAUGACCAAACCAGCGGCAAGUAACAUGCAUACUACAGGAAAAUAACCAGCAUCUAGUUUGGCAUAGAACAACAAAACGAACUACCAACCUGGCCCUUAGCCCUUUUCUGGUUCAAGUAAAUCUGAAAUUACUUGGCAUUUCCCCUCUGCAAGCUGCCGCAUAGUCUUCAGCAAGGUUUGGAGCAGCUUCCUGGUGAGGGCAUAUGCACUUCUUCAUGAAAUACUUCUCGGACCUCGUGACUGCAGUAUAGAAGUUCCAGUCGUGAUCGAGCAAUCCAUUUUCCUUGAGGAACUUCAGAGCAUAGUACCGGGGCUUGAGCCGGCCCUCCAGGCUAUAAUAGAGCAUUACCGGGCGAUGAGCAAUGUACCCCGGUUCCAAGCCCACCUCAGAGACCAGGAACUCGAACCUGUGCCACAGGGUGUCCUUUGACCUCUUGAGCAGCAUUGGAGCCAUAGACAAAGCAGCGACCACCUCGGCAUCCGACCAACUGAACGCCUUCUUCAGGUGGUCCACUUUGGCGGCGAUCUUCUCCUCGCUGAGGAAUGCGACGGCCUGCAGCGCGACCCUGAACAUGCCGGAGCCACGGCGCACGCCCAGACGUUCAGCGCACGCCACCAUUGCCCGGACGCGUUCCGGCUUGUAGCCGAGCAACCUCGGCUCGCAGACACACAGCUUGGCGAUAUCGCAAUCAGCUAGCCCGCACUCCCGCAGGAAGACGACAUUGGGAUUGAUCACCUUGUCCAGGUCCGACGAGAGAAGGUAGGAUGAGCGCCGGAGCGCGCGGAGGAUGCUGUCCAGGGAGCCGAAGAGGGGCAGGUAGUAGUGCAUCUUGGAGACGACGGAUGUGUAGCGGAAGCGGCUGCCGGCGAGCGAGACGAAGCGGGCGAUGUCGGGACGCGACAGGCCGAGGCCGGUGAGCCCGGCGACGACGGGGGCCAGGGUUUUAUCCACUUUGGCGCAGAGGAAAAGCGGGUCUUUGGCGACGACGGCGGCGGCAUCGGCGCCGGAGAGGCCGAGGCCGGAGAGGAAGGCGAGGACGGCGUCGGGCUUGGCGGGGGACUUGAGGUGGGAGAGCUUCUUGGAGGCCUUGAGGGCUUGGGGGCGGGUGAGGCCGCAGGUGUCGACGAGGUACUCCUCCACGGCGAAGCUGCUGGGGUUUGGGGAAACGGGGGCGGCGGCUGCCGCUGCGGAGAGGAGCCGGUGGAGAGGUGAGAUGGCCGGGGCAGAGGUGGAGGAGGAAGAGAGGAGAUGGGAAACGAUGCGCUCUCGGAGGCGGAGCAUCGCGCAGGCGGCGGGCGGCGGCGGCGGCGGUGGCGGUGUCGGGAAGGGGAAGAAGGAAAGAAAUGGGGGCCGGUGAGAAUGGGCUGCCAAUUUUCGGUUCUUGUCGUUGGGUUCAGCAAUCAGCACUGGGCUCUAAUUGGACCCAAUUUUUCAUACCAUGGGCUUACCUCUUCGAUUUUUCCUUUUAAAAUCGCUCUUGUACGUGUAGUUUUUUUUUACCUUCGUUGGAGGUGGCAUAUUUGCAAACAAGCAUCCAUGGAGUGGAGCCAUGGCGAGCACCACCAUGGCAACUGAGAAAUCGGGAGGUGUUGACGGCGAUGCAAUUCGGCGCUCGUCGACGACCGUCGGUGCUGCAACGCAACAAUGCGUCCAGGGCCGCCGGGCUCCGGCGCAACAACUCAACCAUGUCCGUCCUGUUGCGAUGCAACCUCGUCGGCGCUAUUGGUGCUGCAAGUCACCGACGACGAAGCACCAAUGGAGCGCUCAUCAGACGAGUUGUUGCAUUCGUCAAGCGACAGAGGAGAGGCACCAUCUCAGCGAAUGAGGGGAUGUCAGGCGGCCAUCGCCUGAUUCAUCCUCACAACGUCGGGGUUGUAGUAGAGCGCCAAGCGAGGUUGUUGAAGCUCCACCAUUGCUGCAUUGACGUGCCAACGGAGCUGCAUCGCAGCUUCCGACGUCAUCAGAGCUGCAAUGUAGCAUGUCCGGGGCCAUUAGAACUCCACCACUGUUUGCAACGGAGCUUCGCCAAAGUUGCAAUGGAGCACGACCGGGGAUGCAAUGGAACUUCGACGGGGCGUCGACGGUGUUGCGCGCGUCCGAGCUUUUUUCGCAUCGUGGUGCUGCCAUGGAGCUUUAGUGAAGCUUCCUCGGUUUGUGUCGUCGGCAUUGCAAAGUUUUUUUUCAUCGACGUGCUGCUUCGUUGGAGCUCUCAAGUGGCUGGGGUGCUCGCGCCACGGUGGGUGCAUCCUUGCUUCGUUGCACCAUCAAUGCGCUCGCUGUAGAGGAUGCGCGGUGUGGAUUGGCGACGAGCUGCUGCAUGUGAUAUUGAACCAAUCUAACAGUUAUGCAUUGGUCAAUCUGACGGCCAGCAAGGUGGCUGAAGAAUUUUUUUUAUCACCCGAUUGAUUCGUAGCACUGGCGGAAAUUUAGAUCCAGUCGCCUCCGACUGCCAUCUUCCCCAGGGCCGGGCCGGGCCGGCGAAAUUCGAGGUCCGGUGCGAAACUUUAAAAGGGUCCCUACCUCACUAAAAAAAUAUAUAACUAUAAUUUAAUGUAGAGAUCAUAAUAUCUUACGGAGUAAUGAAAAAAAUAUCCAGAAUCAUACUUGUUCUUGGUUGUAAGUCUUCACUUAAAUAACAUCAUUCUUUUAGUGUUCCUUGAAAUAAAAUCUUCAAUAAUAUCCUCAUAAUCAAUCUUCUCCAAUACUUCACUCUCAAGUGCUAUUAUGGUCAAAUCAGUAAGUCUUUGUUGUGUCAUGAUAGUACGCAUAUAAGAUUUCAAUAGCUCCAAUUUUUAAAAGCUUCGUUUGGCUGAUGCAACAAUCACUGGAAUGGUCAAAAGAACUCUAUAUGCAAUACUUGCAUUGGGAAAACAAUCGUGCCGCUUCAAGAACUUUAAAAUUUCAACGGGGCCAAUAUUUUCUUUUGGGAUGAAAUUUUGAAGAAACAUCAGCUCCACAUACAGUUCAUUGGCUUCAAUGUUGGAUUUGCUUAGAAUCCAGAGGAUCCCGAUUUCUUGGAUCAAAUAUAUCAAUAUGAAAAGAAUCACCAACAUUUGCGGUAGGUGUAGUAUUCAAGUUGCCAUCAACAUUAAUAUCCUCAAUAUUAUCACGGUUUUCUUCACAUUCGACAUUAUUUUCUGUCUCAUGAUCAUUUUCGACAUUAUUAUCACGUGCGGGCUCAUGAUCAAGUGAUUGGUUAUCGGAGGACACUCAUGGCUUUUUUUACAACAAACUUGUCCAUAUUUCCAUACUGAGACCGAGUUAAUUCCUUGUCUUUUUGUCUCUUCAAACGCUUUUGAUAACCAAAUUCAUGUUUUCUAAGCAAUGCUAGACGCCCAAUUGAUGAAAAUAAGUUCCAUCCAAACAUGAGCAGUGGUUUUGAAUAUCUCAACGUGAGAAGUAAAAAUAGUUUGUGAUUUGAACAUACAGUUGAAAAAAUUGAAAAAUAAAAACAAAGAGAUCAAAUUUGAAAAAACUACCAGACACAUUAGGGCUCAUCACCAAGUUUGUUCUAAACUCAUAAAAUCAGAUAGAGUCCAUAAAAGACCAUAAUUUGCAUCGUAAUAAACGAGCCCAGUAGAGUAGAGUCCACACACCGCAGCACAGAACACAGAUCCCAGGCGAGUACUUGCAAAUCCCGUCGGAAAUAUCUUGCUCGCCGCCGGCCGCCGCUGCCAUGCUCCGUCUCCGGCGGCGCAUCGUGUCCCAUAUCCUCUCCUCCUCCUCCACCUCCACCUCCGCCAUCUCCCCUCUCCACCGGCUCCUCUCCGCAUCCACAGCCCCCGUUUCCCCAAAUCCCAGUAGCUUCGCCGUGGAGGAGUACCUCGUCGACGUCUGCGGCCUCACCCGGCCCCAGGCGCUCAAGGCCUCCAAGAAGCUCUCCCACCUCAAGUCCCCCGCCAACCCCGACGCCGUACUCGCCUUCCUCUCCGGCCUCGGCCUCUCCAGCGACGACGCCGCCGCCGUCGUCGCCAAAGACCCGCUCUUCCUCUGCGCCGGCGUGGAGAGAACCCUGGUCCCCGUCGUCGACGGGCUCACGGGCCUCGGUCUGUCUAGUACUGACAUCGCCCGCCUCGUCUCGUUCGCCGGCAACAGGUUCCGUUACAGAUCCGUCGUCUCCAGGAUGCACUACUACCUGCCCCUCUUCGGCUCCCUGGACAAUUUCCUCCGCGCGCUCCGGUGCUCAUCCUACAUCCUCUCGCCGGACCUGGACAAGGUGAUCAAACCCAAUGUGGUGUUCCUGCGGGAGUGCGGGCUAGCUGAUUGCGAUAUCGCCAAGCUGUGCUACCGUGCCCGGAAUAUCCUGACCGCCAACCCGGAGAACGUCCGGGCGAUGGCGGCAUGUGCCGAAAGAUUAGGGAUUCCCAGGGGCUCUGGUAUGUUCAGGGAAGCGCUGCACGCUGUCACAUUUGUCAGCGAGGAGAGGAUUGCUGACCAAGUGGAUUAUUUGAAGAAGACGAUCAAAUGGUCUGAUACUGAGGUGGCCAUUGCUCUGUCUAGGGCUCCAAUGUUGCUGAAGAAGUCUAAAGACAUGCUUAGGCACAGGUCCGACUUCUUGAUCUCUGAGGUGGGCUUGGAACCCUGGUACAUUGCUCAUCGGCCGGUGAUCCUCUAUUAUAGCCUGGAGGGCCGGCUCAGACCUCGAUACUAUGUUUUGAAGUUUCUCAAGGAAGCUGGAUUGGUCGAUUGCAACAUGAGCUUCUAUACUGUGGUCACGAGGACCGACAAGUAUUUCGUGGACAAGUUCAUAUGCCCUCACAAGGAAGCUGCGCCACACCUUGCUCAAGACUAUGCAGCCGCUUGCAAAGGGGAGGUGCCAAGUAAUUUUAGAUUUACUUGAACCAAAAGUGAGCCAAGGAAAUUUGUUAUUAUGUAGUAUCACGCAACAAAGUUUUCACUCUGCAUUAGUAAGCUGGUAGUUCCUGUUCUGGUGUUCUUUGCCAAACUAGAUUUUUAGUUAUUUUCUGUAGUAUGCGUGUUACAUGCCGGUUUNNNNNNNNNNNNNNNNNNNNNNNNNNNNNNNNNNNNNNNNNNNNNNNNNNNNNNNNNNNNNNNNNNNNNNNNNNNNNNNNNNNNNNNNNNNNNNNNNNNNNNNNNNNNNNNNNNNNNNNNNNNNNNNNNNNNNNNNNNNNNNNNNNNNNNNAAAUGCUAACUCGUAUUCUAUUCCUGGACCCUGAUAUGUUGAUGUUGUCAUUCCUUAGAGAAAAUCUUUGUGUCUUCCUGAUAAUUUUAUUCCUGAACCCUAAAGUCUAAUUAUAUUUUCCUAAAUCAUGGUUGAGCGAAAUAUGUGUUGCCAGUUACAUUCUGUCAUGUGUUCAGAUUUUAAAAAUGAUCUGGGAAGUGGACUUUGCCGGCAUUCCUCCUUCAGAUACGUGGACAUGAGCCAAUGCAGCCUGCCAAGAUGGUGCUCAGUGAGAUCAAACUCCUUACACAUAAGAGCAUGUGGCAUAAACUCUGCUUGCUCUUUUUUUUUUUCUUUUUUUUUUUUAGAAUUACUCCUCAAUUUAUCUGGUACAUAUCCUUUUCUUAGUAAGAAAUCCAUCUGUUUUAAUCUGAUUAAGAUAUGCUUCUUCUGGUCAUUGGUUGAUUUCAUUACUGAAAUCUUCACUUGCUUCUCGUUGUAUCAUUGCUUCAUGUCAUUAGUUUAAUUCAUGCCUUACACUUAGUUGUCCAUAGCUGCAGAACUGUAGGGAAAAUAUCAUGUGGANNNNNNNNNNNNNNNNNNNNNNNNNNNNNNNNNNNNNNNNNNNNNNNNNNNNNNNNNNNNNNNNNNNNNNNNNNNNNNNNNNNNNNNNNNNNNNNNNNNNNNNNNNNNNNNNNNNNNNNNNNNNNNNNNNNNNNNNNNNNNNNNNNNNNUAGUGUCCUGGUUAUAUUUUACCUCUCUUUAAUGUGGUCCUCGUUUUCUAGUUUACGGAUUCUUUGUUAGUGCUCCUUUGCAUUGCAAUCAUGUGCGUUUGUUGUCAGAUUGGCGCUGUCUGUGAUCUUGUAACACAGUAUAUACUUAUACAAUUGAAAAUACUGUUUUUAUUGCUGCCACAGCAAAAUUGCUGUAUUGUUAAUGGUCGCAGCAGAUUUGGAGAGCAUAGUUUUUUUUAUUUGCAAGAUCUUACUUAGCUGACCUGGAGACAUUGGGCACGAACUCGCAUAUCGCCUUAAGUUAAAUACACAUGAUUUAGUAAGUUUCACAAUCUUACUUUUCAUCCGAAUUUUAGUCGGUGGUGUUGAUAUUCGAAACUAGGGUCCAACUUACUCAAAUGGUACUGAGGUUUGGUAGCCUCCUUUCUGAAGAAAAGAAGUUGUUAAUGGGACCUUCGCUGGCAAUCAAUCCCGAAACACAGUCGGGAGCAUGCCCAAUCCAAGUCAGGUCAGCACCUCCGGUCCUAAACCCAUACGCAGCCAGUUCAUGAGUUACAUUAUUACUGUUAAGCUUCAUGCACUGGCCAACACAAUCAAAAGUACGAACUGAUGAAAAGGCUAGUGCAAUCCAUAUAUACUGUAACAUCCCCUCUCACGUGUGACGGGAAAGACAAGUGACUCAACUGGCUUCUACGUGGACACAAAGGGAGGCUACCAACAAUUUUUUAAAUUGCAAAAGCCAGGACUUGAACUCAAGACCUUAGCUCUGAUACCAUGUUAAGCUUCAUGCACUAGCCAACGUAAUCAAAAGUCCGAACUGAUGGAAAGGGCUAGUGCAAUCCACAUAUACUGUAACAAUUACAUCCACGAUGGCAGAAACUAAACUUGAAAGACUCAAAGUUUGCAUAACAUAGUUGAUUGGAGACAUGGGAGGGUUUCUCCUCCCGCCCCCGUGGUCGCAGAAAUUUAGGGAAACUCUCUAAUUCAUCUGACUCAUUUUUUGUCUCGUAAACCUCUCUUUCCACGUGCCCCGUGUGAAGGUGCCGCACACCACUUUCCCACCCUUAUCUCUAGUGAAGCAACCUCCUCCACAUAUCUCUUUCUUCCCCUGCCAUCUCAUUGAAGGAGCCAUGGCGAGACAACCACUUUAGCUGGCAAAUUGAAAAGGGUUGCCGCCGUAGUCGACGCUAGCGUCCACUGCUCCUCUGCUGCAUCAUCGGAGGUGGCAUAGUUGCAAACAAGCAUCCAUGGAGUGGAGCCAUGGCGACCACCACCAUGGCAGCUGGGAAAUCGGGAGGUGUUGCCGGCGAUGCAAUAUGGCGCUCGUCGACGACCGUCGGUGCAACAACGCAACAAUGCGUCCAGGGCCGUCGGGCUCCGAUGCAACAACUCAACCAUGUUCGUCCUGUUGCGAUGCAACCUCGUCGGCGCUACUGGUGCUGCAAGUCGGCGGCGGCGAAGUGGCAAUGGAGCGCUCAUUAGAUGAGUUGUUGCAUUCGUCAAGCGACAGAGGAAAGGUACCAUCGCAGCGAUUGAGGGGACAUCAGCUGACCGUUGCCUGAUUCAUCCUCACAACGUCGGGGUUGUAGUAGAGUGCCAAGCGAGGUUGUUGAAGCUCUGCCAUUGCUGCACUGAAGCACCACCGGAGCUGCAUUGCAGCUUAUGACGUCGUGAGAGCUGCAAUGGAGCAUGUUUGUGGCCAUUAGAGCUCCACCACGGCUGCAAUGGAGCUUCACCGAAGCUGCAAUGGAGCACGACUGGGGCUGCAAUGGAACUUUGACGGGCAUCGGCGGUGUUGGGCGUGUCUGAGCCAUUUUCGCGCCGUGGUGCUGCCAUGGAGCUUUAGUGAAGCUUCCUCGGUUGUGUCGUCAGCAUUGCAAAGCUUUUUUUCAUCGGCGGUGCUGCGUUGGAGCUCUCUAGUGGCUCAGGUCGGCGGCAGUCAUGCCAUGGUGGUUGCUUCGUUGCACCAUCAAAACGCUCGCUGCCGAGGAGGUGCAGUGUGGAUUGGCGGCGAGGUGCUGCAUGCGAUAUUGAACCAAUCUAACAGCUAUGCAUUGGGCAAUUUGACGGCCAACAAGGUGGCUUAAGAAUUUUUGUUAUCACCCGGUUGAUUCGUAGCACUGGCUGAAAUUUAGAUCUUAUCGCCUCCGGCUGCCAUCUUGGCGCUCAGAGGUGGGGGGCCUCGGAUCUUUAAGACCUCUAUAUUCCUCAUCGAUGUCUAGUGAUCAUCAUAAUUUUGUAAGAAUAAUUUUUCUCUUGUUUUUUUAUGGUAUCAUGAAAUUAGAGAGUUUUCUGUCCUCGCAGAUCCGAUGAGUUUAUGUUGUCGUGUCAAGCUUUUUGUUGUCAUUCUGAUUCUUUGUGGAGGUGAAAUCUUCCAUCGACGCCAUGGUGAAGAUAUAGUGAUUCAACGGCCUGCACUUCUGGGGAUCACCCUCGGCGAAAGUAUGUUCAUCGAUCAAGGUGUCCCGUCAUAUUGGAUGGCCGAUUCAAUGCACUUUUACAAAACCAUUAGUACUAAUGUUCAUACAGUCAAGCACAGAUUCAUACCAUCUAGAAGGUGUUUACAAGAGAUUUCUUUGUAAUUCUUAGUCAUAUCGUUGUAAGAGUUACUUUGUAUUUUGUUGGACCUAUGUCCAAAUCAGUGUAUCUGUAAUUGUCAUGAGUAUGAAUAAAGGUAUAGGUGUUUCUCAAAAAAACUCUUCAAAUUUUAAUCGUCGACACCGGACUCUCCUCUAUUAAUGGUCCAAGAUCCGGCAACACUCGAGGUGAUCACUUGUAGGGAUGCGAUCAUUUGCAGAAUCCAGCAAAAAAUUAGAGGAUGGUCGAUUUUAUCGAAUCACUUUCAGGCGUUACAUACGAAUCCGUCUGCCAUAUCUACAGUUAUUAUAGUAGACAGGUUGUUUUACCAGAUCUGCUAGAGAUGCUCUUAUAUCCUUGCAAAAGACCUUCUCCCUCAGCAACUCACUGUUGCUUUUGAUUCUAAGUAGUGGAACAUAUCAAUAAAUGGCAAUCAAGAACGUUAUUGUCCCAUUUAAGUGAGAUACAACUACGAGCAACUAUUUUCAAUUGUAAAUUUACAUUUGAAGGUCGUGAUUCGAAAAAUGAAGCACAUAUUCUAGUCAAGUUUCCGCAUUCAUUAGAUUAGGACGCCAUGCGUGGCUAGGACAACUCCAUGAUUCGAGAAGUAUUCUUUAUUUUGUGGCAUUUGAUCAAUAAAACUCGGCUUUAUACCCCUACAAAUAUUAAUGAGUUUAUCUUCUCAGAUAAAAAAAAGGAGUUUCUCUCCCUUCUCUCACGCAGUGAUUUUCUCCUUCUUUGUACUUAAGUAACUCUUUUCUUUAAAACACAAUGCAGAAAGACGCUCGCAACACACACACACACACACGCAUACUCAUCCUUAUGAACACGCGGAAAGAACCGUAGCUCUAUGAGUACUUCAGAGUGACGUCCAACAAGCAUCACGGCCACAAUUGGAUGGUUGAAAGAAGUCGAUGCUUUGGUCUCCUCCACUGGAACACUCCAAGACAUCAAACACCUCUGCCUCGAUUACCAUCGUGAAUAUUAUGGAAAUUCUAGGCAACCGGAGUCAUUACCUGAUCCUUAGAAGCGUGUCGAGGUACUUGAUCUAGCAAAAUGGAAGUUCGAUAGAGUUCCCAAAUGGAUUUGUGAGCUAUGUUGCAUCUAGUUCCUCGAUCUAUGUGUCUUACAACUUUCGAGUGAUGACGUUCGUUUUCUUGGAGAGCUUCCCUUCAUGGUCGAUGCCACGUGUUGGAUGUCUCCCAAAAAAAAGUCAUGGUCAGCACGGGGUUGUUCCUAGUUUUAAAGUAUUUAAGUUUCGAGUUUCGAGGCAGGAGCUAUGGCAAGUACCAACGCCCGUCGUGAAAUUCGGCUACACGGAGUGGAGAGGCGCUACACGAGUGGGUAUGGAAUGUUUGCCCUGCCUCUAGGACAUCCGCACCGCCACACGUGUCUCAUCAACAGCAGCACCGAGUCCAGCAAACAAGAAAAGAAAAAAGUUGAUCCAACCGCCGACCCUAAAGCCUCAGUAAAUGCCUAGCUAUCCAACACUCCUUAGGGCAUGUACAAUGCAUAGCCUCAACGUGAUGUCUCGUAUGUCAUGUAGGAGAUCAGAUGUCAGGAAAAGUAGAUUCGGAUGAGCAAGCAAGAUCCUUUGUAGGAGGCACGUGCUUGAAGAGAAAAAGUAUUGUCCGGUAUAAAAAGCGGAAAAAGUUAGAAUAGAAAGUAAAGGUGCAUGUGUAUUAGUCUUUAUUUUCUAUUUUUUGAUGAGACCCACUAAUAGCAGCUUGCAUUGCAGAGAAAAAACAAUAUAUACGCCACACGUUAAUUUUUAUCAUGGAACAUAUGUAUCCAUAUGUCAUCACUAUACAUGCUUAUAUUGCCCACAAAGAAUUUGGUCCAACAUGGACAACAUUUUCUCUUUGUUUAUUCUUCUCCUUCUUUCUCUCACUCCAUCUGCACCAAUGACAUACAUGACCGGAUGGAUAGGGAAAAGGUGGAGAACAUGACUGUGAAAAUGAAAAUUUGAGAGGUGACAAAAUUAGGCGUACACGGCCGUAGAUGCUCUGUCACUUUUAUGUUUAUCAAUGGUUUACCAAAUUUGCAUCGCACUCAGCACUCUGCAUUUCAACGUGUUUAACUAUGGUGGCAAGUGGCAUUGAAUUUGCUGAAGCACUGAACGCUUUUGUUGCAUUUGCACGUACAUGGCAAUGCUCUGAGUUUGGAACUCUGUAAUGCCCCUGAGGCCAUGCUUGGAAUGGAUGUACUCACUCCAUUUCUUUAUACAAGGUCGGAAUAAAAAAUACAUUUUACAUCUAUAUAAAGCUCCUUCCAAUGUUUCAUCUUGUACGGAUGCUAAGACUGCCGUGUAAAAAAAUAUGAUGUGGCAAAUUAAUUAAUAGAAGAGAUAUGAGUGUGGUGACCCCAAAAAGUUACAAUACUAAGCGCAUAAACCUAGGCAAAAUAUUUAAAUGAAAGAAGCCCACCAAUGCAUGAAUAACCUCAGUUUCAAAAUCAUUAAAUGAAGGAUGCUUAACAACAACAAGUUAAGCAGCAAUGCAUUGGGGCUUUACCGCUUUAGUUACUAAACUUUUAAACGUGCUUAGCACCUCAUGUAAGCACCUUUGCAUUGGAAGAGGCCUAAGGCCACUAACAGUAAUUAAGAUACAAGUUAAUGAUGUCUUUUUUGUACUAGCAACUUGUUUAAUGCUUGCAUCCAUGUAAUCAUAAUGACACUUAGCUGCUUUCUUCUCAUUUUCUUCCUUGGGUGCAUGCAAUAUAUUAAUGAUUUCCGUUAAAGAAAAAAACAGCUGGCUUACAAAAUAGUCAUUAAAUUUACCUUGAUACCUAUAAUCUAAGUUUGUGAUUUUGUAUAAAGGAAUGAAUGGAGUAUUUCGAUACAUAGGUGUAUUAAAUACACCUGUAACUUAGUAGCCAUUGUGCAAAUUCCAGCCGGAAAUGAAACGACGGACACAUAUGUAUACUUUUUUUACAAGUGCAUUUAAAAGACAAACGGUGAUCCAAAUAUGGCCAGGAUAUACAUCACACCCUAAACAAAUUAACACAGAAACAACAUCACAUUUAUCACCAAAUAAUAAACUGACAUCAUGCAAAUUUAUGGAAUUUUCUGGUUGCAAGCUUUCAAAUCUGCACACUGAAGCUUCUACAAUGGGAAAGCAUAAAGUUAAAAGUAGCAACAAUUUCAUUCAUUUUCAGGGCUAUUUGACCAGAGCACCUGUAAGCCGUGUUGCCAGAGCUGCAUGCAAAUUUCUUGGCAAAAAACUCCAUCGCCAUGGUUACACGUCUCAUAUCAGAACAAAACCAUUCACAAUACUCAAAAGUCAAAACGCAUGGAAAUUUCCUGCCCAUGAGGUCUGAUGGUGACCGCUGCGGCGGAAAUUUCGAGUAAGGGAUCGGAGCAAAAAUAUUGGAUGGUUACAGCAGAACGCAUUGUUAGCCGGACAUAACUGGUGCAUAACUCCCAACUCAACCAAUCCAAAAAUUUCAGCUUGUUAGAAUUGAGCAUGAAAAACCAUGUUAUGCUCUACUAUGAAGGGAGUCUGGAAUCUAAAUGCUAAUGAACCACAGAACCAAUAAAAUUGUUGCCAUCAAUAACUUUUUUUUAGAAAGGAGGCUACCGAACCUCACUACCAUUUGAGUAAGUUGGACCUUAGUUUCAACUUUCAAAUAUCAACACCACCGACUAGAAUUUGGAUGAAAAGUAAGAUUGUGAAACUUACUAAAUCAUGUGUAUUUAAGUUAAGGCAAUAAGCAAGUUCGUGCCCAAUGUUAUCUAUCUCCAGGUCUACAGCUAGGUAAGAUCUUGCAAAUAAAAAAACUAUGCUCUUCAAAUUUGCUGUGACCAUUAACAAUACAGCAAUUUUGCUGUGGCAGCAAUAAAAACAGUAUUUUAAAUUGUAUAAGUAUAUACUCUGUUACAAGAUCACAGACAGCGGCAAUCUGACAACAAACACACAAGAUUAUAAUGCAAGGGAUCACUAACAAAGAAUCCGUAAACAAGAAAAACUGGACCACAUUAAAGAGAGGUAAAGUAUAACCAGGACACUANNNNNNNNNNNNNNNNNNNNNNNNNNNNNNNNNNNNNNNNNNNNNNNNNNNNNNNNNNNNNNNNNNNNNNNNNNNNNNNNNNNNNNNNNNNNNNNNNNNNNNNNNNNNNNNNNNNNNNNNNNNNNNNNNNNNNNNNNNNNNUCCACAUGAUAUUUUCGACAUGAAGCAUGAGUUCAACUAAUGACAUGAAGCAAUGAUACAACGAGAAACAAGUGCAGAUUUCAGUAAUGAAAUCAACCAAUGACAAGAAGAAGAAUAUUUUAAUCGAAUUAAAAUAGAUGGAUUUCUUACUAACAAAAGGUUAUCUACCAGACAGAUUGAGGAGUACUUCUCAAGAAGUUAAAAGAGCGAGCAGAGUUUUAGGGCACAUGCUCUUCUUGCUGGAAGAAGUUUGAUCUCACCGAACACCAUCUUGGCAGGCUGUGUAUCGGAAGGUGGGGUGCCAGCAAAUUCCAGUUUCCAGAUCACUCUUUAAAUCUGAACACAUGAGAGAAUGGAACUGGCAACACAUGUUUCCCUCAACAAUGACUUGGGAAAAUAUAAUUAGACUUUAUGGUUCAGGGAUAAAAUUAUCAGGAAAGCACAAAGAUUUUCUCUAAAGAAUGACAGCAUCAACAUAUCAGGGCCCAGGAAUAGAAUUAUCAGUUUCAUACGAGUUAGCAUUUNNNNNNNNNNNNNNNNNNNNNNNNNNNNNNNNNNNNNNNNNNNNNNNNNNNNNNNNNNNNNNNNNNNNNNNNNNNNNNNNNNNNNNNNNNNNNNNNNNNNNNNNNNNNNNNNNNNNNNNNNNNNNNNNNNNNNNNNNNNNNNNNNNNNNNNAAACCGGCAUGUAACAGGCAUACUACAGAAAAUAACCGACAAUCUAGUUUGGCAAAGAACACCAAACCAGGAACUACCAGCUUACUAAUGCAGAGUGAAAACUUUGUUGCGUGAUACAUACUAACCAAUUUCCUUGCCCACUUUUGGUUCAAGUAAAUCUGAAAUUAGCUGGCACCUCCCCUUUGCAAGCGGCUGCAUAGUCUUCAGCGAGGUGUGGUGCAGCUUCCUUGUGAGGGCAUAUGAACUUCUCCACGAAAUCCUUCUCGGCCUUCGUGACCACAUUAUAGAAGCUCCUGUCUCGAUCGUCCAAUCCAUUUUCCUUGAGAAACUUUAAAACAUAGUAUCGAGGCCUGAGCCGGCCCUCCAGGCUAUAAUAGAGUAUCACCGGCCGACGAGCAAUGUAGGCCGGUUCCAACCCCAGUUCAGACAUCAAGAACUCGGACCUGCGGCUAAGCAUGUCUUUAGACUUCCUCAGCAACAUUGGAGCCUUAGACACAGCAAUGGCCACCUCAGUAUCAGACCAUUUGAUUGUCUUCUUCAAAAAAUCCACUUUGUCAGCAAUCUUCUCCUCGCUGAAGAAUGCGACAGCGUGCAGCGCUUCGCUGAACAUACCAGAGCCCCUGGGAAUCCCUAAUCUUUCGGCCCAUGCCGCCAUCGGCCGGACAUGCUCGGGGUUGGUGGUCAGGAUCCUGGGCACACGGUAGCACAGCUUGGCAAUAUCGCAAUCAGCUAGCCCGCACUCCCGCAGGAACACGACAUUGGGAUUGAUCACCUUGUCCAGGUCCGACGAGAGAAGGUAGGUUGCGCGCCGGAGCGCGCGGAGGAUGUUGUCCAGGGAGCCGAAGAGGGGCAGGUGGUAGUGCAUCUUGGAGACGACGGAUCUGGAGCGGAAGCGGGCGGGGGUGAGGGAGACGAGGCGGGCGAUGUCAGGACUAGACAGACCGAGGCCCGUGAGCCCGUCGACGACGGGGACCAGGGUUCUCUCCACGCCGGUGCAGAGGAAAAGCGGGUCUUUGGCGACGACGGCGGCGGCAUCGGCGCCGGAGAGGCCGAGGCCGGAGAGGAAGGCGAGGACGGCGUCGGGCUUGGCGGGGGACUUGAGGUGGGAGAGCUUCUUGGAGGCCUUGAGGGCUUGAGGUCGGGUGAGGCCGCAGGCGUCGACGAGGUACUCCUCCACGGCGAAGCCACCGGGGUUUGGGGAAACGGGGGCGGCGGCUGCCGCUGCCGAGACGAGCCGGUGGAGAGGGGAGAUGGCGGAGGUGGAGGUGGAGGUGGAGGAGGAGAUGAUAUGGGCAAAGAAACGCUGCCGGAGACGGAGCAUGGCGCAGGCGGCGGCGGCGGCCGGCAGCAAGGAAGAUAUUUCCGAUGGGAUUUGCAAGUUUGUUUUUUUUAGACAAGCAAGGACUAUAGAUCUAAAAAAAAGGAGGACUUUGUUGGGCUAGUUUCCUACGCUGAAAUUCAGUCUUUUAUGGGCCUUACAGCACGUGAGUUUGUUUGUGUCUCCUCUCUCUUUGUUAUUUUUUAAGUUUUUCAAGAUCACUGGUUAAUGGUUAAGGGUACCUCACUCUCACUUUGUAUGUUGGUAACAAGUGGCGUAUCAACAUGUGGUUGGAUGCUUAGGAGAACAGUGGUAUUCUCUGCCCAUCGGACUUUAAGUCAUAAACUUGACAUUGAUGCUUGCGUAUUUCUGGAUUUAUUUCAGGUCUUUUCAUGACGUACGUUCAGUAAAAGGAGAUGUUUCCAUCGACUGCAAAUGCGUCUAUGACGGCUUUGUCAAUCUCAAGACAAUGUGCUAGUUCUGUCUCUUAAAGGUGGUCAUAGGAAGAUGAUGUGUGUGCGUGCAUUUAGAGAUGAGUGUAUGUGCGUAUGUAUGAGCGUCUGCAUUCAUACCAUGUUAAAAAAAGUGACGUCCUAUAUGUAUGAUACUUAUGGCAACCCGAGGGUUUUAUCUUUUUUUUUUCAUUGGUUUUCUCAGAAUGUUUUUUAUUUCUUCAACUGUGCGUACAAAUCACACACCGUUUUCACCACUGUGUUUCUCGUGUUGAGAUCUUUAAAACUAAUACUCAGUUUCAUAAUGUAAGACAUCUUUAACAUUAUGAUAAUAUCAAAAAACGUCUGACAUUAUAGCAUGGAGGUAGUACUGUUCAUGUUUGGAUGAAAUUCCUUUUAAGAAGAGACUGAAGAAAUUCAAAACUAAAAAAGAUAAAGAAAAUUAACAAAACAUGAAAACAAUGAAACCAAGAAACCCUAAAAAAAGUGUGAAAAACACAUAUGUGCUUUUUACUUUUGGCUGGAGUGCCUCAACGCAUGUCCGCUAGGGUCACAUUUAAAACUUGAAGAAUUUUUGUUUGACACAGUAGCGGGACACCAGGAUGUAAAUGGCGGGGGAGACCACUUGUUCCGCAUAUGCCGUCCAUUUAAAAGAGGCUAAAUGAUGUAUCUAGACUCCCAUUGAAAUUAAGUGAAAUACAUGAACAUCCCAUGAAAUUCCGCAUACACCAGUCGCAACCAGCACCAAAUCCUUUCUUAAGUUCUGACACCAAAAGUUCCGACGUCACCCAGCUACAACAAUAAUUCUACACGUGUUUCCACUCCGACACACGGCCCACCUUCCGCAAGCUUCAGUAUUGAUGUGCAUAUAGUACCAGCCGAGCUGCUUAGUGCCAACCGCUUCUCAUCUGCGCUUGGAAUCACCUACGACCACUCUCCUCAGGUUAAUUCCGUAUUAAGUGGUCAUAUGUGAAUGCCACAUUAGCCACAUAUAUAUUAAGUGGUCUUUGACAUAAUCCCGUAUAAACACUAAUGGCUAGCACGGGCAAGUCCCAUAUAGUCGAGUGAUCUUCCACUUACAUCCUAAGCGGGACCGUCCAUUAGCUGUGUCGCUCGACGGCUUCUCGCUUCGCUCGAUCGAUUCGUUCUGGUUUCUUUUUUCUUUCUUUUCGUUUACUGUUGUAUUUUUAUUCGGCUUUCUUUGUUCUUUCUCAGUAUUCUUAGUUUUUUUUUCUUCACUACAUUUUCUAUUUUCUUUUGUUAUUGCAACAUUUUUGGGUUUUAUUUCUUCAUUUAUACUCUCUUUUUCUUUGUUUUUUUCCUUCCAUUUUUUGGGGUUGUUUUGUUUUUUUGUUCUCUAUUUGUUUCAUUGUCGGAUUUGUCGCUUGUCUUUCUAACAAAUGUCUAGUUUUCUCAUAUAUGUUGUACAUUUUCCGUAUUCAUGUAAAACAUUUUUUAUACUUGUUUAUUUUUUUUGUUAUACAUGUUUAACAAUUUUACCAAAAUAUGUUUUAAAUACGUGUUAACUAUUUUUCCAAUAAAUAUUGAAACUCUUUUUGAUUGAUAAUAUACAUUUUUUAUAUCUGUGCAAUUUUUUUCUGAAAAUGUCAUGAAUAAAUUACUGAAACUUGUGAAUAUUUAUUUAAAUGCGACAUACUCCCUCCGUUCCUAAAUAUAAGUCUUUCUUGAGAUUUCACUAAUAGACUACAUACGGAUGUAUAUAGACAUACUUUAAAGUGUAGAUUCAUUCAUUUUGUUCCGUAUGUAGACUCCUAGUGAAAUCUCUUAAAAGACUUAUUUUUAGGAACGAAGGGAGUACAUUUUAAUGCAUGGAACAUUUUUUUGAGCUACAUUAACAUUUUUUAAUUGUCACGUACUUUAUUCUUUGAAAUGUGACAUUUUUUAGUUUUAACAAACAUUUUUAAUACACAUGAUAAACAUUUUUUAGUUUUCACAAACAUUUUUAAUACACAUGAAUGAUUUAGGUGGGUUACCAAAUCAAACAACCGUCUUUUACUAAGCAAAUCCUGCCCUCGUUAGUUAUUAUUUGAGAAUUAGACUAUGGGCUUAGAUGCCUAGCCCAAUGUACUCUACUAUCUUGGUUGGCCUAACUCCCGCACACCAUUCCGUGCGGCCUUGGGUCAUCCACAAUUUUGUUGCAGUAAUAUGAGUCACAACAGUGUGCCAUAUAUGACGAUCAACAUGACACGACGAGUUGGCGGCGGCACUCCGGGGCCUUCGACACCGUGCGAAUCCUGCAGGUUGUCGUCGACGCGCGCGCCUUGUGGAGCGCCUGCACGAGGCGUCUGUUUAAGAAAACGUUAUGACAAUUCCAUAUUUUUUCCAACAUAAAACACAUACUCUUAGAUGGAUCUAGGCUUUAUGCUUAGUGUGAGUAUGUGGUAACAAGCUCCGGAGCAUGCUUGUUAUGCUCGCCCAUGGUGGAAGGUUAAAUUUACAUGAAUUGUGCGCUAUAAUAACCGAGUGAAAGGACAUGAGAAAAUAAGUGGUGUGUUGAUUUAUCGUGGUUAUAGUAAAACACCUUUCACUGUCUUGCCAUAUGUGCACUGGCCAGUUUUUCGUCGCCAACAUAUUGAUUUUUUUAUAGUGGUUACUUUGAGUUUCCAAAUGUAUUUUGUGUGAGACAUGUAACACUCUUUGACCAUCCCGGCAUACAAAGAAUGAACACGGUAUAUACCGGACAUAAGACAUCUGGUUCAUACAUGUGGAUCUGUUACCUGCCGUCAACGUAUUAACAAGGCAGGGCAAUGCUGUCCAUGCACCACGCAUCUUUCCAAAACCUCGUGUCUUUAUCAUUCCGAUCCACGAACGAAACCUGCACUAAAGAAAUCCUGCUUAACUUGUACUCCCUCCGUAAAGUAAUAUAAGACGUUUUAUAGAGGUAGUACGUUAUCACAUGAGACAGAUUUUGAAGUGGGCACAUGCAAUUUGGAAGUAUGUUUGGUGAACACUUUUGGCGGCGACGACGCGGGCAGUUUGAAAGUACGUUCUUUUGAAGGGUUUUGAAAGUAUGUUCUAGAGAAAAGAGAAAUCCAGUUGUCACCUUCAGUAAGGGUCCAGCGUAAUCGUGGCGUGACAAGCAAUCGUACUUGGAGUGAGCUUCGUUGCAGUUUUGCUUUAGUCACGCCUGCGGGUGGACGCACGCGCGGCUCCGAUCGACCGUGGGAUAUAUAUGCUGGAGUAGGGUGGAAUUCACCAUCAGUUUCUUGUAGUGCUUCUCGUAGAAGAUCACGCAAAGCAGCACUCUUAACAAAAAAAAAAGCAGUUGCUUGAAGGGUCGAUCCAUUCCAUGGCGAACCUCGGGGCGUUAGCCUCACUCGCCGCCAUCGUCGUCCUCGCCGAAGUCGCCAUCCUCUCGUCGUUCGCGGCGGCGCAGCUUCGGCCGGACUACUACGCCGGCGUCUGCCCCAACCUGGAGGGCAUUGUCCGGGACUCCGUUAAGCAGUCCAUGGCCAAGUCCCCCAUCUCCGCGCCCGCCACCCUCAGGCUCUUCUUCCACGACUGCGCCGUCAUGGUAUAUGUGCUACACAUUGACGCAAGUAAUCGAUGGCUAUGGGCAAGACUCACCGGCACUUGCAAGCGUGCAGGGCUGUGACGCGUCGGUGAUGAUCGUCAGCCCGACCGGCGACGACUAUUCGCUGAAGCCGGAGGGCUUCCAGACGAUCCUGGAUGCCAAGGCCGCCGUGGACAGCGACCCUCAGUGCCGUUAUAAGGUGUCCUGUGCCGAUAUAAUCGCCCUCGCCGCAAGAGAGUCCGUCUUCCAGGUAGUGUUGGUCUAGCCAAAAGCUAUGAAAAUCGAUAACCAAGCUAUAGUGAAACAAAUUAAUAUCAUAUAUACAGAUAAACUUGACAAUUGACAUGCAUACAUAUAUGAUAUAUCAUGUAUACUUGACAGCCAUAACAAAGUAAACACUGGCAUACAGCCAAGUAUAGCAACAAAGCGUUGAACCAUAACAAAGGCAUAGCAGAAAGCAUCCAGCCAUAAUAAAGCAAAAGCUUGGCAUGUACUCCCUCCGUCUCAAAAUAACUGUCUCAACUUUGUAUUAGCUCUAGUAUAAAAUUGUACUAAGCUUGAGACACUUAUUUUGGGACGGAGGGAGUACUACUAUAGCUUUAGAGUGACGCUGAAUUGACGUCCAAAUUUAGUACUAACUCACACUAUAGCACAUUGUUAUCAACAAAAUCAGUUUAGCACAUAACACGUCUAGCUUUUGCGCAAUGGCCAGUUAUUCCAAAUAAAAUGCAGUAGUUGGACCACCAUCUUCCUUCGCCAUGAGACGGCCAUGCAUGAACCAAUGUGUUGCAGAGCGGAGGGCCGAACUACACGGUGGAGCUGGGCAGGUACGAUGGGAAGAUCUCGACGACGAACAACGUAACGCUCCCGCACGGCGACGACAACCUCGACAGCCUCAAUGCCUUCUUCUCAACCUUGGGCCUCUCCCAGGCCGACAUGAUCGCAUUAUCAGGUACGUGAUUCAGCUGAAAAAAUGUCAUCAACUUGUGAAUCUGAUCACGUCGGCCAACCAGUUGUUCACCAUCAUCUACCACCCCCUCAGGUGCCCACACCUUGGGCGCGGCGGACUGCAGCUUCUUCCAGCACAGGACCAGGGGCAAGGACCCGAGCAUGAACCCAAGCUUUGACGCGCAGCUCCAGGGCACCUGUGCCAGGCAAAACUUCGCAUUCCUGGACGACGUGACACCGGUGGGAUUUGACAACUUGUACUUCCAGCACCUGCAGAACGGCAGGGGCCUCCUGGGCUCCGACCAGGUGUUGUACACAGACGAGAGAUCACGCAGCACCGUAGACUACUACGCGUCCAACCAGGGCAUCUUCUUCUAUGACUUUAGCGUCGCCAUGACAAAGCUUGGCAGGGUAGGGGUCAAGACGGCCGCUGACGGCGAGAUACGCCGUGACUGUCGGUAUCCAAAUUAGAUACUUGUAUGGCCUCAGAAGAUUUCUCAUUGUCUCAACAUAUCGCUGUCUAUAAAUGGUGGACUAUAAAAUGUUUAAGGGUCAAUCCCAUAUAUGCCAUUGAAAGUUUACCCAUACCCUCAUAUGCCAUUCCAAAUUUUCCUCUCGCAAAUAUGUCACUGAAAUAUUGCACCACGUACACAUAUAUAUGCCACUACCGUCAGUUGAUUUGAAAAUACGAUUUUGCCUUUGGUAAUAUCCUGUGAUGAUUUAGCCAAAUGACUGAAUUUUGCAGUGUAGUAAAUAUAUCGGAACACGGGACCCGCUCAUAACUGCACUUCUAUGUGAUGAUUUAGCUUGCCAUUUUUAAUUUCAUAAUCCAUAAUCAAGAGAAAACAAGAUUUACCCAUUGUUAAAAUAACAAUUUCACCAUUUCAUAGGUUAAGAGAAGAACAGAUCUGAGCAUAAGAACUCGUCCAACAUAAUACUCCCUCCAUUUCCUUAUAUAAGGCAAGAAACUCAGAUUACAGGUAUCAAGGUAAAAAUUAAUGACUACUUUGCAUUUUAACUUUUCUUUUUGUUAACCGUGAUCAUUAAUGCGCCACAUACAUGCAAAGGAGGAAUGAGAAGAAAGAAGCUAAGUGAUGUACUCGGUGUAUUUUUUAGAUGACAUUUUUGAAUGCCAUGUGGAGCUCACUCGAGCGUGCUGGCAACCUAGCUCCGCGUGAAUAAGCUUUUUGCUUGGUCAACACUCAAAACAAACAAUGAAUAAACCAGAGCAUUGCCGUAAGCCAGGACUGGUUCAGCCACAAGUCAUACCCCCAGAUCCAUGGCACACACACAUAUGGGAUUUCGUGGAAGUCUUACCCAAGCCUUGGGGUUUUGAUGUGAUCCUUGUGGUUAUCGAUAAACUAACAAAGUUCGCCCGCCUUUUGUCUCUCAAACAUCCCUAAACAGCUCAACAAGUGGCGCUGUUGUUCUUUUAUCAGGUCUACCGUCUGCAUGGUAUGCUGCCGUCUCGGAUGAUUUCUCAUCGUGAUCCGGUGUAGACCAGUUUGUUCAGGCAAGAAUUGUUGAGGCUUUCAGAUACUUUGUUGAACAGGAGCUCGACCACACAUUGUGGACUUCUACGCGGCCAACCAGGGCACCUUCUUCUCCGACUUCGUCAUCGCCAUGACGAAGCUCGACAGGGUCAGGGUCAAGACGGCCGCUGACGGCGAGAUACACCGUGACUACGGGUACCCAAACUAAGGCUGAACGACCCGUGGAACUGCACUAGCUUAGCAGUGUUGGAAAAUAAAUGAGCAGUAAAAUCGUUGGAAUAAUGAUUUGCUUUACUUAAAAAAGUGAAUCUAAUCCCUUCACUUUAGUAGUUUAUUAUGUACAAUAUUCAGAGUAAUCUACCUAUCUUUUCUUCUUUUAUAAUCGGUAUGCUAUCUAUCUAUCAAUAUAUUGAUCCAAAAAUGCCGUUUAGAGCUCAGGCUACCGGGUAGCCUGAUAUCUUGUUUGUUUCGAUUGCCUCGUGAUGCCAACUUAUAGCAUGUUAGUCUUCUUAUGUUGAGAUUUUAGCACAGUCCACGUCCCAUAGCCCGGCCUAGAAGACCAACUUGUUUGGCCCAUAUUUCCACCUCGUCGAAGCACGUGGUAUGGGCCUGCACUUUCAUCUCACCGUCAGCACCAUUAGUCAUGGGAAGAGAGAGGGAAAGGGAGAGAGGAGCACGACAAAAUAGAGAGAAAAAGCAUCACACGUCGACACGACCAUGACUUGUUACGUACACUCCGACGGCGACAAGAGUAGCUUGUUAUGAUACAAAUGAAAGCAUCGCAUACACUUAGCUCACUCAAAUCUGCAGGAAGAACUCUCUCUUAGUGCCACAUCGACAAUUCAACAUUUAUGGCUUGUAUUAUGUAUAUGUACUUUCUUUUUUAGUUUUAUUAUUGUUUGAGAAACUAGCUAGUAGUAGCUUUCUUGAGCCAUGCUGAAUAGGUCUGUAGGUUGUCAAUAUUUGCAUUGAUCGUAUGCCUUAGCAUAUAUAGAGGACAUGGGCAAGGAUAUCUCAACCAUAUCCCCUAUACAAUGAAAGGAUCGGGAGAUAUCUGUAAGACUAGGAAAUAACAAACAUAAUCUUAGCUGCCUAAUGAUGUACACGUGAUGAUCAUGCUCAACAAGGUCAUCUAGCACGCUCUCUCUACUUGAUGGAUUCCAAUACUUGGUAAGUAGCUACACCCUACUUUUUAUUAAGAUCGCGCGAGUAAUAUUGGUUGGGAUAUUUUUGCAUAAAAGAUGGUGCCACAGUGGAGCACUAAGAGCGGCCUUAUUAACCAACGCUACAUUGGCCGGUCAAUAGCAUCCCAUGAUCAGCCAGCCUUUUCAUUCCAUGCUACUGAUCCUUCAAAAAGAUCAGCCAGCUCCACCUGUGUCGUGCAGUUAUAUCAGUUAACAACAUGAUCUAUACGGGGUAUUAUACGGACUCAAGUGUUGACACCUAACUCAACUCUUAAUCCGUGAUGAUCGAUCACCAUCACGAACAGGAACUCAAGCAAUAACACUAGUCAAUUAGCUAGCAACUUAGAAAGGACCCCUAUACAUGUGGAACGUGAGAUGGGGAGGUUCCCCCUUGCGAAUUUGUUCACUAUAGGGAAGGAAUGAUCCACGGGUUAUAGGGCGGAACACGCCCAAAUACUUAGCAACAACCGUGUUUCAUGUAGAAUUGCGAAAAUAAAAUUAAUCAUGGCAAACACAACACAAUGUCACAAACAUGACACAUGAUAUUAUCUUAGCUACUACACAAUGCAGAUAACCCAGAGUCUUGACGAUGUACGACAACAAUAAAACCUUGAACAGAAAACAAAACAAAAUCAUGUAGCAAUCCCGAGUAGCAAGUACUCCCUCGGUGUCCCAAUGUAAGUGUCGUUGCAAAUCAACGACAUUUAUUUUGGAACGAAUAGAAUACUAGUUAUUUAGUUGUUGCGGCCGGCCGUCCUAAUCAUAUGAACGAUGGUGCCGACGGCGGGGUAUUAUAUCAGUUAACAACAUGAUCUAUGCGGGGUAUUAUAAGGACUCAAGCAUUGACACCUAACUCAACUCUUAAGCCGUGAUGACCGAUCACCAUCACGAACAGGAACUGAAGCAAUAACACUAGUUAAUUAGCUAGCAACUUAUAAAGGAUCCCUAUACAUGUCGACCGUCAGAUUUGGAGGUUCCCCCCUGCGAAUUUGUUCACCAGGGGAGGAAUGAUCUAUGGUUUGUAGGGCGGAACACGCCCAAAUACUCGGCAACAACUUUGUUUCAUGUAGAAUUGCAAAAAUAAAGUUAAUCAUGGCGAACGCAACACAAAGUCAGAAACACGACACAUGUUAUCUUCGCUACUGCAUAGUGCACACUAGUAGAAAAUGGGUCUUUCGGUCGAAGCCCAAAACCAUAUUAGCCCCGGUUCAAACUAAAACCGGGACCAAUGCCAGGCAUUGGUCCCGGUUCGAGCUACCAGGCCCUAGCGGGGCAAUAGCCCCGGUUCGGUUCGAUGCAUUAGCCCCGGUUUGCGCCAAAAACCGGGACUAAAGAUCCAGCGACUCACACGUGGUGUUCCGCGGUGGUGGCAACCGUUCGUAUCCCCCUUUAGUCCCGGUUGGUGGCUCAACCCGGAACUAAAGGUCUGACACGUGGCCUGCCGUAGUGGUGGCAACCGUUGGUAUCCCUCUUUAGUCCCGGUUGGUGGCUCAACCCGGGACUAAAGGCCCAAACGGUUUGCAUCCCGCUUCCCAAACCACAACCGAAGCAGAGUCUCUGUCGCGUCGCCAUUUCUCUGUUCUUAUUCCUCUCUCGCUCUCGCUCUGUUCUUCCCCUCUCUUCUUCCCUUCUCUUCUUCCACCAUGCCAACUCGCUUUGGAGAGGUGCUCGCACAUGGCAAGACCAAGCUCGAUGUCGUGUACACGAACGAGAGCAGGGAGGUGCCACAUUUUCUUAGACAGUUGAAGGAACGAUGGCUUGAUGCCGCAGUGGAUCAUGAGAAGUUCUUGGGGCUUGAUCUGGAGUACACGGCCGAUCAACAUGGUGUUGCCAUCAUCCAACUAUGUUUCAAACACCAUGUCUUGAUCUUCCACUGGGCGAGGUAAGUUUUGAGGCUUUCUUUGAUCCAAGGUAAUGACAUUGUAAGUUUAUUUGUUUCNNNNNNNNNNNNNNNNNNNNNNNNNNNNNNNNNNNNNNNNNNNNNNNNNNNNNNNNNNNNNNNNNNNNNNNNNNNNNNNNNNNNNNNNNNNNNNNNNNNNNNNNNNNNNNNNNNNNNNNNNNNNNNNNNNNNNNNNNNNNNNNNNNNNNNNNNNNNNNNNNNNNNNNNNNNNNNNNNNNNNNNNNNNNNNNNNNNNNNNNNNNNNNNNNNNNNNNNNNNNNNNNNNNNNNNNNNNNNNNNNNNNNNNNNNNNNNNNNNNNNNNNNNNNNNNNNNNNNNNNNNNNNNNNNNNNNNNNNNNNNNNNNNNNNNNNNNNNNNNNNNNNNNNNNNNNNNNNNNNNNNNNNNNNNNNNNNNNNNNNNNNUGAAGGGGAACACAAUCUGAUUGGAAUAGUGUUCCAUAAUCUGAAAAAUCUUAUUAGAAUCAACUAGUGUUUAAUAUGUUCCAUUGGAAUCAUAGUUGGUUCGCUUCAAAUAGUUGUAGUGAAACAAUUUUGAUUAGUUGAAGGAAACACAAUCUGAUUGGAAUAAUGUUCCACAAUCUGAAAAAUCUAAUUGGUUCAAUAUGAUCCAAGGUUAUGAAAAUUGCAUAUAGCUAGUGAUCUCUCUAGGUUCCAUUGGAUAGCAAUAUGAUAUUGUCAUAAUCAUGAAAAUUGCAUAUAGCUAGUGAUCUCUCUAGGUUCCAUUGGAUAGCAAUAUGCAAUAUGUCUAGCUUAUUGAAUAUUUGCAAAACCGUGGGAGAAUAUAUAUAUAUAUGACAUAGUUAAUUUACGGUUUCUUGAUCAAUUCAUAGGAUACUAAAAUUGCAUAGGAUAGCAAUAUGUUCCAUUUGAAUCCUAAAGAUAAUUUUCUCUUUAGUUGUAGUGAAACAUGUUUCCUUAUUGCAGCAGUAUGUAACAUUUGUUCCAUUUUAAUUUCUUUCUGAUGCAGUAGUGACAAGCAUUGUCCAGAACUCAUGGACUUCCUUCGCAGCGGCAUCACUUUUGCUACCGUUGACAUAACGAACGACAAGCUGAAUAUGAGGUACAGCUUCGGUAUUGAGAUACCAACUUGUUGCCUCAUUGAUCUCCAAACGGUAUUCAGGCUUCGACAUGUCAGGACUUCGAUGGCUCAUGUGGCAGUUGCCUUGAUCGACGAGGAGUAUGGUAAUAUGAAGACCAAUUUCCCAAAGUCUCAGCACAAACUUUGGGAGAAGGUCCCACUUGAUCGUGUCAACAUUGAGUAUGCAGCAAAAGAUGCAUACGUUUCAUACGAGUUGUACCGCAAGAUUCGAGUCAUCAACUAUGGCCAGCGUCACCUCGAGGAAGGUGGACAUUCUGAUUCAGACGAUUCAGACGAGUAGUGUUCUCAACGUCGAACACUUGUAUAUAUAUCUAUGGUAGCUAUUAUUAUGUACUGUUUGGACUAGUAUCAUGUACUACUUGGACCAAUUUAUACAUGUCUAGUUUCUGUUUGUGCCAUUAUAGUUUCCAAAUUUGGAUGGUUUAGCCCUUUCUAACUUCAUUUGCUACUUUUGAAUGGUUUAGCCCUUUCUAACUUCAUGGUAUCAUGCAUUUCGACCAUAUAUAUAUAUACAAAAAGUCUUCAGUUCAAAUAAGUUCAAAAAAUGAAAUCCCUUUUGUAACAGAUCUGUUUUUGAUCAAAACAGUAAUUUUAAAAUGAAAGACCAUUAGUCCCACGUGGCGUGCAGCGGAACCACGUGGCGUGCCGUGAAACCACUUUUGUUGUGGGGGUCGCUUUUCCUUCUUCUCCUUGUGCUAGAUAUUUGUUAUGCAUUAGGGAAAGAAGGAAUAGCGACCAUCAUCGACGGUCGAAAAAUCAGGUGAGGGAGUGUCCACCAUACAUGAGAGAAGAAGAAUGCCGACUGUUGUUGUGGGGGUCGCUUCUCCUUCUUCUCUUUGUGCUAGAUAUUUGUUAUGCACUAGGGGAAGAAGGAGUAGCGACCAUCAUCGACGGUCAAAAAAUCAGGUGAGAGAGUGUCCACCAUAUAUGAGAGAAGAAGAAUGUCGACUGUUGCUGUGGGGGUAGUUUCUCCUUCUUCUCCUUGUGCUAGAUAUUUGUUAUACACUAGGGGAAGUAGGAGUAGCGACCAUCAUCGACGGUUGAAAAAUCAGGUGAGCUAGUGUCCACCAUAUAUGAGAGAAGAAGAAUGUCGUCUCUUGUUCUGGGGGUCGCUUCUCCUUCUUCUCCUUGUGCUAGAUAUUUUUUAUGUGCCUUUGAAUGGUGCAUUUUGAACACACAAAAAGUAUGGAGUUUAAAUAAGUUCAAAAAAUGAAAUCCCUUUGUAACGGAUGAGUUCUCGUUUGAAACCGUGAUACUUCGAGAGAGAUUAUCCGUUUUGUACACGAAGUGCAUCCAGUUUUUGCCGUAACCCUCUCAACUUUCUCGCACAUGCUAUGUGGGUGAAAUGAUGAUACCAUGCCAACUUGGAACCUUUUCAGAGUUCAUUUUCAAAUGCUUUUCAAUUUCAUGGUCUUAUAGCUCGAAAUAAUCAGUAAAUGCAUGAAAAAUAACAAAUGAAGUCAGAAAGGGUUGUAAAUUGAUGAUGUGGCUUUGAAUGAUGCAUUUUGAACACAGAAAAACUAUGAUUUCAAAUAAGUUUAAUAAAAUAAAAUUCCUUUGUAACACACGAGUUUCCGUAUGAAACCCUGAUACUUCCAAAGAGAUUGUUCGUUUUGUACACGAAGUGCAUCCAGUUUUUGUCGUAAUCCUCUCAACUUUCUCGCACAUGCUAUGUGGGUGAAAUGAUGAUACCAUGCCAACUUGGAACCUUUUCAGAGUUCAUUUNNNNNNNNNNNNNNNNNNNNNNNNNNNNNNNNNNNNNNNNNNNNNNNNNNNNNNNNNNNNNNNNNNNNNNNNNNNNNNNNNNNNNNNNNNNNNNNNNNNNNNNNNNNNNNNNNNNNNNNNNNNNNNNNNNNNNNNNNNNNNNNNNNNNNNNNNNNNNNNNNNNNNNNNNNNNNNNNNNNNNNNNNNNNNNNNNNNNNNNNNNNNNNNNNNNNNNNNNNNNNNNNNNNNNNNNNNNNNNNNNNNNNNNNNNNNNNNNNNNNNNNNNNNNNNNNNNNNNNNNNNNNNNNNNNNNNNNNNNNNNNNNNNNNNNNNNNNNNNNNNNNNNNNNNNNNNNNNNNNNNNNNNNNNNNNNNNNNNNNNNNNNNNNNNNNNNNNNNNNNNNNNNNNNNNNNNNNNNNNNNNNNNNNNNNNNNNNNNNNNNNNNNNNNNNNNNNNNNNNNNNNNNNNNNNNNNNNNNNNNNNNNNNNNNNNNNNNNNNNNNNNNNNNNNNNNNNNNNNNNNNNNNNNNNNNNNNNNNNNNNNNNNNNNNNNNNNNNNNNNNNNNNNNNNNNNNNNNNNNNNNNNNNNNNNNNNNNNNNNNNNNNNNNNNNNNNNNNNNNNNNNNNNNNNNNNNNNNNNNNNNNNNNNNNNNNNNNNNNNNNNNNNNNNNNNNNNNNNNNNNNNNNNNNNNNNNNNNNNNNNNNNNNNNNNNNNNNNNNNNNNNNNNNNNNNNNNNNNNNNNNNNNNNNNNNNNNNNNNNNNNNNNNNNNNNNNNNNNNNNNNNNNNNNNNNNNNNNNNNNNNNNNNNNNNNNNNNNNNNNNNNNNNNNNNNNNNNNNNNNNNNNNNNNNNNNNNNNNNNNNNNNNNNNNNNNNNNNNNNNNNNNGUUAAAAGAUUUUUUUCGUUAUAUUAUUGUUGAAUAUGUAUGUUUUUAUGUUCAUAUAUAUGCAAAGAUCGAAUAUGUCAAAAGGAAAAAAAUAAGAAGAGAAAGUGUUUAAUAUAAUUAGUUAGAAAAAUAAUAGAACUAUAGUUAAACUAGUUUAUUUUUAGUAAUUACUACUAUAUUUUAUUUAUAGUAAGUGCUUCAUAUAUAGUUGAACUAGCUAGUUGAUUUAAUAAACUACUUUAUUUUACUAUAUAUAAAAGUAGUUUGUUUUUGGUAAGUACUACUUUAUUUAUUUAUAGUAAGUGCUUAGUAGUUGAACUAGUUGAUUUAAUUAAUAAAACUACUUUAUUUAACUAUAUAUAGAAGUAGUUUCCGCAUCGACGUCGACUUGUUGUUAUAUAUAAUCGUGACACACUUUAUUUAACUAUGUAUGAUGAUAAUUAAUUAGUAGGACUUGUUGUUAUAUAUGAUGAUGCAUGAUGCGAGCAUGAAGAGUUAUUAUAUAUAGAUGUUCAAUUCUUUUGAUAUAUAUAGUGUGUCACGAUUAUAUUGUUGUUUACACACAUUUGCCACAUUAAAACAAGAAAUGUUUGACGAUGGAUAUUGCGAGUGUGAAUAUUGUGGCGACUCUCGGGGUAUAUGCGACAUGCCUCACCUGCGAGACGAUAGGUUCUUCAGCAUGAAGCUUGACGAUAACGGCGAUAUGUACCUCCCUUGCCAUGCAAGAAGAUAUGUGUUGGAGAGGCUCGGUUUCGAAGACCACGAGAGAAUUGAGACGAGGAGCGCUAAGCUGAGGACUAUACAUGAUCACACAUUUAUUAUCCAAGUAUUUAAUUCAGUUUUUCGAACAGAAUUUGGGUGCCCAAAGUGGGAAGAUCUUUGCAAGGCAUAUGGAUUUCAGAAGGGAAUGGAAAUCACCUUUGAUCUUCGUCCUAAAGAUAAUAUGUGAGACAACAUCGAUAUUUGGGUGGUUGUCGAUGAUAUGCUUCCUGUUUAUCUCUAUGUGAGUUUCUCAACCAUAUUUUUCAAGUAAUUUGCAUUUAUAUUUAUAAAUAGUUGGUGUAGUCAACCUGUUUUCCUCUCGCAAUUUACAUGUCAUGUGGUGUUCAUCGUCUAUUAAAACUUUGGCAACACGUUGCAGGUUCCUAGUUAUUGGACCAUAGUUAUAAUUAUAUCAUGUUACAUGUUGUACAAACAAUCACAACAACCCAAAUUGUCCUUUGAAUGAUCAUAGCACAUGUGGUCGUUUUGAAUGGUUUAUAUAAUGUCCACAUCUUGUGGACAAUUACAAAAUUUCUAAGUAUUUUUGAAACAUUAAAUUAUUAUAAAAUUUGGAUGGUUGUCGAUGAUAUGCUUCCUGUUUUACCUCCAUAUGAAGUAAUUUGCAUUUAUAUUUAAAAAUAAUUGGUGUUCAUCUAUAUACUAAAUUUGUUAAAUUAUAAUUUACAGCUUAUUUCGUUGCUUUGACUGAAUUACGAAAAUUAAUUGACACGACACACUACACAUAUGGAUCACAUCUAACUUGGAAGGAGAAGGACCAUCUUCUCCACUUUCUUGUUGCGGGUGUUUUGGCUUCUAGGGAUACCUUCCCGUAUCAUUUUGGAAUUGGCCAAAAUUAUUCAUUUGACAUGCCACUAGUGCAUAGGUUGAGUUCAGAUGACAUUUGUCGAAAUGUCUUGGUAAGAGUUUUCUAAUUAAGUACGCCCCACCAUUGCAUAAAUUGUGUUGAUUACAUUGCUAACUACUCCCUCCGUUCCUAAAUAUAAGUCUUUUUAGAGGUUUCACUAGUGGACUACAUACGGAUGUAUAUAGACAUAUUUUAGAUUAUACAUUCACUCAUUUUACUCCGUAUGUAGACUCCUAGUGAAAUCUCUUAAAAGACUUAUAUUUAGAAACGGAGGGAGUAGGUUAUUAUUAUGUUCUUCAACAGCAACUGCCACAUGAUGUAGUGCCUCCGUUAAUGGACCCAGAAGGUCAAAUGAGAAUUAGAAGCCCGCUGAAGGCUGAGGUCUAUGCUUCAUACUUGAUUAACUUCAAAUCAAGAUAAAAAAGACUCCAAAUUGAAGCAUGGAGAGAAAUAAAGAUGGUUCGCAAGCCACAAGCUGGAGACCGUUGGAUCUCUGUGAUUCAUCAUGGAGCCAUAUGUGUUAUUCUGUUUUAUGACAUUAUAUCUAAGAGCGAGGACUAGGUCUUAUGAGAGACAAGUUAUUCUAGUUUGUAUUAUUACUUGACAUGAUCGAUUAAUUAGGAUGCAUGAUGCAUAUGAUGACUAUAUAUAUAUUAUGAUGUUUCUCUGUUUUAUUUUAUGUGUAUCAUAUGAUAACUUUUUUUUUGAAACCUAUCAUAUGACAACUUGGUAUAUGAUCAAGUUGAUGAUGAGUUGUUAGAUGAUCGAUUAGAAUACUAUUGCCAUUCGACGAAAAUGAUAUGAAAUGAUAUAGUGUAAAAAGAUGCAUAUAUGUGCAUGUAACUCGUGUCUACAUUCUGUAAAUAUGUUCGACAAAGCACGACGGAUGACCAAGCACGGAGAUAUAUAAGAGAGAACACUUUUCUCUAUUAGCUAGCUAAUAACAAUCUAAAUUAACCACUAAACCAGCCCCUUUAAAAAAACCUCAGCUCCAGUCAGGUGCUGACGCGUGAAUGCCUUUUGGUCCCGGUUGAUGUCAUCAACCGAGACUAAACGCCCCCCUGUCUGGCCUGGCCGCAUCGGCCACGUGGAGGCCCACCUGUCCCGGUUCGUGUAAGAACCGGGACUAAAGGCAAAUGGCAUUAGUAACGACCUUUUUGUCCCGGUUCUAAAACCGGGACAGAAGGCCCUUAUGAACCGGGACAAAAGGCUCUUUUUCUAUUAAUGACAGAUAACCAAGAGUUUUGAUGAUGUACGAUAAAAACAAAACCUUAAACAGAAAACACAACGAAAUCAUGUAGCAGUCCCAAGUAGUAAGUUCUCACUCUGUCCCAAAGUAAGUGUCGUUGCAAAUCAGUGACACUUAUUUUGGGACGGAUAGAAUACUUGUUAUUAAGUUGUUGCGGCUGUCCUGAUCACAUGGGAGAUGGUGCCGACGGUGGCGGGCUGCUGCUGUCGUUCCCAUAGAACUGCAGGACGGUGUAGACAGUCUGCAUGACGGUCAUGCCGAGGAGGAAGACGGCGGCAGCAAGCGAGAGGAACGCCCACGGGCUCCUGAAGUAGGUGUGGAUGAGGUUGGCACGCCACAUGUUCCAUGGCUGCCGGAAGUAGCCGUUGACCUGCCGUUGCACGGCGUCGAGCGCGCUGUUGGGCUCGAGCACCACGUCCCUGGAGAUGGUGUUGAAGAGCUUGGCCACGGCCUGGUCGCUGCCGAUGGCGUUCUGGAUGAUCCCCUUGGAGCUCAGCAACGCCACGUCCUUGGCGGAGUCGAUGAUGUUGUCCAUGAAGAAGACGUAGCCGGUAACGUCGUUGCCGGCGCCGGCGUGUAGCCGCUCGAACGCCAUCAUGUUGAGGAACAUGUACUCGGUAGAGUCGUCCACCGACACCGUCGGCAUGCUCAGCGUGCCGCGCCGGAACCGGAUGUCGUGCAGGCUCAGCGUCUUGCUCGGCUUGAACUGGAUCCCGGCUUCGUAGAGCUCCACUGCUGACCGGAUGAUGGCAUUAUCGUCCACAUUGUCCUGUGGGCUCCGGAUUUUGUGGUGCUUACCAGUGAGCAUGCUCCGGCGAAACACAUCCAGCGGGUGGAGCCCUAGGCCGAUGCCCAGUGGUAGCCCGGAAGAUUGGGCUAGAAAUUUCAGCACCAUUCGGUUGAUGAAGUCAUCGUUCUGGUCAUCACCAUGGAUGCAAGCAUUCAUAUCGAAUAUAUUACUCUUGACGUAGUGCUACUAAAAAAGAGUAAUACUACACCUACAAAGGCUUACGUAAAGAUUUUACGUACAAACUGAUGUGUAAGAUUGUGAUUGGUAAUUGAGGAACGAAGGGCCCCACCCCCACUGAAAAUCAGGGGGGGAGAGAAGAGUUAGUUUGGAAGGUUAAGUAAACCUUUGUAAGUUUUUGUAUGUCUAGCAUUAUUGACUAAAAAAUGCAAGGGGAUGUACCAAAGCACACUUUUAAAAAAAAAUUGAAUAAAAAUGUAAAAUAUGAAAUACUCCUAAAAUUGAUUUGAAAUAUGAGUUGAAUUAAUUAAUUCUACACUACUAGUUAACAUAUAGGCAAGUCUAGUCAUGUUCUGAAGGUCUAGUUGCCAAAAUUUCAAAAAUAUAAAAGAGGGCACAAUGGCAGUAUAUAAGUUGCAUGAAUUUGCAAUUUAUAUAUCAAUAUCGUGGUACAAAAAUAAAGGGGACGAGGAGGAGCUAUGAGGCCGAGCCGGGAACAGGCCCCAACCAGAGGCUAGUUGAGGGUUGACUGGUGUGGAAGGUCGGAGAUGGGCUGUAGAGAAGGAAUGGUUUGAGGAGGAAGAAAGCUGCAAGAAGAAAAAGAAGGACGACCAUCGGAUCUUAAAUCUUAAUCCAACGGCCUAGAAAUUGAGUUACCCAAAAUAAAAUUCAAGGUGACUAACCUAUAAUUUGUUCUUUUUCAAUUAUUUCCGUGCGAUGUUCAUUGUUUCAAAAAAAUCUGUCUACAUUGGACAUCUAAGUAACUUAGUCAAACUAGGAAGGAAAAGAAAUAAAUAAAAGAAUAUGUUUGCUUGAAUCUCUGCAUAAAGUCAGUGAUAGGACAUAGGGCCAGUUUUUUGUUGGCUUCUAGAUAAAGCUGGAAUAAACCGCUUCUACCAGAUUAUUUUAGAAGCCAAAUAAGAUUUUUUUUAAAAGAUUAUUAAUGAAGACUUGACUAGUAAACUUCUAAAAAUAUAUUUUAGGUUGGCCUUUUACAAUACCCAAAAGCUAACGCCCACACGUGUGGGCAUUUGUAACUCGCCCACGCGCAUUCAUUAUCAUCCAUUUUACCAGGUCAAAACAGAUAACAUCAAUGAGAAUCUUUUUUGGUUUUUUGCUUAAAAAUAUUUUAUCUUCUAAUUAAAAAUCAUUAAAUCCAUCUCGAUGAGAUCUUCAAAUUUAGAUCGCAUGUUGAUAUGUUUUGAUGAAAAAAAAUUGACCAAAAGUUCUCAUGAUGUUUACAUUGUAGUUGUCAUAGUGUUUACACUAAAGUUGUCAUGACGUGUUCUAUCUACUUUUUUCUUUUAGAUUUAAAGGUAGCGUUAUAUUUUCAACUACUUUUUACGGUGAUUUUUAUUAAUUGAUUAUAGAAAUUUUUAGUAAUUAACCACGGUAAAUGCAAUGCAUAGAUCAAGGCAAUUCUUAGUAAUCCAUCAAAAUUUACUUUUAAAGGUAGAAGAGAAAAUACCUGAAACAUAUCAUGGCAACUUCAUGUGCAACAGAUAUGACAACUUGUAACCCUAAAAAAACUCGUCGAAACAUAUUGGUAUGGGAUCUAGUUUUGAAGAUCUCGUCACAACAGAUUUAAUGAUGAAAACGGAUUUUUAAUCGGAUUUUUCAUUUAACUGAAAAUAAAAAAAGAUUUACACAUGCAUGCAUGCGGUGACGUGACGCAAUCUAUGUGGUAUAGGUGCGUCGACGGAUGCUUAGAGAGCAUCUAAAUGUACUUUAGCAAAACUGUUUAAAAACCUUCUAUAGCAGUAUUAGAAAGUAUGGUAGAUAAUAAUUACCGGAGGCUUCCCACUCUCAACCUCAACGAGCUUCUGGAGCAGGAGCAGAGGUAGCUGGUUCUCAAGCAUGAGCACGUCUCGCCGGAUGUAGGGCACCAUGUAGAGUAUCCCAUGGGGGCUGAAAAUGGGGUCGUUGUUUGCGUAGUCGCCGACCUGCUUCCCGUCGGCGGCGGUGCACCUCAUCACCUCCAGCAGGAAGCAGCCGUCAAAGAUCAUCAUGGCCAGGAACCGGUCCCUGCCCCCGCCGUCGGCGCGGGCACGCCACUCGCUGUCGAGGUCCAUGUACGCCCCCUCCAGCUGCUCCGCGACGUCCUCCACGCCGUCGACGAGCUCGUCCAAGGUCCGCCCAGCGCGCCGGAGCAGCUGGCGCAGCGCCCGGUGCUUGUGCUCCUCCAUGGGCCGCAGGUCGCGGUCGCCGUGGUGGAAGGGGCCGAGCGACACCACCUGCGGCUGGUACGCCUUGCUCUUGAUGUUGGUCAUGCACGGCGGCACCCGGUAGAUGCAGUGCCGCUCCCACCGGGACGCCUCCGCCGGCCCCUUGUCGGCCUCCUUGAGCUUCUUCUCCACGUCCACCACCCACGUCCUCUUGCUGCUGCUGCUGCCGCCGCCGGCCGCCGCCAUUGUGAAUCGUGAUUGGGUUGAUUUAUGCAAGAUAUAUGGCUGCUAUGGCUAGGAUCGAUAGUAGUCGGAUUUAUGUACUGAUGUGUGCAUGCGUGUGGAAUUGUGGAUCUACGUAGAGAGAGAGAGAGAGAGAGAGAGAGGAGAUACGUUACUUGCAAAAGUUGCAUCGCAUGCCACAUUUCGCGUGCUAGACAGGUGUGUGUGUACAAAAAGAGAUUCAUGUCAUGUGCACGCACGCAUGCUGGUCCUAUUCCAUGGUCUGGUGCUGGUCCCCUGGUUUCACUCCAUAGUAACACGCAUGCAGUUUAAUACUACAUGAUUGCGAACCAAGGUGUGACUGAAUAGUUAGAGGGACAGUGUAUCUUAGUUCGUCAUGAUUCAAGUCCUGGUGUUCGCAUUGUUCUUGGAUUAUUUUAGAAUUUUUGACGAUGCGCGUUCAGUGAGAGGAGAUGUUCCGGUCGAAGACGAUGCGUCUAUGUUGACUUAGUAAAUUUCAAGAUGAUAUGCCGGCUCAGUCUNNNNNNNNNNNNNNNNNNNNNNNNNNNNNNNNNNNNNNNNNNNNNNNNNNNNNNNNNNNNNNNNNNNNNNNNNNNNNNNNNNNNNNNNNNNNNNNNNNNNNNNNNNNNNNNNNNNNNNNNNNNNNNNNNNNNNNNNNNNNNNNNNNNNNNNNNNNNNNNNNGCGUGUGUGCCUUCAUAGAAGUUAGUGUAUGUGAGGAGAUAUUCCCGUCGAAGACGAGGCGUCUAUGAUGACUUCGUAAAUCUCAAGAUGAUAUGCCGGCUCAGUCUAUCGGAGGUAGUCAUAGGGGUAGGAUGCGCGUGUGUGCCUUCAUAGAAGUUAGUGUAUGUGAGGAGAUAUUCCCGUCGAAGACGAAGCGUCUACGAUGACUUCAUAAAUCUGAAGAUGAUAUGACGGCUCAAUCUCUCGAAGGUGGUCAUAGGGAUAGGAUGCGCGCGUGUGUCUUCAUCGAGAUGAGUGUAUGCGCAUAUAUAUAAUCGGUUGCGUUUAUACUGUGUUAAAAAUAAUAAUACAUGAUCAUACAUUUUAUUAUAUUAGGCUAUAUGAUAUAUGGGUUGGAAGGUUUAGGCGAAAAUGUUCUUCCAGUUCUUCCCCACACGGCGGCUAUGGUUUCCGCGCCUAUCAACGCCGCCGUCGAUUUGUGUUGUCUCCUCAGAUCUUAGGGACAUGAAGGCGCUGUGGAUCCCGACCAUUGCCGUGGGAGGCUCCUACUUCAGUUUUAAGUGUUCUUUUGAGUUUGUUUUGGCUUUGUGCCCUGUUCCGGCGGUGCAUCUAGCGUCAUUGAAGGACGUGUGGAGGUUUCUUUCCGGCGGAUCUCGCGGAUUCGGUCAGCCUCAGUUUUUGGUGGAUCCACUUGGACAUGGUCUUUGUUGCUUGUGUUCAUACGUUUUUAAGUUGGAUCCUUCCAGUCUACAGUUCUCUUCAUCGAUGACAAUUGUUGUUCUGGUGUACUGGUCAUAUUAGAGCUUAGCACAAGGGUUUCCUGACUGUCUACUACAAUAAUGUUUGUCCGGCUCUUAUGGGGGAGGGGCGAUGACAAAGGCGCGCCAUCGGUUCGCUUUAGUGCUUGUAGUCAUCGCUGGAUGGUCUACGAUCCUAAAUGUAUUUUUUAUUUGUAGUCGUCUCUAGGUGAUCUACGAACCUAGAUGUAAAUUUUAAUUGUAGUAUUAUUUUUACUCUUGAUUGAUGAUGAACAGAUCGAAUCUCCCCCGCCCCCCCUUUAAAGAUUAUAUGAUAUGGAAAAUGAUUAAAAUAAUCCGGACGAUUCUACGCUCCGGGCCCACCGCGUGGAGAGCCAACCUUGUGUCUCAAAGAUAGGUAAUGUUGCAGUAGUAGGUCGACGGUGCAGGCGAAUUUUUUCCAAAACAUAACCUUUGUUACAUAUAAAAUUCUACAACAUAAUCUUUGUUGCAAAAGUAUAUAUACGGCACAACCUUUGUAACAAAUAUCUUCUGUAACAUUUGCAAAAUAGUUCCGUGACACAAUGUAUGUCACGAAAUUGAAGAAGGAAGCUCGGCAUUAGCAGAUUUGUGCCAGAUCUGAUGCCUCGGGAAAGAUCCGCCGAUGGGUAGCACUUCUAAUAUGAUACUAUAAUAUAUUCUAUUACUGUGAGGAAGGGGUCAUGGUCAAUUUUAUGUCAUUGCAUGUAAUCUUUACAGCUGCGAGAUGAUCGGAAGUUGCAGGCUUUAGGCAAAGGAGAGAUGAAGAUGCUACGGGAGCAGCUGGCCGGAGGCACGAGGAAGCGAGGAAUUAAUACGCACACGAAAGUAUAUGCUGUUCACUUGUUGGGAAUGGUCCAUGCAAGCGAACAUCUGAUCAGCUCUAGGACGGAGGCAUCAGGCAUCGCAUGCAUUUGCUUUAUGCUCCCUCAUGCGUGUAUCUUUUUGUCGCUAAUUUUACUACUCCCUCCGAUCUCAAUCUCAGUUUACAAGUAUGGCACAUGUACCUAGAUCGUUAAUUUGAUCAAUGUAAUGAGAGACACAUGUUACAAAAAAAUAUCAUUAGAAACUUUAGAUGUUGUAUUUUUUAAUGAUAUAAUUUUGAUGUUAAACAAUAUAUUUUAUAUAGGUUAAAUUGAUGAUCUAUAUACACGUGCAUGUCUUUUAAACUGUGACGGAGGAAGUAAUAUGUAACAUGAAUAAUAUGUCACAUCCAACCCCAUGCAUCUUCGAUUUUGGCGCCCUCCAUGAGUCGUAUCUCCUUCCAGCUCCUGGGGUCAGCUGGCGUCCCUACUGCUUCGGUCCCCGUGGCCUUGAUCCACGCUCUCUUCCAGAUCUUGGCUCGUCCAGGACUUGGCCACCGCUGCAUCCACAUAUUCCGUUCAACCAUGCAACCUCGCCCUCCUUCGGAGCUAGCACAUCCGGUGGCGCCCGAUGCCUCCUCGGCGUAGAGCAUGGCUCCUCAUUCGGCGGUCGUAGUUUCGGCUUAUGCCCGACUUCUCCGACUUGUACUCCGAUGGCUUGGGAGUGAUCCGUACAUGGCAGCGGCGGCACCCGCAUGUGUCGUCCCCUUAUUGAAGAUGCUGCCAUGGCCGUUAACCGUGCCGCACUUCGAGCAUUAGGGGAAACCCUAGGUCUGAUUUUCAGAUCGAAAGACGACAACAUCUUGAUGUCGUUCUUCUUCGUGAAGGCGUUGUCUUGUUUGCUCGUGGCGUCCUCGGUGCUAAAUGUGGAGAUGUUGGUCGUCUAGUUGUUGUUUGGGCUGCUUCCUUGGUUUUGCCACUUUAGCUGUGUUUUUCUUUGUUUGGGUCAAGCAUCUCAUGCUUCUCUGCUUCGGCAAUCAUGUUCAUGCCUCCUGCGUUCGUGCGAUGGGUUGUACCAUUCCAUGUAUUCACUCUAACUUCUUCUAUCAAUGAAAUGAUACGUGAUCUUUGCGUAUUUGCGGAAAAGAAGAUGUCACAAAAGUUAUACCUUAGAACAUUUAAAAGUUUCUAUUGAAAUACUUUUUUGUAAUAUGAACGGGCGGCAGAAAUUUUGGUCCCGACAUGAUGGAUUUUUCUUUGAACCCUACACGACGGAUUUUUAGAGGGUUAGUACUAGGUGCCGAUCGACCGGCAGAAAUUUUGGUCAUCUCCGGCCCACCGGUCCGAGUAGCCCACCAGGACCGCCUGAUCUCGUGAUUCGUGAAGAAGUGUCUUUCUGCACCCUCUAGGUCAACACCUGCCAAGAUGAAAAAUCCUGUCCUGCUCCAACCGACGCGCGAUGUGCUCGCCGUCAACGCACGCAUGCAACUCCGGUGAGAGCACGAAAGCGCCCCUGCAUCAACCCCUCACAGCGUCCCGCACUUGUUGAAAAGCUUGUCGACACCCUCGAUGGUCGCCGUCCACAACGCUUGGCAACCCCCCAUCCUCCAGCUCUUAUUCCAACAGGCAUGAAACAACAAAAAUGGUUAGGAAGAUGGAUCAACAAGGCGAGUAGUAGCAAAAAUCCAAAACGGUAGUAACAAAAUGGUGCAUUUGGUUCCACGAAAAAAGAAAACAUGAUAGCAAAAUUUGGGCUGGUUUCUAGCAAAAUCAAAGACGGUAGUAGCAAAAUGGUAUGCAUGUUCCAGUAGAAACAAAACAGUGCUAACAAAAAAUGGGUUGGUUCCAGUGACUGUCGCGUAUUAAAAUUCAGGAUGACUGUCGCGUGAGCCAUUGAUCUACAACACAAAUAUUUUUAAAUGAACUUAGACUAUAUUCAAGGUAAUUAAAGUUUAACUAAUUAAAUUAUUUGCUAAACUCUCACAUGAUUAAGGACUUGCAGUUACGAUGGACCAGAGCAAUCAUGAACGAUCACAGGCGUCACUAGUGGGCUUAUCCACAUGGCCUUUUUUCUCUUCGGCACGCGCCGUACGCUGUCCGUCCCGACAGGGCUGUCUCUGUUCAUCACCGGAAUUUCCUACUUGCCGCUCUCUGCAUUAAAAUGCCGGCGUGUCGCGUUUUAUUAGUUUUCUGCUUCUUCUUCUUCUUUUUUGUUUUUCUAUUUCUGUUUCUGCUUCUUUUUCUUUUUUCUUUUAUUAUUUUUCUGCUUCUUCUUUUCCAGUUUUUGCAAAGUUAUUUUAUCUAUUUUGAAACUAAGUUUAUGUUCCAAAAUUGUUCUUAAAAUUUGCAAAAAUUUCUUACUUUUAGAAAAAUCUCCUAAAUUUAAAAUAAUUGUCCUAUUUCAAAAGUUAUUCAUAGCUUUAAAAAAUAUUUGUGAUUUUCAAAAAAUGUUCUUGUUUUUAAUAAAAUGUUGGGAAUUUCCAAAGUUUGGUCAUUUCUACAUUAAAUUCUACUAUUUUCAAAUUUUGUUCAUAAAUUUUAAUUUUUGAUGGCUUUAUUUCAAAAAAUGUUCACAUUAUUUAAUUUUGUUCACAAACCAAAAACUAUUUGUUUUCAAUAAAGUUCCCAUAUUUCCAAGUUUAUUGGAAAUUCUAAAAAUGUUCACAUGUUUAAAUUUUGUUCAUAAAUCAAAAUAUGAAUGGAAGGUUUGAAAAAAAUGUUCCUAUUUUGAAAUUUUGUUCCCAAAUAUAAAAAAUGAUCAGGAACUUCAAAGUUUUCAGGUUUUAAAAUUAAGUUUUCAAAUUAUUUUCACGUUUUCAAAUAAUUAUGUUUGAGAAUUUAAAAAAUCUUCCCAUUUCAAUAUUUGUUCACCAAUUUUUUUAAAAAUUAUGUUUUCAGUUUUAUUGUAGUUUCAAUAAGUCUUUCCAUUUACAGAAUUGUUUGCAAAUUCCAAAAAAAAUUCAUGUUUGUAUUUUUGUUCGGGAGUUUCAAAAUAUGUAGGCAUGUUUUAAAAAUUGUGCAUGUUUCCAAGUUUACUUCGGGAGUUCCAAAAAAGUUCCCAUUUCUCAAAAAUGUUCGCGUAUCUACAAAUUGUUUUUGAAUUUGAAAAAUGUUUUAGUUUUGAAAAAAUAUUUAUGUUUUCUAUUUGGAAAAUGCUUAAAAUCAUUCGGCUGAUUUUUGGAACAAAUCAUCCGCUUUGCGGACGUCACGUCACGUGUUCCUGAGCCACUCCUUCCACUGCCUUAUCUCAAUUUCUAAGGUCGGCUUCUACCUCUCUAUCAACAACACAAAAUCCCCACCAUCGGCUAGAGCAACACAACACAAGCUCCCCACCGUCCUCCAUAGCACCAGCUUCGACCAGCGCACCGCGAAGCCGCGUUAGAACUGCACCGCUGCUAACGUGUUUGCUGGUGAGUGGUGACGACAAUAGAUGGUCGAAGCUGCUCAUGUGUUCUAAUGGCGAAGCAGGCGCAGCAGUAGAUGGAGGGGCUUCUCGAUCCGUCUGCACUAGUAGCAGCGGUCAGUGAGUUGGCGUCACACAGCUCACCACCGGCCUUGUACCAACGGUGUUUGUUGGUGAGUGGUGACGGCAACGGCUACACCCACCUGUCGCUGCCGGUGAACUGUUGCAGCAGCCCAUCAUCGAUGCGCUGCGAUGACGCUCCGCCGUGCUGAUGGUGACACUCCAGUGAAGCUUCGCCAUCGGCAAUCAGGUGCUGCAAUGGAGCUUUCAACAGGGGCAGCCAAUGCUGUGAAGUAGCACCAUCCGCAUGAUGGCGCGCUGCAAUGAAGCUUCGCGAGCGGCGUAGAGUGUUGCGCUGUAGGGCUGCCGCACCAGUGUGUCGCUGCAGUGGAACAUCGUUGGCGACCGUGAGGUGCUGCAAUCGAGCUUCGAUGGAGCACCGCCGUGCUGGCCAUUGUUGAGGAAAUCUUUAACUGGUACCUGGUCGGUUGGCUGACGACUAGGGAAUUAAUGAGUCAAUUAGCAAGUUAAUCGACCAUUUAAUCAAUUAAUUGGAUGAUUUUCUAUUUAUCGGCUACUCAGUGGCCCUACGAGUAGGGAUUAAUCUGCAAGUUAAUUGGUUAGUCUGAUGAAUUCUUGAACAAGGGUGUUGGCAUAUGCGCUGCAACGAAGCAUCACCAGCGGCGCCGGGUGCAGCGAUGAGACUCCGCACGCUACUGUGUCGCUACAAUGAAGCGUCGUUGAUGACUACCCGUGCUCUGAUGCAGCGCUCACGUGGUGGCUUUGGGUGCGGUGAGAUCGAAGCAAAAGGAGUGGGUCUGUAAUGCAAGGAGGAAGAAGUGCUAGGGUUGACCACUCAAACAGUCAAGAGGAAGGAAUCGAACGGUGAGGUCAGGCUGAUCGUACGGUUAGCGAGGCGGACUAAAUUUUUCUCGCAUCAUCCAGUUGAUUUGUAGCACUGGCCUUUCUAUCUUUGGGAGAUUUUAAAAAUUGUUCCCAUAUUAUAAAGAAUGAUCGCUUUUAAAAAAAAAACUUUAACUAAAAAAUGUUCACGUUUUCAAAUUAUGUGUCGGAGUUUGAAAAAAUCUUCCCAUUUCAAAAUUUGUUCACCCAAUUUUUAAAAAUGUGCAUGUUUUCAAUUUUUGUUGGGAGUUUCAAUAAAUGUUUCCAUUUACAGAAUUGCUUGCAUAUUCCAGAAAAUGUUUAUGUUUGAAUUUUUGUUCAGGAGUUUUAAAAUAUGUACACAAGUUUUAAAACCUGUUCAUGUUUUCAAAUUUUGUUCGAGAGUAUCAAAAGAUGUUUCCAUUUAACGAAUUGCUUGCAUAUUCCAAAAAAAUGUUCAUGUUUGAAUUUUUGUUCAGGAGUUUUAAAAUAUGUACGCAAGUUUUAAAACCUGUUCAUGUUUACAAAUUUUGUUGGAGAGUCUCAAAAGAUGUUCCCAUUUUAAAACAAAUCGUGUAUCCAAAAAAUGUUUUCGAAUUUGAAAGAUGUUCCGGUUUUGAAAGCACAUUCACGUUUUCUAUUUGUUGGAGAUUUUACAAAAAAAUCCCGCUUGCAUUUUUUGAAUUGGUUGAGUUUAUUCAAAUUUUAUUAAACAACUCUAAAAGUGUUUGCUGUUUCAUAAAACCUUCAUGUUUUUUUUCUCAAAAUAAUGUUUUUGCGUACAAAAUAUUAAAACGUUCGGAUAUGUGCUCGAUUUUAUUCUUAAUAUUAUGUGCUUCAUUAUAAACAAGGUAGCUCUCAGGCUUGGCUGGCUAGGUAUAUUGCUUUGCAACUGCUUUGAAGUGUUUGGUCUCAGGUUUCAACCCUGUUUAGAGCAGUUUUUUUGUCGAGCGCUGCGGUUUUUCGUUCGGUACUUGUCACUAGUGACAUGGGCCGGCCCUAUCGGAAGGCUCGCCUGUGUGUGUGGUCGACAUUUUGCCGCAAAGAGCGUCAUAUAGGACCUCCCUUCAUCACCGGCCACUCCGUCUGGGCCGGGUUCAACUGUGAUGGCACCGCCGAGUCCAACCACCACGCUGCCAAAGAGCUGGUGCAGCCACAUAGCAUUAUUGAGUGCCUCUGCAGGAACAUGAACAUCUCCAUGUACGUAAUAAUUAAGCUCGCAUCUUUGAUAGCUCGGAAGCUCAUCACAAGUAUGGUUAUGCAGAGAGGCUGAAGGAUUUGUCAUGGUGUAAUUAGAGCUCUAGUAAUUCUUCUAGCAUAUAUACUUACACCGAGUAUUAAUUUUUCCGAAACGUCUUUUUUUUUGUGGUAAAGCGAGAUUUCUAUUAACUCAAGGUGGCAAGUUAGCCCACAACCAGUUUUACAAUGUCACUCAUACCCGAGCCCAACCAAACAGCAGUGCGAGGAGUACUUGUACCGUAUGCAUCGAUCAGGAGCAUGACUCAUUGUAUUCUGCGAGCGUCUAAUAGCAGCAAUCAAAAUGUCCCUAGGGUCGUCCGCAAUCAUCCUCUAGAUGUCCGUGCUGAGUGCACACGAUCGUGAGCGUUCAACAUCAUGACCACUUCAGUGUUGUCCAUCUUAACAGCCAUGGGACGAUCUGUGCGGAGUAGGGCAAGCUCGAGUCCUUCCCUGGACGCCGCAAGUUCAGGAUGUGGGCUAUUAUCACAUGUGACGUGAGGAUCUCUCUACAGGCGGUAAAUAUGAUUUCGGUCCCUUCCGAGCGCAACAUCAUGCCGCCCUCGGCCUCGCCUAUAGCUGGCACGUUGCUACCAUCAACAUUCAACUUGGUGCACCUAGAAAGUGGUACCUCCAGCGCAGCUCUUCCUUCUGCUUCACGGUGGGAGAGCUAGAAACAGCUCCCAUCUGAACAACCAUCUUGCCCUUCAUCAUGUCUCCUUGUGGCCACUGAUGGAUACACAAAAGAGAGUUGAUAUACCCAUGGAGGAAUCUGCAUGAAGCUUCGGUCCGUGGAGGGAUCUUCCCAUGGGUUACUUCAUUGCGCACGUACCACACACGCCACAUGAUCGUAAGCAGCUCCAGCAGCGAGAACAACCAUUCCGGGCUUGUAUUGAUGAUGCUCUCCACCGUUGGAAUAUAAUGGUAAUCGAUCGUAUUCGUACAGAGAUAGGAUACAUAGAGGGUGUUUGUUUAGGCGACGAUCGGAUUCCCUCCCCUCCGCGACUCCGCGCCGGAGCGGAGUGGAGUCCAGUUAAAUUUUUUGGAGCUGGUCCAAGCUCGCUCCGCUGGCUCCGCAGAGCGGAGCAUUGCCGAACAGUGUCUUACACUGGUGGAAAAAGGGCCUUUGGUCGCGGUUCGNNNNNNNNNNNNNNNNNNNNNNNNNNNNNNNNNNNNNNNNNNNNNNNNNNNNNNNNNNNNNNNNNNNNNNNNNNNNNNNNNNNNNNNNNNNNNNNNNNNNNNNNNNNNNNNNNNNNNNNNNNNNNNNNNNNNNNNNNNNNNNNNNNNNNNNNNNNNNNNNNNNNNNNNNNNNNNNNNNNNNNNNNNNNNNNNNNNNNNNNNNNNNNNNNNNNNNNNNNNNNNNNNNNNNNNNNNNNNNNNNNNNNNNNNNNNNNNNNNNNNNNNNNNNNNNNNNNNNNNNNNNNNNNNNNNNNNNNNNNNNNNNNNNNNNNNNNNNNNNNNNNNNNNNNNNNNNNNNCCCCCCCCCCCCCCUAAACCUGUUUUCUGUUUAAUUUGUAUUGUUUUAUUUCUUUUGUGCUUUAUUUUAAUUUUGAAGGAGUUUCACAUAUUCUACGGUACUACAUACAUGCAUAUGAAUGUAUAAUUUCAAACAAAUUUGAAAUUAGAACCAAAAAGAAUUCAAGAGGAAUAUACAAUAUAUAUUCAAUAUCAUCGGAUGACCAUAUACAAUUUUGAACAAGUUUCCAUACAUAAUUUAAUGCAUAUAAAGUUCUACGUCCUCGUAAUGGUGUUCUCCUUUACGAUGGAGGACUUCCCUCCUGAACCAUCCAGCUAGUUCCUCUUGAAGUGGUCGGAAGCGAGCUUCUGGACUAAGCAUCACCCGGAGGUUAUUCCGCUGAGCAUUGGUAUCACUCGGAACCCGCUCAGAGGUGUAUCUCCGGAUCAUCUCACAGACAUAGUAUCCACAUAGAUUGGUCCCCGCUGGCUGAAUAUCCCCACCAUUCUUAGCCUUUGACCUUUUGAAUUCUAGCUCUUUUUUGAAUUCACCGACCUUUGUAUCUACGAACCGUCUCCAAACCCUACGAGGCAAAGAAAAUUAAAUGAACAAGAGAGUUAUUAGUUACUUGAUAUUAGGAAAUGAACGAAAUAGGCCGAUCGAUAUAGAGCGCAAAUGAAUGAAAAUAAUUACUUCUGCAGCAUUCUUCUCAUGCCGCCCCAAAGCUUUGGAUCCAUAUUUAGAGAGUCGUGGACGAGACAUUCUGAGGUGUCAACUUUAAUUACUAGCAGAAUCCAGUGGAACCUGCGGACACGAUACAUGCACAGUACGUCAUGCAUAACUCAUUGAUUAGCCGGCCACAUACCAUGCAUGGAGUAAACAAAAGAGAAUGUGCUCAAGACAGAAACACUCACCCAAAAUGGUAAGGAAAUAGAAUAUCACUUUUGAGUUCCUGCUUUGUAAGAAACCGCCACAGGUCUGCCUCCAUGUCGGCGGGGUAAUGCUCCAACACAUAUCCAUUAACGAUGUGUGGGUCAAUGAACCCAACAUCAUGGAUGUUCCUUACUCUGCAUUCCUUAAUCUUCAUUCUGCAUGUAUAAUAGCGGACACAACAAUAUAGUUACGACAUAUAUAUAGUGCAGGCAAUAUGAACGAGAUGGGGUAUAAAUAAAUCACUUACAGAACGUAGCAACUGAUGAUAGAUUUGUCGAGCUCGCGCAGAUUGAAAAGCUGGAACAAUUCACUCAGAUGAAUUUGUACAUAGUAAUGUUUGAAGUGAUGCUCAUAUCUAACUUCCGCAUAAAUAUAAUCUUUGGCGUUUUUAUUUUUUAUGUAACCCUUGUACCGAGGCCGGCCGGCGUCGUUGAGGGCGAGCGAGGCGGCGAGGGCGGGCGAGCGAGGCGGCAGUACCGAGGCCGGCCGGCGUCGUUGAGGGCGGGCGAGCGAGGCGGCGCGCGCGCGGUGGGCGAGGGCGACGGCNUAAUUCAAUUCAAAAUGUUAAAAAUACAAAUAAUAUAUCAAAAAAUUCAGAAAAAUAAAACUAAUUCAAUUCAGAAUGUUAAAAACACAAAUAAUAUAUCAAAAAAUUAAGAAAAAUAAAACUAAUUCAAUUCAAAAUCUUAAAAAUACAAAUAAUAUAUCAAAAAAUUAAGAAAAAUAAAACUAAUUUAAUUCAAUAUGUUAAAAAUACAAAUAAUAUAUCAAAAAAUUCAGAAAAAUAAAACUAAUUCAAUUCAAUAUGUUAAAAAUACAAAUAAUAUUGUAUCCCUUAUUUGACAGUCCCGAAAGGUUACUAAGAGCAGGCCAAUCGUUGAUGGUUACGAAAAGCAACGCUCGUAGGUCAAAUUCCUCUUCUUUGUGCUCAUCCCACACACGGACACCAGGUCUGCCCCACAGCUGUAAAAGUUCAUCAACUAAUGGCCUUAGGUACACAUCGAUGUCGUUGCCGGGUUGCUUCGGACCUUGAAUGAGCACUGGCAUCAUAAUGAACUUCCGCUUCAUGCACAACCAAGGAGGAAGGUUGUAGAUGCAUAGAGUCACGGGCCAGGUGCAAUGGCUGGAGCUCUGCUCGCCAAAAGGAUUCAUGCCAUCUGUACUUAGACCAAAUCUUAUGUUCCUUGCGUCAGCUGCAAAAUCUUUUAACUCUCUGUCGAUCUUUCUCCAUUGCGUUCCAUCUGCGGUGUGUCUCAACUCCCCGUCCGACUUACGGUCCUCUUUGUGCCAUCGCAACAACUUGGCAUGCUCUUUGUUCCUGAACAGACGUUUCAACCGUGGUAUUAUAGGAGCAUACCACAUCACCUUGGCGGGAACCCUCUUCCUGGGUUUCUCGCCCUCAACAUCGUCACCAGGGUCAUCGCCUCUGAUCUUAUAACGCAAUGCAGUGCAUACCGGGCAUUCAUUCAAAUUCUCGUAUUCACCGCGGUAGAGGAUGCAGUCGUUGAUGCAUGCAUGUAUCUUCAGAACCUCUAAACCUAGAGGGCAGACAACCUUCUUUGCUUCGUACGUACUGGCGGGCAACUCGUUAUUCUUUGGAAACAUAUUCUUCAACAUUUUCAGCAAGUUUUCAAAUGCCGAGUCAGCUACACCUGCCUGUGCCUUCCAUUUCAGCAAAUCCAGUGUGCAGCCCAGCUUUUUCAGACCAUCAUCGCAUCCGGGGUACAACGACUUUCUGUGAUCCUCUAACAUGCGAUCCAAAUUCUCCCUCUCCUUUUCAGUUUCGCAGCGUCUCCGUGCAUCAGCAAUGGUCCGACCAAGAUCAUCAACGGUCUCAUCACGUGCCUCUUCUUCACCUUCACCUUCCCCUUCACCUUCCCCUUCACCUUCAGCAUCCUCCAUGAAAGUAUCACCGAAAUGAGCAAGAUAGCUUUCAUCCAUGAAAUCAUCCCCUUCUUCAUCUUCUUCCAUUAUAACCCCUCUUUCUCCAUGCUUGGUCCAACAAUUAUAGCUUGGCAUGAAACCGUGCCGAAGCAGGUGCAGGUGAACUUCUCUUGAGGAAGAGUAACCCUUCUGAUUCUUACAGUCAACACAUGGACAGAUAACAAAACCCUUCUGCUUGUUCGCAUUAGCCACUACGAGGAAAUCUUUCAAACCCGUAGUGAACUCGCGGGAGAGUCGGUUACCGUACAUCCAUUGCCGAUUCAUCUGCAUUAUUAUAAUAUAAAAUAUAUAAUUAACCAUCAUGCAUUUGUUAAACUAACUAGCUAUAAACAAUAGAAAUUAAACAAUGAACAACACACAUGCAUAUUUUAUCAAUGACACACAUGCAUGAAAGGUUCAAGUUGCUAACCGCGAUCGAGGAGGAAAAAAUAAAUGAGGAACCUCAAGUGUGGCUCCAACACUUCAUAUCAUGUUUGUUUCACGCUCUUGGGGCAUUUCAUCAAACACCUUGUGUGCAUAAGAGGAACCAAAAGCAAACCUACACCCCCUUGUGAAGCUUGUGAAGAGAAGUGGCACCAAAUGGCUAAGUGAGUGUGCUGAACUGGUAUCUAUAGGGGAGGAGAUUUAGUCGCGGUUGGCAUGGCAAACCGCGACUAAAGGCCUUUGGGCACCUUUAGUCGCGGUUGGCCUGGCCAACCGCGACUAAAGCCCCUCACGUGCACCAGCUGGCCACCGAGCGCCCUGGCCCAGGCCUUUGGUCGCGGUUCGUCUGCCGAACCGCGACUAAAGAAAUCAUUAGUCGCGGUUCCUACAGUGUCGCGACUUAUGGGGCUGGACGGAAGCCUCUUUUUCUACCAGUGUUAGUCUUAAUUUCUGCUUGGGGACUUUUGUAAUAGGGUUUUUUUCAAUGUUUUAAAUAGCGGGCUACGGCUAAUAGCGGCGAGCCUCUAAAUCAGCUAUAGCGGCAAAUUUGUACAUGAUACCAUUUAGCGGCACCUUGCUGAAAAGGCUAUAGCGAGGCUAUAGCGGGGCUAUAGCGGGCUAUUUAAAACUAUGGUUUUUUUUGCUUAUAAGACAAACUUUGAAAGCCAAAUUGAAAACCAAACACCCCCGUAAUUCACCCUUGUCCUUGGGGCUUAUAGUCAGGCAGAAAGUUUCUGUGCGACAAUCAUAUAUAUGGAGGACUUGCAUUAAUCUUGUGGCAUUGUGCCGAAGUCAUUCAUUACAAAUACUGUAACAAACAGAUGAAAGUCAUUGCGCUUACACAAAACAAAGAUAUUAUGGAACAUCAACCCGAUGGUAAAUGUUUCAAAAAAAAAAAAAAAACCCGAUGGUAAAUAUAAGCACCGGAAAACAGUUAGUUGAUUGCUGCCGUAGAUGGCCGUUACGCCCAGCAAUUCUGGCUCCUUUUUCUGCAUCCACGUGGACAUGAAGGUGGCGGUCGGGAGAUCCGUAUAACGUUUGUUACUGGGCGCCGGCGGCGCCGGCAAUUGCGCCUACGGCGUCAGCAGCGGCGUCCGUGGCAGCGGCGGCAGCGUUUGCAGCCGAUUCGGCCGCGGCCGUGGCAGCGUCCGCCGCCGCCUGGGUCGCGUGCUCGCCGGCCUGCAACGUGCACACGGAGAGCAGUCACGACCUGCACCACAAAGCCACGAGAUGAAAACGAAAUGCUGGACGCACCUCCUGGACGGUCUCGGCGGCGCGGUGCGCCUGCAUCUGCCCGCUGUCGGCGGCGGCGGCGGNNNNNNNNNNNNNNNNNNNNNNNNNNNNNNNNNNNNNNNNNNNNNNNNNNNNNNNNNNNNNNNNNNNNNNNNNNNNNNNNNNNNNNNNNNNNNNNNNNNNNNNNNNNNNNNNNNNNNNNNNNNNNNNNNNNNNNNGGUGUCAUGGACGGCCCCGGCGGCGUGGCCCGCCUGGUCGUGUAGCUGGGCCUCGGCCUGGCCGGAUUCGAAGGACUGCUUCAUGUCCGCCAUGGUAAGGUGAUCGAAGGUUGCUGCGAGUGAAAAGGAAGCUGAGAUGGAAAU
Molecule: long non-coding RNA, 166295 nt
Filed under: Hordeum vulgare
Lineage: Eukaryota; Viridiplantae; Streptophyta; Magnoliopsida; Poales; Poaceae
Description: long non-coding RNA (HVUL_LNC014608)
Source: RNAcentral